RNAcentral lists this long non-coding RNA (106611 nucleotides) under Panax ginseng (ginseng). RNAcentral describes it as "long non-coding RNA (PGIN_LNC002274)". Lineage: Eukaryota; Viridiplantae; Streptophyta; Magnoliopsida; Apiales; Araliaceae. The record is from RNAcentral.
CUAUCUCGUCCGGUUCUAACUCAAUAACGUGGUUCGGGUCUUUCACAUAUUUACGAAGUACAGAUAUGUGAAACACAUUAUGAACACGAGACAUACUUGGAGGUAACGCGAGUCUAUAGGCUACAUUUCCUACUCGGUCAAGAAUUUGAAAUGGACCAAUAAAUCGUGGAUUGAGCUUUCCUCUCUUCCCAAAUCUUGUAACUCCCUUCCAUGGAGCAACUCGCAACAAUACAUGAUCCCCUAUACUAAAUUCCACGUCCUUUCGAUGAAGAUCCGCAUAACUCUUUUGUCGAUCUUGUGCCGUUUGUAUACGUUGUCGAAUCAUUUGGAUCUUUUCGGUAGUCAUACGUACUAACUCGGGUCCCAACAAUGUUGCUUCACCCACCUCAUCCCAACAUAUUGGAGAGCGACACUUUCGUCCAUAUAAUGCUUCGAAUGGGGCCACACCUAUACUUGCCUGAUAACUGUUGUUGUAGGAGAAUUCCACCAAUGGUAAAUACUUAUCCCAACUGCCCUUGAAGUCUAGGACACAGAGUCUUAAUAAAUCUUCAAGAGUUUGAAUAGUCCUCUCUGAUUGUCCGUCCGUUUGAGGAUGGUAUGCCGAACUGAAUCUUAAAUCCGUACCCAUAGCUUUUUGCAAGCUAACCCAAAAUCUUGAAGUGAAUCUUGGGUCACGAUCCGAAACUAUGGAUACUGGCAUGCCAUGCAAUCUCACAAUCUCAUUUACGUACAUUUGAGCAAGACGUUCAAGGGAAUAAGUCUCCCGUAUCGGCAAGAAAUGAGCAGACUUGGUUAAUCUAUCAACAAUAACCCAAAUAGCAUUUAUGCCUUGAGAAACCGUGGGAAGACCCGUAACGAAAUCCAUGGUAAUGUGUUCCCACUUCCAUUUCGGAAUCUCAAGUGGUUGCAAUGGUCCCUUAGGCACUUGAUGCUCCGCCUUUACACGUUGACAAGUUAAACAUGUUGAGAUAAACUUUGCAAUCUCUCUCUUCAUAUUGUUCCACCAAAAUGUAUGUCGAAGAUCACGAUACAUUUUAGUACUUCCCGGAUGGAUUGCAAAUGGUGUAUUGUGUGCCUCCAUCAUAAUCUUGUACUUCAAAUCAGAAUCGUUAGGAACACAAAGUCUGGAGUGGACUCGAAGUAUUCCUUCUUCAUCAAUUCUCGCUUCCGGAAUAGCUCCUUCUUGUACUUUCUUCUUCAUAUGCAUCAGCUCCGGGUCGGUGGCUUGAGCAACCUUAACUUUUUCUAUUAAAGUUGGCUCUAUGCGUAUACUUGACAUCAUCGCACUCGUUCCUGCAUAUGAUCUUCUACUCAACGCGUCAGCUACCACGUUCGCUUUUCCAGGAUGGUAUUGAAUAGUGUGGUCGUAGUCUUUCAAUAGCUCGAGCCAACGUCGCUGCCGCAUGUUAAGUUCUUUUUGAGUGAAGAAAUAUUUAAGGCUUUUAUGGUCUGAAUAUAUCUCCACUUUCUCCCCAUAUAGAUAGUGCCUCCAGAUCUUUAGCGCGAAAACGACUGCUGCCAACUCUAGAUCAUGAGUAGGAUAAUUCCUCUCAUAUUCUUUAAGUUGUCGCGAGGCAUAGGCUAUGACUUUCCCACGUUGCAUGAGAACACAUCCUAACCCUUUGCCCGAAGCAUCGCUGUAGAUAACAAAUCCAUCCGAACCAGAUGGUAUUGUUAGAACAGGUGCCGAAAUAAGUCUCCUUUUAAGCUCUUGGAAACUCUUCUCGCACUCUUCGCUCCAAACGAAUUUUGUAUCCUUCCGAGUUAGAUGAGUUAACGGAGUAGCGAUUCGAGAAAACCCUUCCACGAAUCUCCGAUAAUAACCAGCUAAGCCCAAAAAGCUACGUACUUCAGUCACCGACUUCGGUUGCUCCCAACUUUGUAUUGCUUCAAUCUUCGCCGGGUCAACAGAUACUCCAUGUUUUGACACCACGUGCCCAAGGAAUGCUACUUCCUCAAGCCAGAACUCGCAUUUCUUCAACUUGGCAUAUAGCUUGUUUUCACGAAGCCUUUGGAGUACCAGCUUCAAAUGGUGCUCAUGAUCUUCACGACUUUUGGAAUAUAUGAGGAUGUCAUCAAUAAAGACAACAACGAACUGAUCCAAAUAUUCCUUGAAUACUCGGUUCAUCAUAUCCAUGAAAGCCGCAGGAGCAUUAGUCAAUCCAAAAGACAUGACUAAGAAUUCAUAAUGCCCGUACCGAGUUCUAAAGGCAGUCUUUGGAAUAUCCUCAGUUCUAAUCUUCAGCUGAUGAUAUCCAGAACGAAGAUCGAUUUUUGAAAAGAAUUGUGCUCCUUGCAACUGGUCAAACAAGUCAUCAAUACGAGGUAGAGGAUACCUAUUCUUGAUGGUGACAUGGUUCAAUUCCCGAUAGUCAAUACAAAGUCGCAUACUCCCGUCUUUCUUCUUUACGAAUAAAACAGGAGCACCCCAAGGAGAUGUACUAGGACGAAUGAAACCGAUGUCCAACAACUCCUGUAGUUGGACCUUUAACUCCUGAAGUUCAAUAGGAGCCAUUCGAUAUGGGGUUUUAGAAAUGGGCUUUGUACCAGGUUCAAGAUCAAUAAAGAAUUCAACUUCACGUUCUGGGGGUAGACCGGGAAGUUCUUCAGGAAAUACGUCAGGAAAGUCAAUAACAACAGGAAUAUUAUUCAAAUUUGACGUGUCUUUAUUCAAAUCCAUAACAUGGGCUAAGAAAGCUUGACAUCCGUUUUUCAAUAAACGAAUAGCUUUAUGAUUAGAUAUGACAGUGAUUGAUUUUAAUGGUUUAGUUGCUUGAAUUCGUACAACAGGUUGGUUAGGAAUAUGAAAACUAACAACCUUACGAAAACAAUCAAUUUUGGCAUGAUGAGUAGUUAACCAAUCAAUCCCUAAAAUCACAUCAAAAGCAAGUAUCUUUAAAGAGAUAAGGUCAACAGGUAAGGUGAUGGUGCCAACUUGAAUCAAACAAGAUUUAUAAACAGUGGAUGUGAUGAAAGUUUCUCCUAACGGAGUUUCCACAGAUAGGUCAAAGUCUAAUUUCUCCGGAGUCAAGUUUAAACGUUGAGCACAAGCAGGAGAGAUAAAUGAAUGGGUAGCACCGGUAUCUAGUAAAGUAUAAACUUCACAAGAAUUUAUAAAUAGCUUACCCGUGAUCACCUCGUUUGGGUUCCUCGCAUUUUGACCAGUCACAACAAACGCUCUUCCAGGAACCGUUGACUUUGACUUUUCUGGGACAGUCUUUUGAGUCACCGUCCCCGCUGAACUAGGUUUCGCUACCGUGCAAUCUCGAGCGAUAUGUCCUUCCUUUCCACAAUUAUAGCAUACCUGGAACUGUUGUGGGCAGUUUGGACUGAUAUGUCCCUCUUUCCCGCAUUUAUAGCAUAUGACCGGUGGUCGUUCUCCUCCCUUGGAACCAGUUGCUGCUGGCACUGUCGUCUUCACAUGGUCGUUGUUGAAUCUCCUCUUUUUAAAAUCUCCUCCUGACUCGCUUCUUCUAUUUUCAUGGCCAUGAUUACCACCAGAGUGGUUACCAUUUUUGUCCGUCUUUUUCUUUCUCCACUGGUUAUUGUUGUUUUGUUGACUGCUAUCUCCGGUAUGAUCCUGAUUGUGGUACCUCGGUUGACCGUACUCGUUAUCUCGCUCUAACAAUUGAGCCCUGUUAACAACAUCUGAAUAGAGAGAAAAUUUAUGAGAGAUGAGAUACUGACGUAUGCCGGGUUUCAAACCUCUCAGAAACAUCCGCGUCAUACGUUCCUCAUUCUCCACCAAAUGAGGUGCAAACCUGGAUAACUCUGCAAACUUCGCCUCGUACUGAGACACCGUCAUGUUGUUCUGCUCCAGUCUAAUAAACUCCACUUCCUUCAUAUGACGAACACUUUCAGGAAAGUAUUUGUCAUUAAAUAGUUUCUGAAACGUCUCCCAAGACAUGCUGAGUGCGGCUGGAUGGGUACGCUUCACAGACUCCCACCAGUAGUCUGCCUCGCCACGGAACAUAAAGGUGGCGAAUGGAACCUUCUGUUCCUCCGUGCAUCCCAAGACAUCGAAUAUCUUGGUAAUUUGCUUGACCCAUGUUUCCGCCAUGAUCGGAUCUGGCUUUCCCUUAAAUUCUGGUGGUCCCAACUCUUUGAACUGCUUGGCUGUGACAACCCGUGAAUUGCUAUCAUUUCCUCCUGUAUUUUGAACACGAGUCUCCCUCGUCUGAUUUUGCAUGAACUGCAAAAAGCUUCUAAACAUCCCCUCGUUCAUCAUCUGCUCAGUGGUGUUGUUCACAGGAGGAACAUUGCCAGCCUGUUGCACGUUCUCCUCGUUGGUGAGUACAGGCGUCUCCACGGUCUCAUUUCCACUGUUAAUAUUCUCAGUCGACAUUCUCAAAUACUGUCAUAAAACAAGGGUUAAUUAAGGAAAUCAAUAUAUCACAUAAUAUCCCUAUAUACUGACCAACUAACAAAUAAGCUUAGGUAGGACACACUAGCGAAGGAUUUACUCGUCUCUCCCCUCCUAGUUCUAUUCCCCGAUCUCCGCCAGAGAUCAUAUCCCUAAGCUCUGAUACCAACUGUGACGCCCCCAAAAUAGGUAUACAUCACCCAUUCUGAGUUGUCAAUACAUGGUACAGAAACAACUACAACUUUAUUAUUACAACAGUAAAACUGUGAGUUUGAAUACAAAUAUUAUCUUCUAGACAAUAUCUAUACUCAAAUAAAUCCUCAUCACAUUUAUUGAUACAUUAUUUUACAAAAAUGGUGAGGACUACUAAACAACUCUCUCUAGAACCUUCAUUCCAUACCCCGACUCGUACUCGCUAUAUUCUCGCCUCCUGAGAAGAAAAAUGGAACAAAAAGGAAAAGGGUGAGCUCAACUAGCCCAGUAAAGAAUAUUAUGACUAAGAUAAUAUACAACAAAUUAUCGUUAGUCUUCAACAGGGAAAAAUCUAAUAGAAUACAAUAGACAACAAGUUUUAAAUCAAUAUUCGCAGCGGAAAUAAUAAUUCAUUAGAAGAGUUAAGUAGAGAAUGCAAACUACUAUCUUCUAUGUAUGAAUUUAAAAGUUCAUCGUCUAUCUUUUAUCCCUGUAACAUCAAUCAAUAUAUAUCUGGAAUCAAAUAUUCAUCUUUGCACUACAGGCCAAAGAUAUUCAUCAGUUGGUCAUGUUCAUCUAAACACCUGUUCAUCUUUGCACUACGGGCCAAAGAUAUUCAUCAGAAAUCAUUCAUCUUUGCACUACAGGCCAAAGAUAUUCAAUAAUAUCAUCAUUUAAGACUGAGGAUGAUAAAAAAUUUUUUUUUUAAAGAAACGAAUCCAGUGAAACAAAAUGACAAGGAUUAAGGAUUAAGGAUUCGUACUUUGUUUUAUCCACGUCCAAAAAUACCUCAAAAAUAAUCAUAGUGGUGUAAAAUUCAAGAAUGAUCAAAACAUGGAUACAAUCAAAGCUAGUAUCCACAAUAGAUAUUUUGGACGAAAAGAAAAAUUUUCAUUUUUCGAUGAAUAGUGCCGUAUUCGUGAAUAGUACCGUAUACGUGAAUAGUGCCGUAUACGUGAAUAGUAACUCCGACACCAAAAGUUCCAAAUUUGAUAAAAACUUCAGAUCAAUAUUUCAGCAUAAUGAUAUUGAAGAAAUAAUAUCAUUACGAAAAAAAAUAAUAUCCCUUACCUCGGAAAGACAGUACUUCUAACUGGAAUACUGGAUAUAGGCUAUAACUUGAACUUUCACCGUAUAGCAAUACUCAAAGUAUACUCAAAAUACUCACAAGAAUACGCUCGAUAAUAUAGAGAGAGAAAACUUCAGUUUCUGGUGUGAUUUUCAAUUCUAACCUAAGCACCUAUUUAUAGGAAAUUGCUUAGAACACCAAAGCAGAAAAUUUAAUAUAAUAUUAAUAUAUAUAAAAAUAUUAUACGUAUUCCUUGAAAUCUUAAUCUCAGCAAUUCACACAUGCCAACCUUCUAGAAAAAAAUAAAAAAAACGUUUUUCUAAUUUAAAAUAUUUUAAACUUCCAAAAAUCAAUUAUUUCGGAGCUUCGGAACUUCAAUAAUUCAUAAUAAAUAGCCCUUUUAUCAGAAAAUUCGAAUCUCGCGAGUUUUUAUAGGAAAUUCAAUUCUCUACAACUUUGCAGAAGAAAGUUUUUCCAAAUUCCAAACAGAAAUUGACCGAAAUCCACAAACGGGCGAUUUUAGAGGCUAUAAUCAAAUUUCAGUCAAUAAAUGGGGUCCACCGACAUGUUUAACAUGUUUUAAACAUUUAUUGCAACAAAAAUACUCUUCCUCCUCGUAUACUCAUAUAUCCCACAUUCGUUGUAAAAAUAUCACCAUUAUUAUAUUAUUAAAAUAUAAUAAUAUAUAUAUUUAAAUGAAUUAUUUUAUCAGAAAAAGAUAAAAUUUCAAUUUUCAACAAUUGUCACAUUAAAAAUUUUCUCCAUCUAUAUCCACAUAAAAUCAAUAUUUUCCUCAUCAUAUGAAUCAAUAAUUAAUUAUUCACAAAUAAUAUUACAGAAUCACAAUAUUGACAACCAGGCAGUUCCCAGGAAAGAGGGGGCUUUCCAAUAAGAAUUUCUCCUUACUGGCGCGCAAUUAGGUGACCAAACCUCUCCUUAGACAGAACUUUCUAGACAUUGCCAAUAAUGUUAUCUAAUAAUAUUAUUCAGAUAAUAUGAAUUAUUGCUUCGAUAAUGAAAAAUACUGUGUAAUGACAAUUAUUGAAACAACAGCAAUAUAAAAUAUCAACGCAGCAAUUAUUGAAUCAAUAAAAUAAAAUACUGAACAGUAAUUACUGUAACCAUUAUUGAGUAGUGCCUUCUUACGUAAGAGUCAAUAAUUGGUGCAAUACCGUGUGCUACUGUGCAACAACGCGUAUUACUGUGUUUUAACCACCGGGUAUUCCAACAGUGUAAACGGUAACAACUACGCCGUUAUUUUUAAACAACUUAUAUUUGUCGUUUUCUUCCUCCAAUCGCUUUCCGUUAUGGGGCCCACACAUGGCUGCGCCGUCGUACGAAUAUUCCCCGACAGUACGAAUAUUCCACGACCAAACGAAUAUUCCCCGACAACAAUGAAUAUUUUAUAACCACUUGCUUAUUUUGAAAUAUUUGCGUAUUUUACCCAUAACUAUCCACAUUAAUCACAUCAACCCUUACUAUUUCAAAAUAAUAAUUAGAGGAAAUUAAAUUUCAUUUAUUAAUUAUAUGGGGUCUUACAUUUGCUGUAAAUUCACUUAGUCAUAUAGUGAGUUUAGUAUUUGUGAUGAUUGCAUGAAUUCUAUCAAUUGUGGAUUUCGUAUAAAUUGGGCAUAGUUCAUUGAAAAAUGGUUGUGUUUCACUUUUAUGCUCUCGACUAGCUUUCCGUAUUUAAUAAGUAACAUAACACGAGGCAUACAUUUUAGAUGAAGCAUUAGAUGAUAUUAGAAUCCCAUAUCUUUCUAAUUUGAUUACAUCCUUUUAAUAAUAUUUAUUUAUUGUGUUGAUAAUUAAUUUAGAUAUAAAUUCAUUUAUUGAUUGAUAGUUUGAACAUAUAGAAAUAGUGAUUAAGUUGGUGCAUGAUAAUUUAGAUUUAUUACCCUUCUCCGCUAAUCAAUACUUUUCUUACUAUGUACUACUUGUUGACCCAUGUAUACUUACAUGAGUUAGAAUCCAUUUUGUUAAACCAAAAAAGGAGGCAACAGUUCGGCAAUUUCUUCUUUGUCACUUAGAUCCCAGGCUUCCUUAGCUACUAGAACUUUGAUGGUAAGUAGUUUUGGACAAUCCUUUUUGUAGUGUCCAGGCUGGUUGCAUUCAAAACAUGUGUUUGAAUUUUCAUUGGAGUUGACAUUUUUGAAGUUGCUGUUGUUUACUUUGAAAUUUCCUCCUUGUGCUUUUGGCUUGAAUAUUUGUUUGCUUUUGAAGUUGUUAUUUAUUUUCAUAAAGUUUUUGUCAUAUUUUUUAGCUUUGUUUUGAAUCACUCUCCUGAGUUUUCUGGAUAAUGGAGAAACUUCAUUAUUAUCUAGACUCAUGAGUUCUUCAUCUAGUUCUUCAUCAUCACUUUAUUGAUUUACAUGUAGAGUUUUGAAAGCAAUUCCUUUCUUCUUAAGAUUUGUGUCUGAUCCUGCUUUUUCGACUAGCAUGUCGACUUAAUGGGCACGAAGAUUUCCAAUAAGGCUGUCAAGAGGAUAUGUAGCUAGAUCUUAUAUUUCCUUGAUUGCUAUAACCUUCAUUUUCCAAAUAGAUGGAAGGGCUUUAAGAAUUCUUUUCUUUUUCUCAUUAGUUGUGUAUUCCUUCCCUAGUUAUUCUAGUUCAACAAUGAUUCUAGGAAAACGUGUUUCCAUAUCAAUGAUCUUUUCACCUUCUUCAAGCUUGAAACUUUUAUAUUCUUGGAUUAGAUCAUCUUUUCUAGUUUCUUUGAUAUGAUCUUCAUAGGUUACAAUAAACUUUUCCCUAAUUUCUUUUGCAUUCUUGCAGUUGCUAACUCUUUUGUACUCUUUUUCAAUUAGAGCACUAGUUAACACCUUUUCAGCUCGUGAAGCUAUAUUCAUAGCCUCUUCAUCUUCAGUGGAGAACUCAUCAACAUUUUUUUUCAACGAUCUUUUCUCCUUCAAUUUUGGUUGGAACUUUUACACCUCGUUCUAUUGUAAACCAAACUUUAAUUCCUUGUGACUUAACAUAGAUUUUAAAUAUGUUCUUCCAGGUGACAAAGUUUGUUCCAUCAAAUAGUGGAGGUCUAGACAUUGACAGUCCUUCUCCGUAAACAGUAGCAUUGUAGGCUAUAGAUGAAUCUACUCUUAGGUAUGCCUGUAUUAACUCAACAAACAAGUUAAAGAGCACUGCUUUGAUACCAAUUGAAAGUUCAAUAAUAAUUUAGAAGGGGGAUUGAAUAGAUUAUUACAGAUUAAAAAUUUAUCUUAGGCCUUUUUGAAUUUUUAGAUAAUUAAUUUGUUAUUUUAUAAAUUAAUAUUCAAGUUAAUAAAAAGUCAAUCAUACAAUGCACAUAGAUUUUUUUGGUUCACAACAUACAUCUCGGGUAUGUUGCUACGUCCAGUCUCAAGCUCCUCUCUAUGACUUGAGAUCAUAUUACUUCUUGUAAUAAAAAAUCCUUCAAAAGGCGAAAAAGCCUUUACAAAGUUUUAUAGACAAACAUAAAACUAUUCUCAACUAACUAUCUUAGAUAGCAAGCUCCCAAUUUCCUCCUCAAGCUUAGUUGUAUCUUCCUUUUAAGUUUAGUUCUAUUCUAUGAUAUGCUCUUGAAACAACAGUCUUUUCCUCACCUCACAAGUACACUUGAGACCCAACUCCCAGCUGACCUCUCUAAGAUUGGUCUUGGUCGAAGAAUUAUUCGUCUUUCUCACAGGUACAUAAAAUAAACUAACUCUACCGUUUUCCCUUUUACAAAGUUUUUGACAAAGAUAUGCUUCUAAGAUAAGCAGAUAGUAAUUUGAGAUCAAGUACUUAUAUAUAUAAAAGUUCAAUAACCUUUAUAUAUGUAAAAUGUGCUUCUGUAUAAGCAGAUGUAUUUUUUAUGCUUAGUUAUAAAAGUUUAUAUAACGUUUAUACUUGUAAAAAUAUGCUUAUUGAUUAAGUAGAUAGAUUAAUUUAGGCUUAAAUCAAAAGAGCUUCUUUAUAGGCAGAUAUAGUUUUAAUGCAAGAUUAUAAAGAAUUAUUUAUUAAUCAUCAUAAUAAGGAGUGUGUUUCUAUGUAUUAAACAAAUUAUAACUUUAAUUUUCAAUAUUAUCCAACAAGUAUUCUAUGAAUGAAUUUAUGUUCAAAUACUUGUGAUUAGUUAAAGUAUCAAGUAUAAUGAAUAAAAUAGUUAAACAAUACUUGAUAUAAAAAAUAUAUUUGUUUAAAUCAAAGAAUAUAUAAUAAUAAAUUUUAUCUAUUAUAUGAAUAAUUAUAAAUAAGGCCACUUAGAAUUUUAAAGACCGUUUGAAUAAUUUACACAAUCAUUCGCUCAAGAGUGAAUAAAUUCAAAUUGUAUCAGUAUCUAAGUACUAACCAAAUUUAUAGUUUCCAAUCUGUAUUUAUAUAAAUAUUUUCGGUAGAUUACUUAGGAUUUAAAAUAUCUUUCGGAUAAUUCACACUCUUAUCGAAAUGUAUUUGUACCCCAUACUUUACGAUAUUUAUAUAAAUAACUUGUAUCUUAUAAAAGGCCACUUGGGACUUUGAGAAUUUGUUUGGUUAAUUCCCUCACUUAAGAGGCAUAUCUCCGAUAUAGUCUCGGUGUCUAAGUACUGACUUUUUAUAUGAUAAAUAGAUGAAAUAUAUAUAAGGUUUUGUGAAAAUCAAAGUAGCAAUCAAAUUGCAAAAAUUAACAGAAGCAAAGUAAAAUCAGAUUUUAAAAUUUUUCACAAACUAAUUACCCGGAUCAUCCUUUAUGCAUAUUAUUAAUUAAAACAAAGAACAAGAAGUUAUGGAAUCAUACCCUUGUAGAUACGAGCUUCCACAUGUACGAGUUCAACUCCUACUUCUCUGCGAUCUCCUUGAAUCUUCGGGUUAGAUUCCUUUCCUUUGAUCAAUGUUAGCCACCCAAGUGUAUGGCCUCUACAAGUGAUCCACCAAGGAAGAAGAAUUUUUAAAAAGAAGGGUGUAUUGGCUCAAACCCUAAUUUUUCCUUUCUCUAUAGAAAAAGAGGGCAUACUCUUUAACUAUUUUUGGAAUUAUGUAUAUCUGAUAUCUGAUAUAAGACUCAUCUUAUAAAGAUAUCAGGUAACCCUAUUUAAUUAAAAAAAUGUAUUAUUUAUUUAAUUAAACUCCUUUAAUUAAUUGGGCUCCCUAAUCUUAUUAGGGAUAAUUAAUUAAACUCCUUUAACUAGUUUUGCCUCCUAAUCCUAUUAGAAAUAAAUGGGAGUACUUAUAUUAAAUUAAUUCCUAAACUCUUUUAGAAAUUAAAAAUAAUAAUAAUUGCAAUAAUAUUAAUAAGACUCCUCUUAUUAAUUUAUAUUUAAUAUCUCCAAAAUAUUAAAUAAUAAAUAUUAACGUAUUUAAUUUAUUUUAUCACCAUAGAUUAAAUUAAAUAUACUUAACAUAUUAUUACGAUUAUGCCAUUAACUUCUUAAAUAAUUAUUCUUCAUUUUAUGAUGUGACCCUUUAGGUUCUUCAUAUUAAAUCGGUUAUGAAUAAAUCAAUUAGAACAAUUCUAAUCUUAUUUAAAUAAAUAAAUUAAACUAUUAAUUAAUUUAAAUAAAUAAUAUUUAUUCUACAAUAGGGAUAAGCCUCCCUAGCGAUCAACGACUUUCCAGAUAAUAUAAAUUUUAACAUUAAUUAUAAAAGAACCUGUGAGUAAAUAGUUACCGUACAAUUCAAUCCUUUCACCAUACAAUGUCUCAAUUAAAUAUAAGACAUGAAAUUAGUGUAAAGUCUUAUUUUAUAUAAUUAAAUGUAUUUCAAUUUCCAAAUGCACAACUUCGAAUAAAUGUAAAUUAGAAACUACUUUCUAAUUUCAUUUCAUUUUGGCCAAUGAUUCCUGGAUUAUCAUUUAUCGAAUCACAUAUGACAUUUCUCUUCUUUUACUAGAAGUGGUAGAUUCUAUAUUGAUCAUUCAUUAUCUCCAUAUAUAACUUAUUACACCCAAGUAUACCCUUUGAUAUACUCUAAGGGUCUUAAGGAAUAAGUUAAAAUAUAAUUCAUUAUACAUAAGUUAUUAUGAUGAUCUCAAGUCUAAGGAUCAUUUGUACUACUAUCACUACAGGAAUUCCUAUUGACAUGCAAGUAAAACUCCAUUAGGUAUUCCUUAGUGAGUCACGUUCAGUGAACUUAUUCUCCAAUAAACACCUACAUACUUGCUUUAGUGUCUCUACAUAAAUGAUCAUGAGAUCAAUCAUCCUCAUCCAAUGAGCAAGCAACGUAUGUACCAAUCUAUCCGGAUUCACUAAUUCCCUUUUUAGUAAUCCAUUGAUUGAGAACAUUUUAGUUUUAAGCUAUCUAAGAAUUUAGAUCUCAUUAGUAUAAUCUAAUCAUGAUUCUAAAAGCAUUGCUUAAAACUAUGGGUUUAUCACAUAUUAUUAAAACAGCGCCAAUAGAUAAUAAAUGCCUUUAAUAAAUAGUUCUUUUAUUAAUAAAUAAAUAAGAUUAAUUACAAAGUAUAUUCUUUAUCACCAUACAUGAUUGGCUUAUAUGCAUACUACUUUCAAUCUCUCACUUGCACUAAAGUCAAUCGACGUGGUAUCUCAUACCCAUCUUCUCUAAGUGACGAUCGAACUGUUGUUGUGUUAACACUUUAGUAAAUGGAUCUGCAAUAUUGUCUUGAGAGUCCACACACUCCAGGUUGACAUCUCCUCUUUCAAUGAUUUCUCUGAUCAAAUGAAAUCACCGCAACACGUGUUUGGAUUUCUGAUGAGACCUGAGUUCCUUAACAUGUGCAACAGCUCCGGUGUUGUCACAGAAUAAAGGUACUGUUCCUCUGAUGCUAGGAACCACAUCAAGUUUGUUAAUGAACUUCUUCAUCUAAAUAGCCUCCUUUGCAGCUUCACUUGCAGCUAUGUACUCUGCCUCUGUCACUGAAUCAACAACUAUUUGUUGUUUGGAACUCUUCCAACUCACUGCGCCACUAUUUAAGGUAAACACAUAUCCCGAUAUGGAUUUACUGUCACUUGGUUUGUUUAAAAAUAUGAGUCUGUAAAGCCCUCUAGUUUCAAUUUAGACCUACCGUAGACAAGAAACACAUCCUUAGUUCUUCUUAAGUACUUUAGAAUAUUUUUCACUGCCUUCCAGUGUUCUUCUCCUAGAUUCAACUGAUAUCUACUUGUUACACUAAGUGCAUGAGCGACAUCCGGUCUAGUACAUAUCAUACCGUAUAUGACAGAUCCUAUUGCUAAAGCAUAAGGAAUCUUACUCAUACGGUAUCACUCCUCAGGUGUCUUUGGGGCCUAUUUCUUAGAGAGAUGUAUUCCAUGACUCAUCGUCAUGAGACCUCUUUUGGAAUCCUCCAUGCUAAAUUUCUUUAACAUCGAGUUAAUGUACGUUUCUUGGGAUAAGCCAAGCAUCCUUUUAGAUCUAUCUCUAUAAAUCUUUAUUCCCAAAAUAUAGGAUGUUUCACCCAAGUUCUUCAUGGAAAAGUGUUUAGAUAACCAGAUUUUAAUCGAUUGUAGCAUAGGAAUAUCAUUCCCUAUCAAUAAUAUAUCAUUAACAUAUAAUACAAGGAAUGAAAUAGCACUCCUAUUAACCUUCUUGUACACACAUGGUUCAUCCUCAUUUUUGAUCAAAUCAAACUCUUUGAUUUUCUCAUCAAAACGGAUGUUCCACCUACUAAAAGCUUGCUUCAAUCCAUAAAUGGAUCGUUGUAGCUUACAAACUUGAUUUGUUUCAACCUUUAAAACAAAUCCCUCUGGCUGUGUCAUAUACACAUCCUCCUCAAGUUUUCCAUUGAGGAAGGCCGUUUUCACGUCCAUCUGCCAGAUCUUGUAGUCAUGCUAAGCUACAAUCGCAAGCAAAAUUCGAAUGGACUUAAGCAUCACUACUGGUGAGACAAUUUUGUCAUAGUCAACUCAUUGUCUUUGUUUAAAACCUUUUGUGACCAGUUGGGCCUUAUAAGUCUCUACCUUGCCGUCUGCUCCAAUCUUUCUUUUUAAAGACCCAUUUACACCCAAUAGGCUUAAUGCCUUCAGGUGGUGAAACCAAAGUCCACACUUGGUUUUCAUCCAUGGAGUCCAUCUCGAAUUUCAUGGCUUCUUGCCACUUCUCUAAGUCUUUACUACUCAUAGCCUGUUCGUAAUUCAAGGGAUCAUAAUCAUUUAUGAUGCAUACCUUAUAGUAAUCUUCUAUGAUGAAUCCAUACUUAUCAGGUAGCUUCGGUAGUCUUCCAGAUUUAUGAAUAGGGUGUGUUACAAUAGGUUUUUCCACUUGGUUAGGUACAUGACUUUGAUCCAUAGUAUUUGUGGUUCUUGAACUUCUUCAAGAUAUAUCUUACUCCUACUGUCCCCUUCAAGGAUAAACUCUUUUUCUAAGAAGGUAACAUGUUUCGCAACAAACACCUUUGAUCAGUUGGAUGAUAGAAAUAAUACCCUGAUGUUUCUUUAGGGUAUCCCACAAAUCUACACUUGUCGGAUUUAGUCUGUAGCUUAUCGUUUCCAAACUUUUUAACAUAAGCUGGACAACCCCAAGUCUUAACAUGCUUUAGAUUUGGUUUCCUCCCUGUCCAUAACUCAUAUGGGGUCUUGGGGAAAAAUUUUGUAGGUACCUUUUUAAAUAGGUAUGCAGUCAAUUCUAGGGCAUAUCCCCAGAAGGAAACUGGAAGAUCGAUAUAACUCAUCCUGGAUCGAACCAUGUCCAACAAUGUUCUAUUUCUUCUUUCAGAUACACCAUUGGGUUGUGGUGUCCCUGGUGGAGUCCAUUGUGAGAUUAUACCAUUUUCUUUAAGACAAUUGAGAAACUCACCACUUAAGUAUUCACCACCUCGAUCUGAUCGAAGAAUCUUAAUACUUUUGUCAGUUUGUUUCUCUACUUCACUUCUGAACUCUUUGAACUUUUCAAAUGAUUUAGAUUUAUAUUUCAUUAAAUACACAUAUCCAAAUCUUGAUUGAUCGUCAGUUAAUGUAAUAAAAUAAGAAUAUCCUCCUCGUGCAUUCGUUGUCAUAGGUCCACAUACAUCUGUGUGUACCAAUGCUAACAACUCUGUAAUUCUUUCUCCGUUUUCACUCAAAAGAGAUUUAGUCAUUUUUUUCCAUGAGACAAGAUUCACAAGUUGGAUAUGAUUCAUAAUCCGAUAGCUCUAGGAGCCCAUCUUUAUACAACUUGGAUAAUCUUGUUUCAUUAAUAUGACCAAGUCUAUAGUGCCACAUAUAAGUAUAAUUAAUAUCAACUCUUUUCCUUUUAUUAGUGUGUUCAAUUUGAAGUAUAUUUUCAUGCUAGUCAAGUAUAUAAAGUCCAUUUCGCAAAUAACCGACACCAUAUAAAACAUUAUUAUUAUAAAUAGAACAACUGUUGUUCUUUAUUAUAACUAGAUACAAACCCGCGCUUUGCGGCGAGAUUAAUCAUUUUGUUAAUAAUAAAUUUAUACAUGCAAUUAAUAAAUUAAAAUAUAAUAAGAAGAUGGUAGAUUGUUGUGUGAUUAUCAAAUUUUAAUAGCAUAUGUUAUAUAGUGUUGUAUAAAAAUUUUAUGUGCAAAUACAUAUCCAAGUAUAUAAUUAAUCUGAUCACUAAACCCCAGAACAUUACAUAACAGUUGUGUGUGUGUGUGUAUAUAUAUAUAUAUAUAUAUAUAUAUUAAUGUCUUGAUAAAAAUGUUUAUAAUGUAACCAAUAUGCUUAAAAUGGGUAACUCUUUCAUUCUAAAGCACUAACAAAUAUUUAGAAAGUGUCAUGCACAAUGCCAUCGAAUUGUUAUAUUGAUAUGAUUGCUAGUGGUAUAUUUAAAGUUUGUUACACAUUACACAAAUCUCACCAAGCCUCAAAUAUCUGACACAUGUACUUGAUGCAUUUUGAAGAGUCCAUGUCUCGUAUACGCUAAUUACUUGCACCAGAAUUCUAACAUCUAAACGAAAGGGAAAAAAAAUGAAAGAAUGUCUCAGUUUCGGUCCUCAGACAUGAAGGGAAAGCACAUGUUACAUGCCAAAACUGAAAAGCACGAGAAUUAAUAAUUAUAUUGGAUCUUCAUGUCAAACAAACACUAUGUCCAAAAACAUAGCAGUAUAGCACCGUGUCAUACAUAACACAAUGUUAUAGUUAAAGAACGAAUACAUAACUCAUUAGUUUUUUUUAUUUUCUAUUUUUGACAAUUAUAUAGGCACUCACAGUAUUACCAUAAUACAAAAAAAAAUAUUCAUGAUGAUGAAAAUGAUUUACCGGAUGCUAGUACUUAACAAAUCGUGCAAAGCCACAAUCCAUAUAAUAGAAUGCAAUAAAUGAAGAAGCCAUAAAUAUAAACACCAUGGGAUAUAGUCCACAAAAUGAAGCUAUAUCCCCUCCCAUUGAAUGCACUAUCCCAUAAUAUGAAGGUCUUCAUAUAACUCCUUUGCACUUUCAACAGUAUUUAGAAUUGUAGGGCGCAAAAUUUUGUUGUGCUAAGCAGAAUAAAAUCCAUGAUGCACCUGAAAUAAUGCAAGAAGCAUGCCAACAAAAAUUUAACUCUGCCAAGAACUGCAUACACCAAAUUCAUUGUCACAUUACCAUUGAACCAUAGGUACCAGGAUUAUCACAUUUAAGCUUCUUCCAGUUUAGGUCUUCAAUCCAGUUAUAUUUAUUGAAUGUGCAAUAUAUUCACACAAACAAAAAUUAGCACUUAAAUGAUCUUUUUAACAGUCGUUGCAAUCUUAUAAAUAUUUGCGACAGGAAUCUGGACAAUAGUGAAAUAUAAGAAUUUAGACAUACUUAAUAGUUGAUUUCAACAUUGCAUAAACUAUCAACCAAAUAAAUAAUUAUCUUUCCACAACUCUUUUAUAGGAAAUAGUAUUGCCCGAAAUAAAAAAGUCUCACACUUAGAUAAAAAUUCAUGUGUUUAUCAGAUUGAAAACUAACAGAACAUAAAGGAAUUUAGCUCCUAUAUUAAAUAAAAAUGAAAAGAAUUAGAGUAAAACACAUAUGAAAUGGACUUACAUAGAAUUUCAAAUACUGUCAUCCAAAAAGUAAAAGAUAAACCUAUUAUACUCUUAUUUAAAAGUUUUUCAAUGGUUAUACAUGAAUAUAUAUAUAUACAAACAAAAAAAUGAAAAUACAUAAAAACUAAACAAUUUUGUUGGGGGUAGUGUCGAGAGUUUGACGGUUUAUUUUUGUCUUUACAACUGGAAUUUGGCUCAAUCGAGAUAACUUUGUAAAUGCAAAUCAUAGAUUUACCUAAAAAGAUUCAAAUAGAUCAUAGUAAAAAUUUCAUGAGAUAUAAUAAUAAAAUAAUCAGGGUUUACACUAAUAAUGAGCAGCAAAAAGAUAAUAGCCAGAAACAGUCAAACCUUUAUACAUUAAAUUGUGAAAAACUUUCUGGAAAACUACAUUCUUUGUAGUAUUGUAUGUUUGUCCAUCUUUGUCACAAAUUAGUAUUUUUACUCCACUCUUGCUUGUAACUCUUGAUACUGCUACAUACAAUUGGUCAUGGCUAAAACUGGACGUGACAGAUACAGUCCAACAUGUGAGAGAGAUUGCCCCUGACUCUUAUUAAUUGUCAUGAAAAAGCAAACAACCAAAGGAAAUUGUCUUUGUUGGAAUUUAAAAGGUAAUCUAAUGUUUGACGGUGUUAAGACCAAGCGAGGUAUGAAAACUUUGUGUCCAAAAUUGCUGACUGAAAUUACUUUUGCUUCUAUCAGAUGUUUUCCCAAUUGAGUUACUAUUAAUCUCGUGACAUUGCACAAACCAAAUCACUGAUCUAUAUUUCGGAGCAACAUUACAGGAAUCCCAAUCUUCAACGUUAUCUUGUGGUUUGACAUUCCAGAAGAUGUAAUGCUAUUAAAAAAUUAUAGGGUGUAAAUGCCUUCAUAGCUGUUUGAGUUUUCAUCAACCUUACAUAGGACAUCUUAGAUAUGGUAUUUCAUAACCUGGCCAUAAAUACAUCACAUAUUCGUUCACCUUAUUUAUAGCAUCAAGUGUAGGAGCAAGGAUGGCUUGGUCUUUGAAAUAAAAGCCAUUGUCAAAUUUUUUUUAAUAAAUUAGGAUAUGUGAUAUCAACAAUUGCUGCAAGGGGAUUGAUCGGAUAUUUGAUAAGAAAAUUUGGAUAAAUAAUGGAGAGUAAUGAUAAUAGCUUAGUAAUGAUAAUAUCAUAAAGUAGUGAUUUUAGGAGAUAAUAAAUAAAUUAGAAAGUAUAAUAUCAGAACAGUUUACAUUAACAAAAUAGUUUAGAUUUGUAGUGAUUUAGAGGGUUAUACAUUUAAAAUAUUAAUUUGGGAUUAAAAAAAGUUGUGAUUUUAGUAGAUAAUAAUUAAUUUAGUAAUGAUAAUAUUAGAACAGUUAACAUUAUUAGAACAGUUUAGAUGUAUAGUGAUUGAGGGGAUUAUAAAAUCAAAAUAAUAAUGUAGGAUUAAAAAGUAAUGAUUUUAGAAGAUAAUAAUUACGUUAUGAUAAUAUAAAAAUCGUUUAGAUUGAAAAAGUAGUGAUUUAGUGGAUUAUAAAAUCAACAUAGUAACUUAUGAUUUAUAUUAUUUGUUAUUUUAAUUUUGUUUUAAAUGUUUUAAUUGUAUAAUAUUAUUUUGUAAUAUAAUUAUAAAUGGUAUAAUAUUAUGUUGUAAUAUAAUUAAAUUAGUAAUGAUAAUAUCUGCACAGUUUAGAUAGGUAGUGAUUUUAUUAUAUACGUGUAUUAUAAUAUUAUACCAUAUAUGUAUGAUAUAAUGUAUGGUAUAAUUAUGAAUGUUAUAAUAUUAGAAAAGUAAUUAUUUUAGGAUACAAUAAUUAUGUUUUAACAUAAUUAAAUUAGUAAUAGUUUAGAAAAGUAGUGGAUUUUAGGGGAUUAUAAAAUAAAAAUAUUAAUUUGGGAUUAAAAAAAUAGUGAUUUUAGGAUAUAAUAAUUAAAUUAAAAAGGAUAAUAUCAGAACAGUUGACAUUACUAAAACAAUUUAGAUUUGUAGUGAUUUAGUGGAUUAUAAAUUCAAAAUAUUAAUUUGGGAUUAAAAAAGUAGCGAUUUUAGGAGAUAAUAAUUAAUUUAGUAAUGCUAAUAUUAGAACAAUUAACAUUAUCAGAACAAUUUAGAUUUGUAGUGAUUUAGGGGAUUAUAAAAUCAAAAUAUUAAUUUGGGAUUAAAAAAUAGUGCUUUUAGGAGAUAAUAAUUAAAUUAGAAAUGAUAAUAUCAGAACAGUUGACAUUACCAAAACAAUUUAGAUUUGUAGUGAUUUAGUGGAUUAUAAAUUUAAAAUAUUAUUUUGGAAUUAAAAAAGUAGUGAUUUUAAAAGUUAAUAAUUAAUUUAGUAAUGAUAAUAUUAGAACAGUUAACAUUAUCAGAACAGUUUAGAUUUUGUAGUGAUUUAGGGGAUUAUAAAAUCAAAAUAAUAAUAAUAAUAUAAAAACCGUUUAGAUUGAGAAAAUAGUGAUUUAUGAGAUUAUAAAAUAAACAUAGUAAGUUAUGAUUGAUAUUAUUUGUUAUUUUAAUAUUGUUUUAAAUGUUUUAAACUGUAUAAUAUUAUGUUGUAAUAUAAUUAUAAAUGGUAUAAUAUUAUGCUGUAAUAUAAUUAAAUUAGUAAUGAUAAUAUCCGCACAGUUUAGAUAGGUAGUUAUUUUGUUAUAUACGUGUAUUAUAAUAUUAUACCAUACAUGUAUGAUAUAAUGUAUGGUAUAAUUAUGAAUGGUAUAAUAUUAGAAAAGUAGUAAUUUUAGGAUAUAAUUGUUUUAAAUGUUUUAAACAAUAUAAUAUUAUGUUGUAAUAUAAUUAUAAAUGGUAUAAUAUUAUGUUGUAAUAUAAUUAAAUUAGUGUGGGAUGCACAUUAAUUAAAUAGAACAUGUGUUACAAUGUGGGAAAAACACAUGUCAUUCAAUGGUGCUAUGUAGAUAACAGAUAAUAGAUAAUAAAUAAUAGAUAGAUUCCAUUCAAAAUCUUACCACAUCAGCACAACCUCAUAUGAACUCACGUAAAUUGUUCAUUCCAUUUUAAUAAAAUAAUUAAACUAAUUUGAAGUUUCAUGACAAAAUUAAUUAUACUUCUAGAAUCCCAUAAAAAAAAAACCCAGUUUAGAUUCUUUUACUAAUCAAUUAGUGAAAAUUACAAUUAAUUUGAUAAUGUAAUAGUUGAUUUCUUGAACUACUUUAAAAAAUAUUAGUUACUACAAAAUUAUUAUUUUAAAGAUAAAAAUAAAUAUUCACAUGAAUUUUAAAUUGAUUGAGUUUUUCAUAAAUUGGUUACGCAAAUAAAUUUUCAUAUCUUUAGAAUCAAUUAGCGUGGUUCAAAUAAUUGGAAGAAUUUUUGGAAGCUAAUAGAUUGAAGUUUUAAAAUGAAUAUGAAAAUAAUUUUUAAUUGCAUGGAACUAUAAAAAGUAGGUAAAAUAAAUAAAAGUCUACUAUUAAAGGAAAUUUACUUUUCAAAUAAUUAAAACUAUUUUUUCAUAAAAAACAAGUUGGCCCUAUCGUGUUUAAAUUGAUCUAAUCUGGUUGUUGCCUAAGAGAGUUAUCUAAUUAAUGGAUCCUAAAAUAAUGUGGUUGUUGAUAAUAUCCAUAAAAUAAGGUGAUCAGUAUAUAUAUCAAAGUAAUUGUUAAUGGUAUUUUUGUCAAGGGCAAUAAGAAGUAUUAAUUAGGAUGGACAUGUGUCAAUUUUAUAGAACGACAUAUGUCAAUUUAUUAUGCCAUGUACUAUGAUUUAGUAUAUAUAAUAGAUGUCAAAACCAUCCAUAUCCAAUACAGAUAUUGAAAUAAUGUUUCUAAUGAUAUUUGGAACAAAAUAACAAUUAUUUAAAUAAAUGAACUUGCCGGUAGGCAGUGCUAAACAAUAAGUCCCUACAGCUAAUGCAACAUGUUGACUUGGUCAUAUUCCAACCUUAGGUUUUGAUGAUGACUUUCCUAUUGUACUAAAACGUUUACUCAUGCAUUUACAAGAUAUUAAAAGAAUUCUUGAAGCUUUGAUUUAUUAAAGGAUUGAAGAUAUGAAGGCUUGAAGAAUUUCUUGAGUCAUUAGGAAAUAAAUGUAAGAUCUUAGCUUUAAUUAUUUCUCAAUUAAGGCUCUAAAAUUUGUAUUGCAUUGCAUCAUUAAUUAAUUAUGGAAUAAAUUAAAAUAAUUAAUUAAUUAAAGAUUAAUUAUGAAAAUAAAUAAUUAAGUUUUCAAAAUUAACGAGGUUCAAAUUAUUUGAUUAUCAUAUUUUGAAAAACUAAGUUUUUGAUAUCAUGUUGGUGGACAUUAGUUUUUGAAGCUGCUCAAUCCGAAUACUAAGUGGACCACUUAAUUAAUUCCUCCUUCCAUAAUUAAAGUUGGUUAUUAUUUAUGAAUAUCUUAUUUGGUUCCUUCCAUAUUAAACUAACAAUUAGUGAAUGGAAAAACAUGUAAUGCUUCCUAAUUGUUUUUGAAUUCAAACGGCUAUAGUUAUUGGGAAUUAUAGAAGUGAUUAAUUAUGAAAUAAAAUUAAUUAAGCUUUCAAAAUUAAUAACGAUCAAAUAUUAAUUAGAGUAAUUUUUGAAGCCUUCCCAUAAUUAAAGGAUUUAAUUUAAAAUAGAUUUUGAUAAAUCUAUAUCACAUAUGUUGAGAUUGAGUUAUUCAUUAUGUUUUUCAUGAUUUAUUAAUUGAUUGAGCUUUCUAUAAAAAUUGAUUAAGCAAAUCAAAUUUCAUAUCUUUAGAAUCAAUUAGCAUGGAUCAAAUAAUUGGUGUAAUUUUUGGAAAGCUAAUUAGUGAGGGAAAAUCUAAAUAAAUUGGGAUUUCAAAAUAAAUAUGAAAAUGUUUUUAAAUAUUGAUAUUUCUCAUAAUUGAUGGAGUUGGUUAGUAAAUGAGUUUUAAAAAUAUCAUUAUCUUUCAUAUCUCUAAUAAAGAUUGUUUCCAUAAAUCUUGGGAUAUAAAUUUUCCAUUAUUGGGUUUGCCAUAAUCAUGAAAGUAAUAUAUAAAUUAAUUGGGCUUUCAAAAUUAAUAUGGAAAGAUAUGCAUUAAAUGAAAAUAAUUAUGAAAGUGAUUAAUUUAUUAUUAAACAAAUUAAUUGGGCAUAUAAUUAAGGUUGAUUAAUGAGAUUCCAUAAUUAAAGAUAUUCUAAAAGUUUCUUCCUUAAGUUAAGCAGUGUGAUCUCAUCAUUUUAAUCGGAAGAAAUUUGUGUGGGAAUAAGUUGAAUAAAUUUUACUUAAUAAUAAAGCAUGCUUAAUUAAAUUCUACAUGACAGUGGGUGUAAGACCCCGAAUUUUAUAAAAUAAAAGUAUUUAAUUUUCUUAUAAUUAUUAUUCUAUUUAGUAAAUGGUUAAAUUAAUAAAAGGUAAAGUUAAGGGUGAUAUGUGAAAAUUUUACAAAGUAAGCAAGUUGCCAUAAAAUAUUUGUUUGGUCGGAAAAUAUUCUUUUUAUUGGGGAAUAUCCGUACGACGGUACAAUCAUUCAUGGACCCCACAACGGAAUAACUGUCGGAUUUAGAAAGCGACAUAAAUAACCUUUUAUAAAAAUAACGGCAAAACUUUUACCGUUAAACUGUUGAAAUAUCCGGUGAUAAAAAUAGUAAUACGCAUUGUUGCACAGUAGCACACGGUAUUGUACAAUAUCUUUGAUUAUUAAUGCUUACGUGAGAAGUCACUCAGUUUUAUUCAAUAAUUGCCACAGUAGCCGAUGCAUAGUAUCUCAUAUUAUUGAUUCAAUUAUUGUCACAGUAUCAUCUGCACCAUAUUUUAUAUUAUUAAAUCAAUAAUUGAGACGAUAAAGUUAUUUAUAUUAUUAUUUGCAUUAUUGACAAUGUCUAGAAAGUUCUGUCGAGGAAAGAGGUUUGGUCACCUAAUUGCGCGCCAAUAAGGAGAAGUCCUUAUAGGAAAGCCCCCUCUUUUCUGAGAAUGAUCUGGUUGUUAAUAUUGUGAGUUAUAAUAUUAAUGAUGAAUAAAUGUUAUUAAAAUAUGUUUAGUGAAGACAGGUGAAUUGAGAUAAAUAGAGGGGGUUUUUUAUAUGAAAUAUUUGUUAUAAAUUUGGCUUAUUAUAUGGACCCCCACUUACUCAUUUUUCAAAAUUAUCGGUAGAAAGUUAUUUCAGUUUUGUUUUAUUACUUAUAUAUAUAUAUAUAUAUAUAUAUAUAUAUUAUAUAAGUUUUUUUAUAUAAAAUAGAAUAUAUUAUAUUUUAUUAUAUGCAUAGUACAGCAUAGUAAAGUAAAAAAAAAAUUAAUCGGUGCGCCCGUGAAUUCGUUCGAAUCUUACUGUACAGUCCGUGAUUAUUUUUCUUAAAUAGUAUCCUGCCAUUCUCCUAUAAAUAGGAUGCUCAGUUUAGAAAUAAAAAUCACACCAGAAUCAGAGAAUUCUUCUUCUAUAAUAUUGAGCGCAUUUCUUUUGAGUUUAAGGAAGCUUUGAGUGUAAAAAACAGUACUAAUUUUCUUUAAGAAUAUCUCCGCUACACUAGUCAGAAUACUCUCCUUUUACGGUAAGGGGUAGUAUUUAUUUUAUAUUCGCUUACGAUAUUAUUUUUCGUAUUCGGAAGGAAUUUUGUUUUUUUCAAUAUUUGUAAGGAAUAUUAUUUUCGUUCAAUAUUUGUAAGGAAUUAUAUCUUUGUUCAAUAUUUGUAAGGAAUAUUAUUUUUGUUCAACAGUUGUAAGGGAUAUUAUUUUUGUUCAAUAUUCGUAAGAAAUAAUAUUUUCUUCCAUACUCUGUAGUAUGUAAGUAAUAUUAUUUCGUUUCAUAUUCCUAAUUCUACACUUAUGUUGAUAACUAUUGCUUCUAUACUCCUUGAAAUUAAUAGAAUAUCCUUGAAAUUUGCGCUUCAUCUAGUAUCGUUCCACUAAAAUAUUUUUCUGAACAUUCUUGUCAAGUUUUAAUCUUUUCAUGCCAGAGUACUAUUCACGAGGUACUAUUCAUGAAGUGCUAUUCACGAGGUACUAUUCACUCGGAUACUAUUCACCCAGGGUACUAUUCACGAAAAAAAUUAAUUUCUUUUCUGUCCAAAUUAUUUUUGAUACAUGAUUAUUAUUCUUGAAUUUUACUCCACAAAGAAGUUAUCAUGUUGACAAUUUGGACAUUUUUAAACUCUAGAUAAAUUAAAAGUCUUUAAUAUAUCUUCUUGAUUUCAUUUGAUUGAUGCUUAUAUCAUUGCCAUCAUCCUCAUGCUUAUAUUAUGAUGAAAGUCAUCUUUGGCCCGUAGUGCAUAGAUGGACUGUUGAUUGGUAUGAUUAUGACUAGGAAUUAUUUAUCGGUAUAAUCAUGACCUGUAAUAUUACAAAUAAUGUGGUAAAAGUCCUCAUUGGCCCGUAGUGCAUUGAUGGGUAGUUGUUUGGUAUGAUUAUGACCACUGGUGUUAAUAACAAAUAUCAUUGCCCCGUAGUGCAUGGAUAAUUUGUGGAUGUGAUAAUAACAAAUAUCAUUGGUCUGUAGUGCAUGGAUAAUUCAUGGAUGUGAUAGUAACGAAUAUCUUUGGCCCAUAGAGCAUGGAUAAUUCGAUGAUGUGGAUUAUUUAUUUUACAGACAAAUGAUGUGAUAAAAAUUCUCUUUAGCUUACGUGCAAAGAUAGAUUGUUGGUUAUUGGUUUUAUAAUUGUAUAUCUUUGGCUUACGUGCAAAGAUGAACUGUUGAUUAUUGGUUUUACAGUUGUAUAUCUUUAGCUUACGUGCAAAGAUGGACUAUUGAUUAUUGGUUUUAGAGUUGCAUAUCUUUGGCUUAUGUGCAAAGAUGGACUGUUGAUUAUUAAUUUUACAGUUGUAUAUCUUUGGCUUACAUGCAAAGAUGGACUGUUGAUUAUUGGUUUUACAGUUGUAUGUCUUUGGCUUGUAGUGCAAAGAUGGACUGUUGAUUUACCUGAUUAUAAAUAUGAAUUAUGAAUUUAAUUAUAAUCUUUGGUGGUUCAGGUGAAGACAGGUGAUCAGAGUUCUCUUUGUCUUGGGUACAAUAAAGAAAUGUUGAUGAAUAUUACAGGAAUGAAAUAUUAAUGAUGGAAUUUUAAAUUAGAGGAGAUAGUAGACAUUAUGUUCUACUUGACUCUUCUAAUGGAUUGUUGAUUUCGCUGCAAUUAUGGUUAAAAACUUUUAUUAUCUACCAUAUGUUCUAAAUAUCUGAUUUAGUACCGAUGAAGGCUAUUGAUAAGUUAAUUAUCUUAGUCAUAAUAUUUUUUACUGGGCUAUUUUUGCUCACCAUUUUUCUUCACAAUUCCUUUCAGGUAUUAAGAGUGUAGUUGGGUCGAGCGGGGAUAACAGGGAAAUAGUGUGAUGGUCCGAGAAUGUGGAAGUUUCCCAAUACAUUAUAAAACAUCAUGACAUGCAAUAUAUAAUUGUAUUAACGACCUAAGAUGGGUGUCGUAUAUUAUACGUCACUUAAUAAUUGAUUUUAGUGAACAAUAAUAGGGUGAUGAGAACCCAACUUUGAAAGCGUCAAAAUGCACUCCAUUAGAAUGAGGAGAACAUAAAUCUUCUCGUGCUCCUUUGGAGACUUGAAAUAUUUUCUGUUGUAUUUUAUAGGGCAUUGUAAUAAUUUGAGUAUGAAUAUUGACGCAUUAUAUACGUAACAAUAUUUGUAUUAAAACUCAAGCAUAUGUAUUGUCAUAUUUUGCACGACAAUUGUAUACAUGAAGUUUGUAUUUGAAUUCUAUACCGUGUAUCUGGCGACUCAAAAUGGGUUGUGUAUACCUAUUUUGGGGGCGUCAUAGUGGGUGACCAAAAUGGUGCAACAUUAAUAUGUUAACAAAAGCAGGAAUCUUGCUUACAUUACCUUAAUGAGUUAUUGAAUGAGUGGAUAUGAAAUAGGCCCAGGAUUAAUAAAUUAAUUCACAUCCCUUUUAGAAGUGGAUUUUAUUUAUAAAAAUCUUGAGUGGAUGGACUUCCUUAUCAAUGUGAUUCAUCUUUGACUAAGAGCAUGAUUAACGCCUUUUUGAUUCAUAAUCAAUUAAAUAAACUAAUAUCUCUCUUUAAUUGAUUCCAACAAACAUAAAGGUGAUUCACGGAAUCAAUUAACAACGGCUAUAUAACUUUAUUUCACUAUAUAAGGAUUAGCCAUGGCCUUGAGAGAAAUAACACAAGAAAUUAGAAUAUACAACAAGCAGAAUACUUAGAAUACUAUUCUGAAAAUGUACUUUCUUCACAUACAAUUCACAAGGAUUUUCAAUGUUUCUAAAUUGUGAAGAAUCGCUACAAGGUUGUUGUGCAUCAAGCUCUCAAUUAAUUUUAGCUUUUCUCUUUGCCCUUAAAUUGGUGAUAUCUUUAUCUUUCAUAUUGAUCAUUGUAUUUUAGUUGAGCCUUGAAUUGUUGAUAUAAUUAUUUCUUUGAUCAUAGUGUAUUUUGUUGUCAUAUCUUUGAUCAAUUCUCUAAACAUGUUGUAGACUAUGUUGUUAGUCUAAGGUUUCUAAUAUGGGUUAGAUUAGGGGUUUUACAAGAAAGUUCAAGGAAGCAUAGGUGCUUAAGGGUGCAUAUGUGCACGAGGAGCAAAGGUGCUCGGGGAGUAUAAGUACUGAAAGUUUGUGAAACUUGUCUAGUAAAGGGGUUUAAUUGUAAACAAAGUUAAUUAAUAAAGAGAGUCUCUAAUACUAGUUGGUAUUGGACGUGGAUUAGUGUGACGCCCCCAAAAUAGGUAUACAUAACCCAUUCUGAGUCACCAAAUACAUGGUACAGAAUACAAAUACAAACUUAAUUAUAUAACUGUUGUGUAACAUAAGUUGAGAGUAUUAAAACGAAUAGUGUCUUCUAGACAAUAUCCAAACUCAAAUGGAGUCCUCAUUACAAUUAUUAUCACACUAUUUUAUAAAAUACUGAGGACUACUACAGCCACCAUCUCGGACCGUCACUCCAUUCCCCGACUAGUCUCGGCUACGUUCUCAUUUCCUGAAGAGAACAAGGAAAGCAAAAGGGUGAGCUCAACUAGCCUAGUAAGAAAUAUUAUGACUAAGAUAAUGCAGAAUAAAUUAUCCUUAGCCUUCAACAAUGUUAAACUGAUAGAAUACAAUAAACAACAAGUUUAACUGCAGCGGAACAAUCAAUCCAUUAGAAGAGUCAAGUAGAACAUGAUAUCUACUGUCUUCUAUGAUUUAAAAACUUUAUCAUCAAUUUUAUCGCUGAGACUCAGCUCAAUAAAUAAUCCACAUCACUGAAUUAUCCAUGCACAAUGGGCCAAGGAUAUUCAUUAGUAUCACAUCCACGAAUUAUCCAUGCACUACGGGCCAAGAAUAUUCGUGUUAUCACCAAUGGUCAUGAUCAUGCCAAUAACUGUCCAUCAAUGCACUACGGGCUAAUGAGGACUUUUACCACAUCAUUUGUAACAUUACAGGUCAUGAUUAUACUGAUACAUAGUAAUAAUCAUACCAAUCAACUGUUCAUCAAUGCACUACGGGCCAAUGAAGAAUUUCAUCACAAUAUAACCAUGAUGAUGAUGACAAUGAUAUAAGAAUUUAAUUAAAUGAGAGCAAGGAUAAAUUUUAAAGAUUUAUAAAUUAAUUUAUCCAGAAAUCAAGAAUGCCCAAAUUGUUAACAUGAUACUACUUUGUAGAGUAAAAUUCAAGAAUAAUAUUGUAUCAAAAAUGAUUUGGACAGAAAAGAAAUUAAUUUUGUAUUGAAUAGUACCCUAGGUGAAUAGUACCCGAGUGAAUAGUACCCCAUGAAUAGUACUUCGGGAAUAGUACCCCGUGAAUAGUACCCCAGCAUAAAAAGAUUAAAAAUUAUCAAGAAUGUUCAAAAUAAUAUUUUCGUGAAAAGAUACUAGAUGAAGCGCAAAUUUCAAGGAUAUUCUACUAAUUUCAUGGAGUAUAAUAGCAAUACUUAACAAAAUUAGUGUCGAAUUCGAAAUCAAAAACGAAAUAAUAUUACUUACAUACUACAGAGUAUGGAAGAAAAUAUUAUUUCAUAUGAAUAUUGAACAAAAAUAAUAUCCCUUACCUUAAAAGGAGAGUACUUCUGACUAGUAGGGUGGUGAUAUAUUUGAAGAAAACUUGCACUGUUUUUUACACUCAAAGCUUCCUUAAACUUUAAAAAAAUACGCUCAAUAUUAUAGAAGAAGAAUUCUCUAAUUCUGGUGUGAUUUUUAUUUAUAAACUAAGCAUCCUAUUUAUAGGAGAAUGGCAGGAUACUAUUUGGACGCAAAGUAAGGAAAAAUCACGGGCGACUUCGACGAAAAAUUUUGAUUUCACUAUGCAGCACUAUGCAACACUAUGCAACACUAUACAAACAAUAAAAUAUAAUAUAUUGUAUUUUACUAUGCAGCACUAUGUGAUUCAUCUUUGACUAAGAGCAUGAUUAACGCCUUUUUAAUUCAUAAUCAAUUAAAUAAACUAAUAUAUCUCUUUAAUUUAUUCCAACAAACAUAGAGGUGAUUCACGGAAUCAAUUAACAACGGCUAUAUCACUUUAUUUCACUAUAUAAGGAUUAGCCAUGGCCUUGAGAGAAAUAACACAAGAAAUUAGAAUAUACAACAAGCAGAAUACUUCGAAUACUAUUUUGAAAAUGUACUUUCUUCACAUACAAUUCACAAGGGUUUUUAAAGUUUCUAAAUUGUGAAGAAUCGCUACAAGGUUUUUGUGCAUCAAGCUCUCAAUUAAUUUUUGCUUUUCUCUUUGCCCUUAAAUCGGUGAUAUAUUUAUCUUUCAUAUUGAUCAUUGUAUUUUAGUUGAGCCUUGAAUUGUUGAUAUAAUUAUUUCUUUGAUCAUAGUUUAUUUUGUUGUCAUAUCUUUGAUCAAUUCUCUAAACAUGUUGUAGACUAAGUUGUUAGUCUAAGGUUUCUAAUCUGGGUUAGAUUAGGGGUUUUACAAGCAAGUUCAAGGAAGCAUAGGUGCUUAAGGGUGCAUAGGUGCACGAGGAGCAAAGGUGCUCGGGGAGUAUAAGUACUCAAAGGUUGUGAAACUUGUCUUGUAAAGGAGUUUAAUUGUAAACAAAGUUUAUUAAUAAAGAGAGUCUCCAAUACUAGUUGGUAUUGGACGUGGAUUAGGCUACUAGAAUAGAGGAUAGGGGCUAAACCACGUAAAAAUUCCUUGUAUUCAUGUGUUUGAUUGUUUUACUUUAAUUGUUUAUUGCAUGCUUCAAUUUGAGUUGUAAUUUAUAAUCUUAGUACUUUAACAUAUAGUGUUCUUCUUUUUGAUUGAGUCAUAAACAUCUAAAUUAAGUUUAAACAAUUCAAGACUUGAAUUAAUAUUAAAAGAUUAAACAUAAAAAGUGUUUAGUGGUUGAUUUUCAUACACUGAUAAUCUAGUAAGUAUAAAUAUUCUAUCUAGCACUCUGCAUACUACACUAAUCAUUCUACAAGCAUAGAUAUUCAAUCCAGCAUCCUGUAUUGAUAAUCUGGGUUGGAUUGAAUAUCUGGUAAGCAUAAAUAUUCUAUCCAGCAUCCUGCAUUAUACUCUGAUCAUUCUACAAGCUUAGAUAUUUCAUCCAGCAUCCUGUAUUGAUAAUUUGGUAAGCAUAGAUAUUCAAUCCGGCAUCCUACAUUCAAUAUAAGAAAGUAUUUUUAAGUUGCAAAAGUUUGACAUCGUUUGUUCUCACACUUAUUCAACCUCCCCUUUCUAAGUGUGCCUACUUAAAAUUUCAUUUUGUAUCAGAGCUUGGCUCUAAUUAUCUUGGUCUUCAAGGUGACUUGUAGGGAAAGAUUCUAGCAUGACACAAUUUGGGAACAUCAUUUAAGAAGGUCAAUCAACUGUUAGACCUCUACUACUUCAUAGAGCUAAAAAUUACAACUUCUAGAAAUUUUGAAUGAGGAUAUUUCUUAAAAGAGACCCUUGUGAAUGGUGGGUCAUGGAGAAUGGUCCUGUUAUUCUAAGAAAAAAAUAUGGUACUCCAAAGACCUUAAUGGAAAUGGACUCAACUGAAACUCACAUGAUCUCCUAUGAUUCAAAAGCAAUGAACACACUCCUUAGUGGAUUGGUGCAAUUCGAAAUUGACAAAGUUUCCUCAUGCAACACGGCUAAAGAGAUUCUGGAUACUUUAAAAGUAAGCCAUGAAGGUACAUCGAAAGUAAGAGAAGUCAAGCUUAGUAUGAUCAUGCAUGAUUAUAAAAUGUUUAAGCUUGAAAAAGAUGAAACUAUCAAUGAGGCACAUGCAAGGUUCUUAGUACUAAUGAAUUCCUUGUAGCUUUAUGAUAAAUUAAUUCCACAAAGUGAGAUCAACCGUAAGUUACUUCGGGUUAUGCCCAAGAGGUUUGCUUCUAAAGUUACAACUCUUUAAGAUUCUCCUAAUAUUUCUUCUAUGAAUACAUUAACUCUAUUUAGUGAAUUAGAAGAAUUUGAACAUAAAUUAAGGGGAUAUGAUGAUGAGGAGGAUACUCCUCGAAAGAAGGUUUUAGCUCUUAUUGCAGUGGAUGAAGAGGAGCUAGAGGAUAAUUCUGAUGAGGAAAUUGCAAAACUUUCAAAAAGGCUCAAAGGGUUGUUACAAAGAAAGCUUAAGAGAAAGAGUGUUAUCACUUCAAACAAGUUCAAGGGAAAGCAAAAUGAAGACACUUUUUUUUGAAUGCGGACACCUAGGCCAUUUCAGAAAGGAUUGCUUCAAAAUAAUAAACAAAGGCAAACCAAGCUACAAAGAUAACAAAAGGAAAAAAGCAUUUAUUAAUUUGAGUGAUGAUGAGUCCGAAGUGGAAGUUAAUGCAAACAAAGAAAUAGCCCAAGUAUGCUUCAUGGGAGUUGGCAAUGAAUCAAGUGAUGAAUCGAGUGAGGUAACCAUUUCUGAUUAUAAUAUUUUGAAACAUGAAAAUGAAAAACUAAGAGAAAAGAAUGUAUAGUUAAAAGACUUAGUAAAUACUUUAUUGAAUGAGGUUGAUAUAUUAAUUGAUGAAAAGAAAAAAGUUGAACAAGAUACAUCAUCACAAGUAGAAAAUAUUUUAAUUACUAAAAAUGAUUUUUUAGAAUAUCAUAACAAAUUUCUUUCCAACAAGGUUAAUGAUUUAAAUAAUGAAGUUGAAAAAUUAAACAAAGAAAUAGCAAUGAGAGAUGUGUGUAUUAAUGCUUUUAAUGAUGAUUCUCAUAUUAAAAAUUCUUCAACGAAUGAACUACAAAAAGAAAUAAACUCACUAAAAUCAUCAUUGGCUAAAUUUGUCCAAGGGGAAGAAAACUUAUCUGUUAUGUUGGGUAAACAAAGACCUAGCUUUGAAAAACAAGGAAUUGGCUACAAUCCAACACAUAAAAAAAGUGAUGUAAAAUUUUUAAAAUAUAGAUCACAUUUAAAAUUAAAUUAUUGCUCUCCUUUCACUACUUGUAAAACAUGUGGCUUAAAGGGACAUUUAGAUUGUUCAUCAAAUAAAAGGAAUAUGAAAGUUAAAAGUGUGUGGAUUAAGAAAAGUGAUUUGUAUGUGACUAACCCAAAAGGACCCAAAAAGAUAUGGGUACCAAAAGGAUGAAUUGUUUUUAUAGGUACAUCUUAAAUCCAAAGGUCCUUUUUAAAAUAAAUAGAUUGAGUAAGCCAAAGAAGUAAACUGAAUUCGUCAGUAAGAAGAAACAACAGACUGGAUUCGACAAAUAGAAUAUAACAUCGUCUAAUUGUCUAUCCAGCAAACCGUAUUCUUAGAAAAGAAAGUUAAAAUGCCGAAAGCAGCGAAGUAUCUCAAAAGACAUCCACCUGAGAAUAUUAUUGAAGAUAUUACUCCCAAAUAUGAGUAUGAGAACUAUCCAAAUCAUGAUUACAAACUUAAACAAGUUCAAACAAGUUCCAAGGGCUUGUUAUAAGAGAUUAAGUAAGUAUCUCAUCUCAAAUGGAUUCAAUCAAGGUAAAAUCAAUUCUGCAUUAUUUAAGCAUGAAAAUAAAGAUACUAUCAUUAUGCAAAUAUAUGUAGACGAUAUAAUAUUUGGUGCUACUAAUGAGUUUCUUUGUGAGUUAUUUUCUAAGUGUAUGCAGAAGGAGUUCGACAUGCACUUAAUGAGAGAACUUAACUAUUUUUGUUUGGGACUCAAAAUAAAGAAAACAAAGGAUGACAUAUAUAUACAUCAAACCAAAUACACGAAAGAGUUGCUCAAAAGGUUUGAAUUUGAGAAAUCUAAAUCAAAGGCUACACUAAUGAGUACGUCAAUUAAAUUCACAUUAUAUAAUAAAGGUGUUGAAAAGAUUCUUAGACUCAUAUUUGACAACCAUUGUUAGUCCUUAAAAGCAACCAUGUUUCUUUCUAUGGGUAUACGUCAUUUUUCAAUGUCCUUCCUUUUUUUUUGAUUAAUGACAAAGGGGGAGAAAAAUCAUAUGUUAAUAUUUUUGAUUGAUAACAAAGGGGGAGAGAAAUUAUGAUAUGUUUUGUCUAAUCACGUUGAAACAGAUUGAGGUACAGGAUAAGUUCAUAUUGAAUUCUGUUGUUAUUCCAUUCUUUAUUAUUCUAUUGGAAUAUCCUGUCUGUGCGGAUUACGCAUGACCUGGUUCCAUUCUUUAUUAUUCUGUUGGAAUAACUUGUCUGUGCGGUCUAUCGCAUGCCUGGUGAAUUCUGUUCUUAUUCCAUUCUUUAUUAUUCUAUUGGAAUAUCCUGUCUGUGCGGAUUACGCAUGACCUGGUUCCGUUCUUUAUUAUUCUGUUGGGAAUAAUCUGUCUGUGCGGUCUAUCGCAUGCCUGGUGAAUUCUGUUGUUAUUCCAUUCUUUAUUAUUCUGUUGGAAUAACUUGUCUAUGUGGAUUACCGCAUACAUGGUGAAUGAUCCUUCGUAUUCAUUCUUUAUUAAAUUGUGAAAAUGAUCUGUCUACGUGGAUUACCGCAUGGCGGGUGAAAAUUCAUUUGUAGUUUCGUAUAUUCUAUUAUACUCGUCUGAGAUAUCAUUUCUUUUGUACUCAUUAUGGAAUAUCAUUUUCUUUGGUAUUUUUUUUGAGUUACUAUUCACGAGUUACUAUUCACCCGAUUACUAUUCACUCUAGUAUUAUUCACUCGAGUAUUCGGGGUACUUUUUGUGUCAGAGUACUAUUAACGGGUUACUAUUCACCUGAUUACUAUUCACUCUAGUAUUAUUCACUCGGGUAUUUGGGGCACUUUUUGUGUUGGGAUACUAUUCACAGGGUAGUAUUCCCGAAGUACUAUUCACGGGAUACUAUUCACCAGAAAAAUAUAUUUCUUUUCUAUCCAAAUUAUUUUUGGUACAUAAAUAUUAUUAUUGAAUUUUACUCUACAAAGCAGUAUCAUGUUGACAAUUUGGAUAUUUUUAAACUUUGGAUAAAUUUAAAGUCCUUAAUAUUUAUCCUUGAUUUCGUUUGAUUAAUGCUUAUAUCAUUGUCAUCAUCCUCAUGCUUAUAUUGUGAUGAAAUUCAUCUUUGGCUUACAUGCAUAGAUGGACUGUUGAUUAUUGGUUUUAUAGUUGUAUAUCUUUGGCUUACGUGCAAAGAUGGACAGGUGUAUGACAUGGUCAUAACCACUAGUGAUAAUAACGAAUAUUCUUGGCCCAUAGUGCAUUGAUAAUUUGAUGAUGUGAUUGGCAGGAUCAUGACCAUUAGUUAACAGUUGAAUGUCUUUGGCCGUCGUGCACUGACAGACAAUUGAUUGGCAUGAUCAUGACCAUUGGUUUUAUAGUUGAAUAUCUUUGGCCCGUAGUGCAAAGGUAGACAACUGAUUGGUAUGAUCAUUGUUAUUACAUUUGAAUAUCUUUAGCCUUUGGGGUAAGGAUAUUGAGUAAAUGCUCUAUUAAGCCUUUGUGGCAAGGAGAAACUGUUGAUUUACAUGAUUAUAAAUAUGAAUUAUCGAUUUAACUAUAAUCUUUGGUGGUUUCGGUGAAGACAGGUGAUGAUAGUUCUUUUUGUCUUGGGUAUAACAAAGAACUGUUGAUGAGUAUUACAGGAAUGAAAUAUUAACGAUGGACUUUUAAUCUAGAGGAGAUAGUAAACAUUAUGUUCUACUUGACUCUUCUAAUGGAUUGCUUAUUCCGCUGCAGUUAAACUUGAUGUCUAUUAUAUUUUAUCAGUUUAACACUGUUGAAGGCUAAGGAUAAUUAAUUCUGCAUUAUCUUAGUCAUAAUAUUUCUUACUGGGCUAGUUGAGCUCACCCUUUUCUUUCACUGUUCUCUUCAGGAAAUGAGAAUAUAGUUGGGACGAGUCGGGGAAUGGAGUGAUGGUCCGAGAUGGUGGCUAUAGUAGUCCUCACUAUUUUUAUAAAAUAGUGUGAUAAUAAUUGUAAUGAGAACUUCAUUGAGAGUGGAUAUUGUCUAGAAGAUAAUAUUCUUGUUUAAACUCUCAGGUAUAUUUUGUCGUAUUUUACACGACUGUUGUAUAAUUAAGUUUGUAUUUAAAUUUAUGUAGUGUGAUAUCUGGCGACUCAAGAUGGGUGAUGUAUACCUGUUUUGGGGACGUCACAAAUAGGCCCAGGAUUAAUAAAUUGAUUCACAUCCCUUUUAGAAGUGGAUUUUAUUUAUAAGAAUCUUGAGUUAAUGGACUUCCUUAUCAAUGUGAUUCAUCUUUGACUAAAAGCAUGAUUAACGCCUUUUUGAUUCAUAAUCAAUUAAAUAAACUAAUAUCUCUUCAAUUGAUUCCAACAAACAUAAAGGUAAUUCACGAAAUCAAUUAACAAAUAUCACUUUAUUUCACUAUAUAAGGAUUAGCCAUGGCCUUGAGAGAAAUAACACAAGAAAUUAGAAUAUACAACAAGUAGAAUACUUAGAAUACUAUUCUGAAAAUGUACUUUCUUCACAUACAAUUCACAAGGGUUUUCAAAGUUUCUAAAUUAUGAAGAAUCGCUACAAGGUUGUUGUGCAUCAAGCUCUCAAUUAAUUUUAGCUUUUCUCUUUGCCCUUAAAUCGGUGAUAUCUUUAUCUUUCAUAUUGAUCAUUGUAUUUUAGUUGAGCCUUGAAUUGUUGAUAUAAUUAUUUCUUUGAUCAUAAUUUAUUUUGUUGUCAUAUCUUUGAUCAAUUCUCUAAACAUGUUGUAGACUAAGUUGUUAGUCUAAGGUUUUUAAUAUGGGUUAGAUUAGGGGUUUUACAAGCAAGAUCAAGGAAGCAUAGGUGCUUAAAGGUGCAUAGGUGCACGAGGAGCAAAGGUGCUUGGGGAGUAUAAGUACUCAAAGGUUGUGAAACUUGUCUAGUAAAGGGGUUUAAUUGUAAACAAAGUUAAUUAAUAAAGAGAGUCUCCAAUACUAGUUGGUAUUGGACGUGGAUUAGUGACGCCCCCAAAAUAGGUAUACAUAACCCAUUCCGAGUCACCAAAUACAUGGUACAGAAUACAAAUACAAACUUUAUUAUAUAACUGUCGUGUAACAUAAGCUGAGAGUUUUAAAAUGAAUAGUGUCUUCUAGAUAAUAUCCAAACUCAAAUGGAGUCCUCAUUACAAUUAUUAUCACACUAUUUUAUAAAAUAGUGAGGACUACUACAGCCACCAUCUCGGACCUUCACUCCAUUCCUCGACUAGUCCCGGCUACGUUCUCAUUUACUGAAGAGAACAAGGAAAGCAAAAGGGUGAGCUCAACUAGCCCAGUAAGAAACAUUAUGACUAAGAUAAUGCAGAAUAAAUUAUCCUUAGCCUUCAACAGUGUUAAACUGAUAUAAUACAAUAAACAACAAGUUUAACUGCAGCAGAACAAACAAUCCAAUAGAAGAGUCAAGUAGAACAUGAUAUCUACUCUCUUCUAUGAUUUAAAAACUUUAUCAUCAAUUUUAUUGCUGAGACUCAGCUCAAUAAAUAAUCCACAUCACUGAAUUAUUCAUGCACUACGGGCCAAGGAUAUUGUAGACACUCAAAAUUUUCUUUUCCUGUUACUAACUGUGCAGGAGGGCAAAAACAUCUUUUUCAUACUCCAGAGAUAAUCCUGGAGGACCACAACAUCAAUUCCAACCUCAGAGAUAACCCUGAGGAUAUUCAGAGUUAACAGCAUGACCAUCUCAGAGAUAACCCUGGGAAAAACCUGCUACAACUGUGCGAAAACCGGAGAUAACCCCGGAAGGGGAAAAAUGGUCAUUUUGCCAACUCAACUUCACUUCAAAUCAAUUACACUCAUGUCAAUUCAAAUUGAUUCAAAAUUAGUCCCAUAAGACUCAUAUCUUAACUUCGGAGCGAAGACUACGCGAAACAGCUCACCGGAUUGCCUGACGGGAACCCGGGAAUGCUAUUUCGAUCAUGGACCCAUCUUCCUGGAAUAAAAAAGGGCAAAUCCCAUGUCAUUGCGUAACUCUCGACAAAAGCAGUCCGAAGAUGGUCUUGUAGACCUCGUUCGGAUGCUCGGAUUGAAGUUCUGCAAGUUCGAGCAUACAUUACAUUGCACGAGUUCACGUACUUCGAGACGACGCGAUCCACGAAACCCCGGGCAGUUCGAGUAGCCGCAGGUGUAACAGAGGCUGCCGCGGGUAAACCUGCGGCAGUCAGUUCUAUAAAUAUGGGGCUUGGGCUAGCCAUUUUGAGAGAGGAAAUAACGAGGAAGCCCUGUCCAAUUGGCUUUGUACACCACAUAAACUGAGUGCUAUCUUAUUUCAAACAUUUUUGAGCUUAUAUUUUGUCAUAUUUUUACCGGCGGGAGCCGAAUAUUCAUCCAUAUAGAGUCAUAGAAGUCUACAUUGGCAGCCCACUGUAAGCCUUCUCACAUUCUAUAAAGCCUUCUUCUCAUAUUAGCACACACUGUUAUACACAUUGAGAAUCGUGUUGUGUGCGUUUGUCCGAACUUCGGUCUGUGGUUUUUAUUUCUGUCUGUAUAUAUAUACUUAUAUAUGUAUAUAUUUCAUAUAUGGACUAACAUUAUCGAGUUAUGCCUCGAUUGAGCCUAGACUUCGGUCUGGAGCGUUUAUUGCUUUAAUAUAUAUAUAUAUAUAUAUAUAUACAUAUAUAUAUAUAUAUAUAUACAUAUAUAUAUAUAUAUAUAUAUAUAUAUACUUAUAUAUAUAAUUGUUGUCAGACAUAUCUGAUGAGCCUGGAUUUUACAUCUGGAGCAUUUACUCGCUUUUAUAUAUAUAUAUAUACUUAUAUAUAUAAUUGUUGUCAGACAUAUCUAAUGAGCCUGGAUUUUACACCUGGUGCAUUUAUUCGCUUUUAUAUAUAUAUAUACUUAUAUAUAAUUGUUGUCGAACAUAUCCGAUGAGCCUGGAUUCACAUCUGGUGCGUUUACUACUUAUAUAUAUAUAUAUUUGUACAUAUAUAUAUUUACAUUUCUGUCAAGCCUGGAGUUUGCUUCGUGGCCUUUUACUUUAUUUACAUUUCGUCCUGCCUGGAGUUUACUUCGUGGCAGUUGAUCGCUUUUACAGCUUUAUUUACAUUUCGUCCUGCCUGGAGUUUACUUCGUGGCAGUUGAUCACUUUUACAGCUUUAUUUACAUUUCGUCCCACCUGGAGUUUACUUCGUGGUGGUUGAUUAUGUCCAUAUAUAUAUUUACCGCUUUUAUAUAUUUACAUUUCUGAUCCCCCAUGGAGUUUCUUCAUGGUGGUUGAUCAUGUCUUUAUAUAUAUAUUUACAGCUUUUAUAUAUAUAUAACUGCUUACUGCUUUCCAUACAAAUUGCAGUAUCAUGUAAGCCUAGGAAUCAUGUGAUCACAGGUUCAGUUUACUGAAUCUAGAUUCGGUUCCCAUGAUGGACAUUUUUCGGCUGUAAGCAGCCUGUACAUUAUUUUACAGUGUCUGAAUUUCCUUGGAUGGCUGUCAUGCCCAUGAGGAGUUCGGCAGUGCUGUAUAUUAUUUUCUCGAGAAUGCUUUGCAUCUCAAAAAUAAAAGCAAACAAGCCGAACAUUUAAUAAUAAAAUGGAAGUAUGAAAAAGUCUCAAUUCCUAUUGAGCACAGGGUUUGAAAAACCUCUUUUACAAAACUUCAUUGAUAUAUCUUCGUUAAAACUAAAUUUUUCUAUAAAAUUCAAACCUUGGGUAUAUAGGUGCGAACGAGGCCUCGCACUACUUUCAAAUAAUUGCACAUUGAUCCACACACACACAUACACACAUAUUCAUAUAAUAAUUUCUUUGAAAAGUGGCGGUCACCGUGGUAACACGGAUGUCGGGGGGUGCCUAACACCUUCCCUCCGCAUAAUCAAGCCCCCGAACCCAAAAUGAAUCUCGNNNNNNNNNNNNNNNNNNNNNNNNNNNNNNNNNNNNNNNNNNNNNNNNNNNNNNNNNNNNNNNNNNNNNNNNNNNNNNNNNNNNNNNNNNNNNNNNNNNNNNNNNNNNNNNNNNNNNNNNNNNNNNNNNNNNNNNNNNNNNNNNNNNNNNNNNNNNNNNNNNNNNNNNNNNNNNNNNNNNNNNNNNNNNNNNNNNNNNNNNNNNNNNNNNNNNNNNNNNNNNNNNNNNNNNNNNNNNNNNNNNNNNNNNNNNNNNNNNNNNNNNNNNNNNNNNNNNNNNNNNNNNNNNNNNNNNNNNNNNNNNNNNNNNNNNNNNNNNNNNNNNNNNNNNNNNNNNNNNNNNNNNNNNNNNNNNNNNNNNNNNNNNNNNNNNNNNNNNNNNNNNNNNNNNNNNNNNNNNNNNNNNNNNNNNNNNNNNNNNNNNNNNNNNNNNNNNNNNNNNNNNNNNNNNNNNNNNNNNNNNNNNNNNNNNNNNNNNNNNNNNNNNNNNNNNNNNNNNNNNNNNNNNNNNNNNNNNNNNNNNNNNNNNNNNNNNNNNNNNNNNNNNNNNNNNNNNNNNNNNNNNNNNNNNNNNNNNNNNNNNNNNNNNNNNNNNNNNNNNNNNNNNNNNNNNNNNNNNNNNNNNNNNNNNNNNNNNNNNNNNNNNNNNNNNNNNNNNNNNNNNNNNNNNNNNNNNNNNNNNNNNNNNNNNNNNNNNNNNNNNNNNNNNNNNNNNNNNNNNNNNNNNNNNNNNNNNNNNNNNNNNNNNNNNNNUUUUUGUAGGGAAGCAAUUGAUCCCGUUUACCGUUCAAAGACCAAAAGGGCAUUAAGGCCACAGUCAGAUAUGGAUAAAAGUGCUCAACCUGAUCCAACUUCUGUCUCUCGCAAAGAGUUCGAAAAAUUAAGCUAUCAAAUGACAGAGUUGGAUGUUAUGCUCAAAGAACUACACCAAUCUAUUCAGGGUCCACAAAUACCCAUCCACACAGAAUCCUCUGCACAUGGAGGAAUCCAGGGGCAAACAAUGCCUACUCAACCAGAGUCAUCCACACCAGGAGGCAAUCAGGGUAUUGGCAAAAAGAUGGAAACCCAGAUAUCUGAACCUCAUUCCAAUAAAGAAAUCACAAAUCUCAGGGAUGAUCGAGAAACUGGGAAUAUAAGAAAGAAAGUCCAACAAAUGGAGGAGACCAUCCGGUCAAUCAAAGGGACUUGAAAUUAUGGGAGUGUCACCUAUUCAGAUCUUUCCAUAUUCCCAGGGGCGCGCUAUCCUACCAAAUUCAAAGUCCCAGAGUUUGAAAAGUACAAUGGGGAAGGCGAUCCCUAUACGCACCUGAAAGUGUACAUUGGCGAACUAGGAUCUUAUGCUGAAGAUGAAAGCCUCAGAAUGCAGCUUUUCCAAAAGAGUCUCACUGGAGAGGCUAAAGCCUGGUAUGCCCGACUUGAUAAUGCCAAAAUCCACAACUGGGAAGAAUUGGCCCACGCCUUUCUAUCAGUACAAUUUUCAGUCACAAAUGGCACCUGAUCGAUACCAAGUGACUAAAGUAAAAAAGCAAAGUACUGAAUCUUUCCGAGAAUAUGCCCAAAGGUGGAGACAUCUAGCAGCGCAAGUCAUUCCAUCAAUGACAGAAGCUGAGAUGGUGAUGACGUUUAUUGAUAUCCAAGAGGCUCCGUACUACGAGAGGAUCCUAGCAGGCAUAGGAAAGCCAUUCUCAAAAAUGAUCAAACACGGCGAAAUGGCAGAGAUGGGCCUUAAAGUAGGCAAAAUUAAAGACUUCACUGCCUUGGAAGCAGUCACCAAGCAUAUACAGACGGGCAAGUAUGCAAGCGAUCCUAAGGGUGUACCCGAUAAAGGCAAUGAAGAUGUAUCCCCUGUUGUACAGGGGAAAGUUAGGAGACCAACCUACAGUCCCCCCAUUUGGAAAAUACAAGACAAUCUUCUAUCUCAACAACAGGCUGCGUUCAACCAAUACCCAGAUAGGAAAAGAAAAUUUGAAAGAACAGAAAAUCGGGUGUUCACUCCACUAGGCGAUUCCCUUGAACAUGUCUUGGCGAUAUUAAUGGAUCACAAGAAAAUUACCGAACUGGCUCCACCUCUAGAACUAGGGAGUAAAAGAUAUAAUCCAAGCCAAAGAUGUGCUUACCACUCAGGGUCUCCAGGACAUGAUACAGAAGAUUGUUGGUCCUUAAAGCAUAAAAUUCAAAAUCUGAUCGAAAGUGGUAGUAUUAUGGUUCAGCAACCUGAUCAACAGAAUGUCAACACCAACCUUACGUUGCAGCAUGAUACGGAAGAAGUAAAUAUGAUAGGGUCAGGAAGUACUGAAAUAUAUCCAAUUCGUAAGUGCAUACGAAGGAUAGAAGACUACCCCCAAAGGCACAGAGCAGAUGUCCUAAAAUGGGAAAACUCGGAGGAGGGUAUGAUAGUAAUGCAAAAGCUAGAGACAAUCCAGAACCAAGUAAAUCUGCUAGCUAAGCUGAUAGUGCGCCAACAUCAGGAUACGAGGCAUUUCUUCACUCAACUAUCAGAAGGACAAGAAAAGGGGGAUGAUAAAAUUGCUAGAAGACCUCGCCAAUGGAAAAAUCGCUUGGGGGAAUGCUAACUCUCAAAGAAGAAAGAUCAAACAACCUCCACAAGAGUCCGAAAAUUCACCCCUCUAAGCAAAUCCAAUGAAGAAAUGCUACACUUUUUGAUGAGUGAAGGAAGGAUUACUGAGUUGUUACCUCCUGUAAAUCCUAAGAUAAAGAGCUAUGAUUCCACCAAGAUAUGUCUCUACCAUUCUAACUCACUUGGACAUACGACUAAGGAAUGUUGGGCUUUGCGACAUAAAAUUCAGGAUCUCAUUGAAAAUGGAGAGCUGGAGAUAGAAAUUCCUAUGACCAAAAAAGACGAAAAGGCAAUAAAAAGCUUAAGAUGUCCACUUGAGACAGGCAGCUCAAGUGAGGUGAAGGCUAUGAGCGAUAAUCCUGGCAGAACACAAGAUGGAGCGAUCCUAAUGCAGGAAAUGAUAGAAGAGAUAAGGGAAUCCCCGAAGGAGGUUCCUCCGCCAACAUCCAACAUCCUGUGGUCCAAGGAUAACACUCACGUUCCUGAUUUUAUCACCUUGGAUGAUGCGGAGGAAAUACUAAUCCUUUCCAAGGAAGAGAAAGCAAAAAACAAAAGUUUCUUGCAAGAAAUGCAACAACAAUUCGAGGGAGAUUUCAUGGUCGAAUCCUCUCAAGCUCAGGAAAAGCGUGAGGGAACAGAUGAAGGAAAAGGUAGCGAGGUUGUCAGGAAACCAACCCAUUAAAGAAUCAAGAUUUCAUACCUUUUUACGAUGGGUCCAGCUCAAGCAUCCCUGAGGAAUGUACUGAACCAAGAAGCGAUCAAGUUAUGGCCAUAAGUGAAGACAGUCAAAACCAAGAGGUAACCUCUAUCACGAUCCUUGAAGGCGACACAACCACUGACAACUGGACUAUCAGGCCUAAAUUAGCCAAAAAGAUGUAGAUCCAGGGGAUAAAGUUACGAGUUCCAGAAGAUGUUGGGACGGUAUCACUUCCUUUGCAGUAUGCUUUUUAUUUUCCAUACAUGUAUAGCAAAAAAAAAAACAACAAAACAAAAAGAAAAAAAAAGAGAAAAAAAAAGAAAGAAAAAAAUCAAUCAAAAAUCAAGUCAUUCAGGUUUCAGCUCAUUAGGCUUGAACUACGAAAGACCUGAUCUCCCCACACUCACGGGAGUACGUAGGCAGCCAUUUAUAGUGCGGUCAAACCAAACCAAACACUUCCCAAACCAAACCCUUCCCAAACCAAACCAAACACUUCCCAAACCAAACCAAACACUUCCUAAACCAAACACUUCUAAAACAAACGCUUCUCAAACAAACACUUGUCAAACCGUUUAUCUUAUCAAGUAGGAACUACACAUACCUGAUCUUCCACACUCACAGGAUUAUGUAGGCAACCACCAGUGGUGCGGUCUGACCCUCAACAGAAAUGUCCAAAUCCAAACGUCGAUCCCAAGAACGACCCUCUAAGUCAGCAACCUAUGUGGAGAAGACCCAACAACACUGUAAUGUCAUUCCAUCAAAUCUGGCACAAAUCCCAGAAAGGAAGAAACAGCGAUAUGCCAAGACGACCAGCAGUGAGGACCUUCAAAGAUUCAACACCCUUAAUCGCGAGUCUUCAUCAAAUCAAAAGAAAAACAAGACCGAUUGCAAUAACAAGUCAGGAAUAAUGAUUGAAGGCAUCAAAACCCAAGUCCUGUACUUGUUCACCAUCCGGUACAGAGAAAAAGUCUCUUGUGAUCUCAGCAUCUUAUCAGCCCAUCUGUCAAAGCGACUAUCCCAGACAACAAGCAAGGUUGAGGCAAUUUCAAAAUCGACGACAACCCGAUAUUGCGACCACUAUAACAAGACUUGGACAAUUUCGAAAACAGCGACAACUCAACACUAGGGCAUUUAUCAAACAUCUUAAAGAGGAAAAUGCCCCAGUCAACACAAUCAGCAUGGUCCAUCAUCAUCAAAGCUUUCCUCACAAUCAGCUCACUAGCGAUUUGGAUAUUACUCACUUGCGACUUCAUCAACAAAGAGAGUUUUUUGUAUGAAUCCCCGACAUCAGUAUGCGAAAGGACUGGGGCAUUUUUUGAUUCCAGGAAAGUGAAGGAUUUUAAGGCAGGAUCAGGCCUCUCAUCAAAAGAAAGAAAACUCCUGAAAAGAAUCAUGGCGACAUUAGCUUGCCCCUACAAAUGAAGGGGAAAAUUCUCAACAAAGUUCUUAACUUAAGAGAAGAAGCCCAAUGACAAAGGGUCUGACGAAUGAAAUCUACACCAUCAAUUUGCGCCAAAUCAUCAUAAGCUGAGGCCUCUACACUAAAGUUCAAAGUUCGGUAGCGAAAGUACAAACUGCACCCCCUAGGGAUAUCAGCGGCAUUCAGAUCAUCAGUUCAGUCGGGUUGCGAAUCAAAUGUUCAAGGAAAUGGGGCACAAGCACUCAACAGCGAAAAGAAACUACAAAUCACCUCAAAAAGGGUGAAGCGCUACAUCAACAUACAUCUCUAUCCAGCGUAACAUCAGGCAGAAUCUAGCAAAACAAACCUUUGAAUAUUACUUUAGCAAAGGUAUCGGGAGAUCCGAUAUUCAAAACCAUUGGUAUCAAUUCAGUGCAACAUCAAGACAGUCCAGCAAUGAAAGCUUUGUAUACUACCGUUCGAGUGGGAACCAAAACAAUUGGGCGAUGUCAACUACCAGCAGGGUAAGAUCUGUUAUCAAACUACCAUCAGGGUAGACACCAUUGUAAACUACCAGUGUAUACAUCGGGAAGGUCUGGUGAUUUCAGAACUUCAUCCCCAUCAAAGAUGUGGAAAACAUCUCAACUUAUCUUCAUCAAACAAGCGUCAGCGAUUAAAUGCCAAACCAUUGGAGUCAACACCAGCAUAGGCAUCAGUAAUGAUCGGUAAAGGUAAAGCAAUUUGCGAAAAUAUUUUUAACAUGCAUCAUAACAUUCAUUACAUUACGAUUUUUGAUUUAUGAUCUGCGAUAUGCGAAAGGCGAUGUGUGAUUUGCGAAGUGCGAUUGGCCAAAUGCGAAGUGCGAAAUGCGAUGUGCGAACUACGAUUUGCAAAAACAUUUUUAACAUUCAUCAUCACAUUCACUACAUUGCGAUCUGCAUCAUUGAAAAUACAUUAUCAUGUUUCAAGUGUCUACUAAUCUUUAUCAUGUCCAUUCCAUUGCAUUGCGUGAACAUGAUAAAGAGAGGCAUCUGUAGACACUCGAAAUUUUCUUUUCUUGUUACUAACUGUGUAGGAGGGCAAAAGCAUCUAUUUCACACUCUAGAGAUAACCCUGGAGGACCACAACAUCAAUUCCAACCUUAGAGAUAACCCUGAGGAUAUUCAGAGUCAACAACAUGACCAUCUCAGAGAUAACCCUGGGAAAAACCUGCUACAACUGUGCAAAAACCGGAGAUAACCCCGGGAGGGGCAAAAUGGUUAUUUUGCCAACUCAAGUUCACUUCAAAUCAAGUACACUCAUGUCAAUUCAAAUUGAUUCAAAAUUAGUCCCACAAGACUCAUAUCUUAACUUCAGAGCGAAGACUACGCGAAACAGCUCACCGGAUUGCCUGACGGGAACCCGGGAAUGCUAUUUCGAUCAUGGACCCAUCUUCCUGGAAUCAAAAAGGGCAAAUCCCAUGUCAUUACGUAACUCUCGAAAAAAGCAGUCCGAAGAUGGUCUUGUAAACCUCGUUCGGAUGCUCGAAUUGAAGUUCUGCAAGUUCGAGCAGACAUUACAUUGCACGAGUGCACGUACUUCGAGACGACGCGAUCCACGAAACCCCGGGCAGUUCGAGUAGCCGCAGGUGUAACAGAGGCUGCCGCGGGUAAACCUGCGGCAGUCAGUUCUAUAAAUAUGGGGCUUGGGCUAGCCAUUUUGAGAGAGGAAAUAGCGAGGAAGCCCUGUCCAAUUGGCUUUGUACACCACAUAAACUGAGUGCUAUCUUAUUUCAAACAUUUUUUAGCUUAUAUUUUGUCAUAUUUUUACCGGUGGGAGCCGAAUAUUCAUCCAUAUAGAGUCAUAGAAGUCUACAUUGGCAGCCCACUGUAAGCCUUCAAACAUUCUAUAAAGCCUUCUUCUCAUAUUAACACACUGUUAUUCACAUUGAGAGUCGUGUUAUGUGCGUUUGCUUGGACUUCGGUCCGUGGUUUUCAUUUCUGUCUGUAUAUAUAUACUUAUAUAUGUAUAUAUUUCAUAUAUGGACUAACAUUAUCGAGUUAUGCCUCGAUUGAGCCUAGACUUCGGUCUGGAGCGUUUAUUGCUUUAAUAUAUAUACUUAUAUAUAUAUAUAUAUAAUUGUUGUCAGACAUAUCUGAUGAGCCUGGAUUUUACAUCUGGAGCAUUUACUCGCUUAUAUAUGUAUAUAUAUACUUAUAUAUAUAAUUGUUGUCAGACAUAUCUGAUGAGCUUGGAUUUUACAUCCGGAGCAUUUACUCGCUUUUAUAUAUAUAUAUAUAUAUAUAUAUAUAUAUAUACACUUAUAUAUAAUNNNNNNNNNNNNNNNNNNNNNNNNNNNNNNNNNNNNNNNNNNNNNNNNNNNNNNNNNNNNNNNNNNNNNNNNNNNNNNNNNNNNNNNNNNNNNNNNNNNNNNNNNNNNNNNNNNNNNNNNNNNNNNNNNNNNNNNNNNNNNNNNNNNNNNNNNNNNNNNNNNNNNNNNNNNNNNNNNNNNNNNNNNNNNNNNNNNNNNNNNNNNNNNNNNNNNNNNNNNNNNNNNNNNNNNNNNNNNNNNNNNNNNNNNNNNNNNNNNNNNNNNNNNNNNNNNNNNNNNNNNNNNNNNNNNNNNNNNNNNNNNNNNNNNNNNNNNNNNNNNNNNNNNNNNNNNNNNNNNNNNNNNNNNNNNNNNNNNNNNNNNNNNNNNNNNNNNNNNNNNNNNNNNNNNNNNNNNNNNNNNNNNNNNNNNNNNNNNNNNNNNNNNNNNNNNNNNNNNNNNNNNNNNNNNNNNNNNNNNNNNNNNNNNGUCCUGCCUGGAGUUUACUUCGUGGCAGUUGAUCGCUUUUACAGCUUUAUUUACAUUUCGUCCUGCCUGGAGUUUACUUCAUGGCAGUUGAUCGCUUUUACAACUUUAUUUAUAUUUUGUCCCACCUGGAGUUUACUUCGUGGUGGUUGAUCAUGUCCAUAUAUAUAUAUUUACCGCUUUUAUAUAUUUACAUUUCUGAUCCCCCAUGGAGUUUAUUCGUGGUGGUUGAUCAUGUCUUUAUAUAUAUAUUUACAGCUUUUAUAUAUAUGUAUAACUGCUUACUGCUUUCCAUACAAAUUGCAGUAUCAUGUGAGCCUAGGAAUCAUGUGAUCACAGGUUUAGUUGACUGAAUCUAGAUUCGGUUCCUAUGAUGGACAUUUCUUGGUUAUAAGCAGCCUGUACAUUAUUUUACCCUUGGAUGGCUGUCAUGCCCAUGAGGAGUUCGGCAGUGCUGUAUAUUAUUUUCUCGAGAAUGCUUCGCAUCUCAAAAAUAAAAGCAAACAAGCCGAACAUUUAAUAAUAAAAUGACAGUAUGAAAAGGUCUCAAUUCCUAUUAAGCACAGGGUUUGAAAAACCUCUUUUACAAAACUUCAUUGAUAUAUCUUGGUUAAAACUAAAUUUUUCUAUAAAUUUCAAACCUUGGGUAUAUAGGUGCGAACGAGGCCUCGCACUACUUUCAAAUAAUUGCACAUUGAUCCACACACACACACAUACACACACAUAUUCAUAUAAUAAUUUCUUUGAAAAGUGGCGGUCACCGUGGUAACACGGAUGUCGGGGGGUGCCAAACACCUUCCUUUCGCAUAAUCAAGCCCCCGAACCCAAAAUGAAUCUCGGUUUCAUAGACCCGUCUAUCAGUGUCAAAACACUGGGUCAAUGUGCAAACCUUUUCGGUUGCGUUGGUGCAACCAGUUAAAUACACCAACUGGUAACUCUUAAAGUUAAAUCGUCGACAUUAUACAUGUCAGACCUUUUUCACUUAUUUUUUCAAACAAAUCUCGCAUUAACAUGAGAACACCAAAGAACAAGUAACGAAAAGGGACACUCAAAAAUCCCGAUGUCGACAGAUAUUCAUUAGUAUCACAUCCACGAAUUAUUCAUGAACUAUGGGCCAAGGAUAUUCUUGUUAUCACCAAUGGUCAUGAUCACGCCAAUAACUGUCCAUCAAUGCACUACGGGCUAAUGAGGACUUUUAUCACAUCAUUUGUAACAUUACAGGUCAUGAUUAUACUGAUACAUAGUCAUAAUCAUACCAAUCAACUGUUCAUCAAUGCACUACGGGCCAAUGAAGAAUUUCAUCACAAUAUAACCAUGAUGAUGAUGACAAUGAUAUAAGAAUUUAAUUAAAUGAGAGCAAGGAUAAAUUUUAAAGAUUUAUAAAUCAAUUUAUCCAGAAAUCAAGAAUGCCCAAAUUGUCAACAUGAUACUGCUUUGUAGAGUAAAAUUCAAGAAUAAUAUUGUAUCAAAAAUGAUUUGGACAGAAAAGAAAUUAAUUUUGUAAUGAAUAGUACCCUAGGUGAAUAGUACCUGAGUGAAUAGUACCCCAUGAAUAGUACUUUAGGAAUAGUACCCCGUGAAUAGUACCCCAGCAUUAAAAGAUUAAAAAUUAUCAAGAAUGUUCAAAAUAAUAUUUUCGUGAAAAGAUACUAGAUGAAGCACAAAUUUUAAGGAUAUUCUACUAAUUUCACGGAGUAUAGAAGCAAUACUUAACAAAAUUAGUAUCGAAUUCGAAAUCAAAAACGAAAUAAUAUUACUUACAUACUACAGAGUAUGGAAGAAAAUAUUAUUUCAUACGAAUAUUGAACAAAAAUAAUAUCCCUUACCUUAAAAGUAGAGUACUUCUGACUAGUAGGGUGGUGAUAUUCUUGAAGAAAACUUGCACUAUUUUUUACACUCAAAACUUCCUUAAACUCUAAAGAAAUACGCUCAAUAUUAUAAAAGAAGAAUUCUCUAAUUCUGGUGUGAUUUUUAUUUAUAAACUAAGCAUUCUAUUUAUAGGAGAAUGGAAGGAUACUAUUUGGACGCAAACUAAGGAAAAAUCACGGGCGACUUUACGGGCGAUUUCGACGAAAAAUUUUGAUUUUACUAUGCAGCACUAUGCAACACUAUGCAACACUAUACAAACAAUAAAAUAUAAUAUAUUCUAUUUUACAUAAAAAAUAAAACUUAUUAUAUAAUAUAUAUAUAUAUAUAUAUAAUCACUAUAUGACCCAAAAUUUACAAUAUCAAUAAUACACUUACAAAGUGACUUAAAAUUCGUGGUUAUUACACGCCCAUUNNNNNNNNNNNNNNNNNNNNNNNNNNNNNNNNNNNNNNNNNNNNNNNNNNNNNNNNNNNNNNNNNNNNNNNNNNNNNNNNNNNNNNNNNNNNNNNNNNNNUAAUAUAUAUAUAUAAAACAAAAUUUGAGAUAACUUUCUCCCGACUAUUUUGAAAAAUGGGUAAGUAGGGGCCCAUAUAAUAAGAAAAAUUUAUAACAAAUACUUCAUAAAAUACCCCUCUAUUUAUCUCAAUUCACUUGGCUUCACAAAACAUAUUUUUACUAACAUUCAUCAUUAAUAUUAUAACUCACAAUAUUAACAACCAGAUCAUUCUCAGGAAAGAGGGGGCUUUCCGAUAAAGAUUUCUCCUUAUUGGCGCGCAAUUAGGUGAUCAAACCCCUUUCCUCGACAGAACUUUCUAGACAUCGUCAAUAAUACAAAUAAUAAUAUGAAUAACUUUGUCGUCUCAAUUAUUGAUUUAAUAAUAUAAAAUAUUGUACAGAUGAUACUGUGACAAUAAUUGAAUCAAUAAUGUGAGAUAUUAUGCAUCAAUUACUGUGGCAGUAAUUGAGUGACUUCUCAUGUAAGCAUCAAUAAUCAAAGAUAAUGUAUAAUACCGUGUGCUACUAUGCAACCACGCGUAUUACUAUACUUUUAUCAUCGGGUAUUUUAACAGUUAACGGUAAAACUUUCGCAGUUAUUUUUAUAAAAAGAUAUUUAUGUCAUUUUCUAACUCCGAUAGUAAUUUUGUUGUGGGGUCCACCAAUGAUUGUGUCGUCAUAUGAAUAUUUCCUGAUAAAAUGAAUAUUCCCCGACCAAUCGAAUAUUUUAUGACAACUUGCUUACUUUGUUAAAUUUGUAAAUAUUACCCAUAACUAUAACAUUAUAUCAAAUUCACACCUUAAUACUCAAAAUGAUAUUUAGAAAAAUUAAUCUUUAUUUAUAAAAGUUGGGAUCUUACAAUUAGGCUACUAGAAUAGAGGAUAGGGGCUGAACCACGUAAAACUUCCUUGUGUUCAUGUGCUUGAUUAUUUUACUUUAAUUGUUUAUUGCAUGCUUCAAUUUGAGUUGUAAUUUAUAAUCUUAAUACUUUAAUAUAUAGUGUUCUUCUUCUUGAUUGAGUCAUAAACUUCUAAAUUAAGUUUAAACAAUUCAAGACUUGAAUUGAUAUUAAAAGAUUAAACAUAAAAAGUGUUUAGUGGUUAAUUUUCAUACACUGAUAAUCUAGUAAGUAUAAAUAUUCUAUCUAGCAUUCUGCAUUCUACACUGAUCAUUCUACAGGCAUAGAUAUUCAAUCCAGCAUCCUGUAUUGAUAAUCUGGUAAGCAUAAAUAUUCUAUCUAGCAUCCUGCAUUAUACUCUGAUCACUCUGCAAGCUUAAAUAUUUAAUCCAUCAUCCUGUAUUGAUAAAUUUGGUAAGCAUAGAUAUAUAAUCCGGCAUACUGCAUUCAAUAUAAGAAAGUACUUUUAAGUUGCAAAAGUUUGACAUCGUUUGUUCCCAUACUUAUUCAACCCCCCUUCUAAGUAUGGCUACUUAAAAUUUCACAACAACCUUUGCUCCAUUUCCCACUCGUAGGAUGACAUCAUCAUUGCUCAGCUUUCUACUUCUGACCAGUCCGUGCAUAUUAUUACAUAUGUGAGAACCACAGCCGGUAUCCAAUACCCAAGUAGAAGAUUGACUUUUAGAAAAAUUAAUUUCAAUCAUAAACAAACCUUGAUUAGGAUUCGAUGUUUGUUCAAGCUUCUUCUGCUUUUGCUCCUUAAGAUAAUCCUUACAGUUCCUCUUCCAAUGACCCGACUUGUUGCAAUGGAAGAAAAUUCCUUAGCUAGUUGGAUCAGGUUUCUUUUGAACCUUUACUUUUGCCUUACCCUUAGCCUUCUUGGAUUUGUUCUUUUGAGAAGAUACCUUGGGCCUCUUCCUUUUCUUGGACGAAUCAUCCACCAGUAAGACAUGGUUCUUCUUGGAUGGGAAGUGACCUUCAGUAGUUUUAAACAUGUUAAGUAAUUCAGGCAAGCUGACAUCUAACUUAUUCAUGUGAAAAUUCACAACAAAUUGUGAGAAGGUGUCCAGGAGUGACUGCAAGACUAAAUCUUGACUCAAAUCUCCAUCCAUGACAAACCUAAGUUGUCCAAGACGUUCAAUCAGAUUGAUCAUCUUUAAGACAUAAGUCUCAACGGUAGUACCCUCGGUCAUCCAAGAUCGAAAGAGCUCCUUAGAUAUUUCAUAUCUAGCAGUCCUACUUUGCUCACCUUACAGCUCAUGCAGGUGCAGUAGCAUAGUAGGAGCAUCCAUGGUUUCAUGCUGACGCUGAAGCUCGUUACUCAUGGAUGUAAGCAUGAUGCAUUGAGUCACAGAUGCAUCAUCUUGCCAUUGUUUAAAAGUAGCAAUCUCUUCCUCAGAGGCUGUCUCUGCAACUUUUGUAGGGACGAGCAAAUUUAGGACACAAGAAAUCUUUUUAGCAGUGAGAACAAUUCUCAAAUUCUUUAAUCAGUCCGUGUAAUUCGGUUCGGUUAGUUUGUUAGCAUCAAUUAUGCUACGCAAUGAAAUUAGUGAGUGUGACAUUUUCAAAUUUCUGCAUGUGAAAAAACAACAAUUUAGCAAACAUUCAUUUAAUUAAUUUAUUUUACCAAAAUAAAUUAGGUCUUAUUUUAUAUUGGUAUCUCCCACUAUUUUCUUCAAACUAUAUUACCCUCAUCUAUAUAGUUCGGCAAAAUCUAAUUAAAGUUUUUGCUAGUGAGAAUAAGGAUCCCAUUUCAAAUAUAUAUAGUCUUGUGGUGACACAACAAACUAUAUAUAAAUAAAUAGGUAGACAACUCUUGUCAAUUAAAUCAUCAUGUAACUCCUUUUAUUUUGCCUCUUGGAUUAUUUUGAUCAAGUGGAGGCACAUUCGAAUCAAAAUUAUCUAAGUUAAGUCCAACCUAGCACUUUCAUAUAUUCAAAAAGGAAAAAUAUUGUCCUUGUGGUGACACAACAAAAUAAUAUUGUUCAAUUUUCUUUAUAAGCAUCAAAUGUGAUAAAUUAACAUCUUAAAUACUUAAUACUUGCCUUGUGGCUGUUAGGUUUGCAAUAUUCAUGAACGCAAUCAAAUUGCACAAAUAAGCAAAAACGUGUAAAAAUCAGAGUUUAAAAUUUUUACAAACCAUAUACCCGGAUCAUCCUUUAUGCACAAUUAUUAAUUAAACGAAAAAAGGAAGAACUAGAAUCAUAACCUUGAAGAUUCGAGCUUCCUCAGGUACAAGUUCACCUCCAAUCCUUUUCGCGUUCAACUUGAAUCCACCGAGUUUGGUUCCUUUCUUUGAUCAACGUUAGCCACCCAAGUGUUUGGCCUCUAGAGGUGAUCCACCAAGGAAGAAGAAAUAUUCAAGAAGAAGGGUGGUUGGCAAAACCCUAGUUUUUUUCUAUCUCUCAUAGAAAAGGCUGUACUUUCCCAACUAUUGGAAUUACGUAUUCUUUGAAAAUGUUAACCACCUCACCCAUAAUAAGACUUCUCUUAUUUAUAGUUGUAGGCAACCCUCCUUAACAAUUAAGGAAUUAAGUUUUAUUUUAAUUAAUUAAACUCCUUUAAUUAAUUAGGCUCCCAAUCUUAUUAGGAAUAAUUAAUUAAACUCUUUUAAUUAAUUAGCCUCUUAAUCUUAUUAGGAUAUAUGAGAGUACUUUCAUUAAUUAAUUUCCAACUCUUUAGAAAUUAAAAUAAUAAUAAUUGUAAUAAUAUUAAUAAGACUCUUAUUAAUUUAUAUAUUUAAUAUUUUAAAAUAUUAAAUAAUAAGUAUUAAGCUAUUUAAUUUAGUGUAUCACCAAAGAUUAAAUUAAAUACACUUAACAUAUUAUUACAAUUAUGUCAUUAACUUCUUAAAUAAUUAUUCUUCCUUUUAUGGUGUGACCCUUUAGGUUCUCCAUAUUAAACCGGUUGUGAAUAAAUCAAUUAGAACAAUUCUAAUCUUAUUUAAAUAAAUAAAUUAAACUAUUAAUUUAUUUAAAUAAAUAAUAUUUAUUCUACAAUAGGGAUAAGCCUCCCUAGCGAUCAACGACUUUCCAGAUAAUAUAGAUUUCAACAUUAAUCAUAAAAGAACCUUUGAGUAAAUAGUUACCGUACAAUUCAAUCCUUCCACCAUACAAUGUCCCAAUUAAAUAUAAGACAUGUAAUUACUGUCAAGUCUUAUUUUAUUUAAUUAUAUGUAUUUCGAUUCUUAAAUGCACAACUCCAAAUAAUGCAAAUUAGAAACUCAUUUCUAAUUUCUUUCUGCCUUGGCCAAGGACUACUAGGUUGCCAUUUAUCAAAUCACAUAGGACAUUUCUCUUCUUUUACCAGAAGCGGUAGAUUCUUUAUUGAUCAUACAUUAUCUCCAUGUACAACUUAUUAUACCCAAGCAUAUCCUUUGAUAUACCCUAAGGGUCUUAAGGAAUAAGUUAAAGUAUAACUCAUCAUACACAAGAUACUAUGAUGAUCUCAAGUCCACGGAUCACUUGUACUAAUAUCACUACAGGAAUUCUUAUUAACAGGCAAGUAAAACUCCAUUAGGUAUUCCUUAAUGAGCCACGUUCAGUGAACUUAUUCUCUAAUAAGCACCUACAUACUUGCUUUAGUGUCUCCACACAAAUGAUCAUGAGAUUAAUCAUCCUCAUCCAAUGAGCAAGCAACGUAUGUACCAAUCUAUCCGGAUUCACUAAUCCCCAAUUUAGAAAUCCAAUAAUUGGGAACUAUUUUAGUUUUAAGCUUUCUAAGAAUUUAGAUCUCAUUAGAAUGAUCAUCAUCAUUAUUCUAAAAUCAUUGCUUAAAACUAUGGGUUUAUCACAUAUUAUAAAAUAGCAUCAUGUAGAUAAUUAAAAGCCUUUAAUAAAUUAAUACUUUUUAUUAAUUAAUGAAUAAGAUUGUUACAAAGUAUAUGCUUUAUCAUCAAACAUGAUUGGCUUGUGUGCAUACCACUUUCAAUCUCCCACUUUCACUAAAGCCAAUCGUCAUGGUAUCUCAUACCCUUCUUCUCUAAGUGACGAUUAUCCUACUGUUGGAUAAGCUUUAGUUAAUGGAUAUGUAAUGUUGUUCUUGAGAGUCCACUAUCUCUAUAGUGAUUUCCCAUCUUUCAAUGAUUCCUAUAAUCAAAUGAAAUUUCCACAACACAUGUUUAGAUCCAAGAUGAGACUUAGGAACUUUUCCUAGUUCUGUAAUGAACUUUUCAUCUAAACAAUCAACUUGUAGCUUCAUUUAUAGCUAUAUACUUUGUCUUUAUCACUAAACCAACAACUCUUUGCUGUUUGGAAACUUUCCAAUUCACUGCACCACCAUUCAAGGUAACACUUUACCUUAAAAUGGAUUUUCUGUCGUCUUGGUCUGUUUGAAAGACUUGAGUCUGUUAAGCCUUCUAGUUUUAAUUCAGACACAUCAUGUACAUGAUCACAUCCUUAGUUCCAGUUAAGUACUUAAGAAGUUUUUCACUGACUCAUAGUGAACUUCUCCAGAAUAUGACUGAUUAACAUCAGGUCUCGUACAUUUCAUUGCAUACAUGAUAGUUACUCAUGCGAUCUCUCUUUUCAGGAGUCUAUGGGGACUAUUAAGAGAGAUACACUCCAUGGCUCAUCAACAUGAAACACCUCUUGGAGUUUACCAUGCUAAACGACUUUAGCAUCAAAUGAAUAUACGUUCCUUGGGUUAAGUCGAGCAUCCUCUUGAAUCUAUCUAUAUAGAUUUGUUUCUCCAAUUAAGAUACUCUUCCCAAAUCAUUCGUGGAGGAAUGUUUAGACAACUUUUUCUUUACUGAUUCUAGCAUUGGCAUGUCAUUCCUUAUCCAUAAUAUAUCAAAAUAUAAUACUAGGAAUGUCACGACGCUCCCACUGACCCUUUUGUACACACUAGGUUCAUUCUUAUUUCAGCCUGGAACAAAAGCUGAGGAAUAAGAUUAUCCAUUCCAUUAAGAUUCUAUGGUUCAUUCUUAAUUCACGCAUUGAGUGUGACACCCCCGAAUUUGAGUCCUCUUUCCCCGGUCCGGUCAUCACGAUAAAAUACAAACAUCCACCUCUAAAUAACAUACGAUAACUAAAAUACGGAAAAUAAUAAACGUACGUCGUUCAUUAAAAAGGUGUUACUAGUCCCAAGAUACGAUAACCUUAAUAUCAUCUUACAAGCAUACCCUAAAAUAUACAUUAGGGUUCAUAUUACAUAACAGUAAUUUAAACUAAGCGUAAGGUAAAGUCUGCUCCGUGCCACUAUUUUACAUCGUUCCUUUACCCUUGUCCUUCCCUGAGGUCUCGUACUUAGCUGCAAUAUAAUUCAUGAUAUAGCAAGGAUGAGCAACAAGUUUGCCCAUUAAGUUUAAUUACAAUAAUAAGGAUAUAUCAUGAUGAAUGGAAAAUAUCUGUCAAUGAAUUCAACGAUAUGAAUAUCUGAAGGAUUCAACAAUAUGAGUAUUGGAAGCAAAGAUAAUGAUUGCUUUUAGAAUAACUGCUAGUCAAGUAGACUUUGAACUAUAACACUCCAAUGGAAUCAAUAGCUAAUUUACUCUUUGGUUACUGGCUACAGAAUAAGUAGUUGAGGGGAUCAGCCUCACGUACACUAUGUAUAUGCAUAAUAUUUAAAUCUGUUCUUUGUAUCUUAUAUUAGAUACCUGGGGUACUCCCCUAUUAAAAGGGCUAUUCUUUCAGUCUAAGAAUCCUUACCAUCAAUUAGUUUGGAUAGCUUUUAUAAAAAUUCAUACUCUUGUCUGACCGAACAAAGGUUCAGACUCUAUCUAACAUAGUUCAAGAAUUAUAGAACUUUAAACGAUGUACAAGUCCAAGACUAUACAAACUCAAAUGCACUAAGUGCGAAUAUCAAUAAUAUCGAUGUGGAAUAAUUAUAAUUAAUUAAACCACUUAAUAGCAUGCUUGGAAAUAAAGUUCAAGCUUAAUUGAAUAACUUUCAAUUUAACAAUAGCUUGCUCAAUACAAUAUGAGAAGGAUAGGAAACUUUCACAAUAAAAGUAUGGUUCAAGGAACUUGCACAAUCAAAGAGUGAAGUUCAAGGAAACUUGCUCAAUAAUAAUUUGAGUAAGAAUUAAGAAACUUUCCUAUUUGCUCAACCACAAUAUAAUACUAGCUUUAACUAACUUGCGUUGAAACGACCUAACAUUAACAAGUCGGUCUUUCCAAUUAGUAUGUGUAAACUAGUAUGAGUCUACACUUACAAGAAUCAAGUCAUCACAUAGCAUGCUUCUCAACACAUUAUAUGGCAUAUUGGUCAUACAUUACAAGGUAAAGUAAUCUUACAAGCAUGCCUUGAAACUUCAAACCAAAAAUAGAAUCUUGGUAAGACUGCAGAACGGCGCAGCUGCGCCUGGUCUAGGCUUAGGGACGGCGCAACUGUGCAGUUCCGUGGCCAGACCAGGGUUGAGCUUUGCUCUUCUGACUUCAGUCCAACUCUAACAUACGUACAUGCUAGAGUUUCAUAUAUAACACGUGACCAUACUUGAAUUCAUUACAACAAGUUUAACUUACAAUUUAUAUGUCAUUAAAACAUAAAAAAGGGCAUGUAAUCAUCGUGCUUUACAAUUCUUGUCAUAUGUCAACAUAGAGAUCACUUAAUCUAUUAAUACACAUGCUCAUGAUGUUCAUAUUGUUUAUUCACAACUAACAUUGUUUAACACUUCAAAUCAUGCUCUAAACUUAUGUUCGGUUUAGUUAUCAUCAUGCUUAAUACAUAUAAAUUAUGUUUAGGAGUAUUAUAGCUAUAACAUAACAUCUUACUACUUUAGUAUCUAAGUGCUCACAUAAUAUGCAACUUAUGUUUGAAAACAUGUUCAAGGUUGUCUUUGAAAUUAUAUUAGCACGAAUGAUGCAAUCCAACACAUGUAAGACAAAUCUAAAACCUUUAUCAUAAGUAAAUAAGUUAUGAUAAUCUCUUUUCAAAAUUAGAAACUAUAUCUCUUAGCAUUUGUGUUCAUUAGCCUUAUUGUUUUAAGCUUUUCUUUUCAAACUAAGUCCUAGCACAAAGCUUAUAUAGUUGGUCAUGGAUACAAUAGCUAUGAACCACACAUCAUGCUUAUUUAGGUUCCAAAUCAGUCAUGUACAUGAGCCACUAAGUUCAGAACUAGUAAAACAUGUAUUACUUCAAAGUUUCUUUUCUAAACUUUAAGUUUUCAUUACAAAUCUCUUACUAAAACGUGUUAAUCACUUCAUACUACACAAGAAAACCUUACAUAACAUGCUAUACUCCUUUAUAGGUAUGUAUCUAAGUCAUAACAUCAAGUUAGUAACACAUAUCACAAACAGAAAUCAGCAACUGGUUCUGGGGUACGGCGCAGCUGCGCUUCACCCUAGUACAAAUAGGGCACAGCUGCGCCAUGCUUGCACCAGAGGCAGUGACCUGCUCUGUUCUGCAGAGCCUUAACCACCUUGGUUCAUUUCAGUUUAAAAAUGCUACAACCUACCAUUAAAGAGUUCAAACAUGUAAUCAUACUUCACAAACAUAUCAAGGCAUGUUAAUUCACAUUGAUUAACAAAGAGUUCAAUUAAUUCCUAAGAUUUUGACAAAACCCAACUAAGAACACAAUUAGGAUUUUCAUACCUCUGGAAGUAAUUGGGCAGCAAUACACUCACUCCUUACAAGUUCCUUAGCAAUUAAUUCUCAGCAAUUGUAAUGAGGAAGGUGAGGGUCUCAUUUAUAGAAGAAUGGUUACCGAGAUAAUCUGAUUACCUCCCAAAUCAAACCAAAGGAUUUCAAGAAUGUAUAAUGGUUAAGAGAGAGUUGGUGAGAGUUGGUGAUUUACUCUUGAAUCCCACUCCCCAUCCACUUAUUGCUCUAGGUUUGUUAAAUUUGAGAUGAAGAUAUACUAGCUAGCUUUUUCACGUGGAAGAAAGGAACUGAGCUCUCAUUAUGGGACAAAGCAAAUCCCAGCAUUUGCAACAAAUGAAAUGCAACAAUUGGCUUAUACCAUAUAUUCAUAUAAUAUAAACUUUGGUUAUAAAUUAUGUAUACACAAUUCAUUUCACAUAACAUAGGUUAUAAUGAUUUAAAGGGCAUACAAUGUAUUUCCUAAUUACAAUGUAUCAAGUAGUGCACAUACAUAUAAUUCAUGUACAUUUUCUAUUACCACCAAAGACAAUUGUGCAUUGCUUGCACAAUUAAUCAAGUAAAUAAAAUCAUAUUAUAUUUAUUAAUCUCUUACUCAUUAUUUGUUAUUUAUUCAUAAUAAUUAUUAAUUAACACAUUAUCAAUUAAUUUUCCAUAAUUGAAAUUAAUCAAUAUGUUCAAAUCUUGCCACUAUAUUCAAAUACAUUGAAUAUUUAAUUAUUAAUAAUCCUAUCAAUUCCUUGAUAUUAAAGUCUUAGGGUUAGUCCACUAAUUUAAAUAACUAUUAGUGACUCCCUUUAAUCAAUUCAUAACCACAUAAGGUUUAAAUAGACUCAGAAAACCAACUCAUUAAAAAUUAAAUCACAUAUUUAAUUAAAUAAGGAGUUUAAAAUUCACGGUCAUUGCAUCCCUCCACCCUUAUAAAAAUUCCGUCCUCAGAAUUGCAAAAAUAAGAUUACUCAAAUAAAAAUGGAUAAUUCGCUCUCAUUUUCUCUUCUAGCUCCCACGUAGCUUCUUCUACUGCGUGAUUCCUCCAGAGAAUCUUAAUGGAAUGGAAUGUCACGACGCUCCCAAUAAUCCGGCUCUUUCAGCCUGCGGAGUGUAUAGAUGCUGCAUCUUGGUCAGCUUUUCUAGCAGGGAUUGGAGAUCCAUUUGAUAUAUUGCCGUGUACAGGGCGCAGUUCACCCUACAGCUUCAUUACUCAUGCUCCGGGCAUGGAUUAUCUCCCUCUGGCUGGCAUGAGGUGCAUUACUACUUAUCACUCGCUUGUCGUGAUGUGUCAGUUUGACCAGUUCUAGGACUUUCAUCCUUUCGAGGGGCAUUGAGUUAGCGCUUGGCUUCUCGCCAUUUAUUAGGAGAGGACUGAUCUAGGGUGUAUGCCUAUUGGGAUCAGCAUGAGAUAGCUGAGUUUUCUAUGAGCCAUCAGGGUUGUUCUACAGAGUAUUCUGCAUGGAUGAAGACAGAGACUGCAUCGACUGCGGUAGUAUCCACAAUGCAUGGGAUGGAUUUUGACGAUGGGGAGCCCAUGGAGGACACUGAUAUUCCCACAGAGGAGAAGUUGCCUACUAGGUUGCCAGUAGCUAUGAUGGAUUCUCCUAGUACGAGUACCACUGUGAUUCAGCAUUCAACACAGUAUCUGGAGUAGAGUCUACAUCUGAUAACCUUUGAGAGAGAUCAGGCUAGGGCCUUGAUAUUCACAGCUCUUGAUGGGGAGAGACGCCGCUCUAUUAGAGAGGGACGAGGCCAGAUCGGCCAGAGAUGCAUUGAUUGUAGAGCGGGAUGCUGCCCGGGAUGUGGUCGUUAUAGAUAGUACUUCAGUGAGAUCCCUUACAACUGGCAUCCUUGCCGAUAUGAGUGCAUACAUUGAUGAGCAUCAUGCCACCAUGCAGUUAGCCUCGGAUCUGCUAGCUCGUGUAGAUACCAUUGGGCAAGAGCUUGCAGCGUUACCUCCUUCUUCGAAGAGGGAUGCUAUGUUAGAUCUGAUAGUCCGCAUAUAUACAGAUCCGUAAAUAGACUUGUAUUUUCCUGCACAGACUAGCUUAGCCAUUUUUUCAUGUACAACACAUAUGUAUAUAUCAAACAGUAUUAUGUAUGGCAGGGACAUAUAUUUUUAUUCACUUCCCUUUUAUUUGUGCCUUGAUACUUGCUUGAUAUUUUGCCUGCUUCUUCAGGGCUUGUGAUCAUGAUGUAUUCUGAACUCACCCUUGAUAGGUGGACAUUGAGACAUCGCAGGAUCUUUCAGAAUGGAUCAUUGAUCUAUGUGUAUCCCUACCAUCUUUGGUGUCUUGGGACUAGUUUCUAUAUGGAAAUGUGGAGAGGAGUGUGGCUUUUUCUCUCUGAGAUUGACCGCACCACAGAUGGUCACCAGUACUCCUAUUUAGGAGGAGCCCAGUUAGUUCCAUCUCUUAUGGAUUGGUGUUGCUCUUUGAGGCACAACCGCAGCUUAGAUGGUCGCCGAAUCUCCUAUUAUGAGGAGAGGUUAGGUAGUUCCAACCCUUUGUUCUGAAGCCGAUGAAAAGUGGUGAGUUGAAAUUUGAUCCCAUUACCAUUGACAAGUAUUUGUAAUUUGGUAGGGGGUUAGACCAAACCAUAAAUGGCUUCCUACGUAAUCUAAUUGAAGAGGAGAUCAGGUCUGCGUAGUUCGAACCUGGUGUAAGAGGUUCAAGGCUGAAUGUGAAAGGGGUAAAUGGGUGGAGAAGCUUUAUUGAUGAAGAAGGGUGUAUAAGUGUUUUUGUUUUUGUAAAGAAAGGGCAGAAAUGUUUUUGUUUUUUUUUUGCGACCGGGUCAUAUAGAAUAUGGUUGCCUACGUACUCUCGGGUAUCAGGGAGAUCAAGUCAACGUAGUUCGCCCCUCAGGACUAUUUGUGACCGAAGAAGUUGAAUCCCAUGUGCAGAAUGAACUGCGGGGAAAUGAAAGUUUGAUCCCAUGCUUGGGACAAACUGCAGGUGUGAAACGUUUAAUCCUGUCUUCAGGAUAAACUGCAGGUAUGAAAGGUUCAAUCCCUGAUGGGAUAACCGGAGUUGUAUGAUGUGAAACCAGGCUGCUGGUUUGAAAAGUGUGUUUUUUCCCUGAGGGGCAGAUGGGUAAAAAGAAAAUGUUGUAUGUAAUGAGGGUUAAAGAACCUGAAAUGACUGAUGAUCCAAAACCAGGAUGUUUGUUUGAUGGUAACCUCAGACAUAGUACCGUUUCACGGUGUUUGAGUUGAUAAGCUGUGGAAAUUCAUCGCCAUCCAUUUCUUGCAAUCUGAGAGCGCCUCCUGUCAAUACCUCCUUGACAACAAAUGAGCCUUCCCAGUUAGGAGUGAAUUUUCCCUUAGAUUGAUCUUGGUUGUCAAUGAUCUUCUUCAAAACUAAGUCGUGCUGUUUAAAAUGUUGUAGCCAGACUUUUCUAUUGUAGGAUCUUGCGAUCCUUUGUUGAUAUAACUGACCAUGGAAGAUAGUCGCGGUUCGCCUUUCGUCUAUUAGAGACAAUUGGUGAUACCUAUCUUGUACCCAUUGGUCUUCUUCCAGCUGAGCAUCUAUUAACACUCUGAGGGAUUCCAUUUCCACCUCUAUGGGGAGCACUACUUCCAUCCUAUAGAUUAAUGAUUAGGGGGUUGCCCCAGUGGAAGUAUGCAUUGAAGUUCUGUAUGCUAAUAAAGUCAGAGGCAACAAGUCAGGCCAUCCCUUGUGGUUGGCGGACAUUUUUUGCAUGAUUUUCUUGAUGUUUUUUUUAGCUGCUUCAACAGCACCAUUCAUCUUUGGACGGUAGAUGAUGGAGUUAAGGUGUUUGAUGUGGAAUUUACUACAUAACUCCUCCAUCAUUUUGUUGUUGAGGUUCUUAGCAUUGUUUGACACAAUGACCUCUGGUUGUCUAUAAUGACAAACGAUAUUAUUUCGAAUGAAAGCAAUGAUGACUUCUUUAGUAACCCUGGGGAAGGAGGCUGCUUCUACCCACUUGGUGAAGUAAUCGAUCAUGGUGAAUAUGAACUGAUGUCCAUUACUGGCUUUGGGCUCAAUGGGCCCGAUCACGUCCAUUCCCCACAUUGAGAAGGGCCAAGGCGAACUCAUAUUGUGGAGUUCCCUUGGAGGGGCGUGGAUGACAUUUCCAUGAAUUUUGCAUUGAUAACACCUUUUGACAUGAUCAUCACAGUCAGGUUUGAGGGUAAGCCAAUAAUGUCCAGUUCUGAGGAUCUUCUUAACAAGUAGAGGGUCGUUUAUGUGUGGGCUACAUACUCCACCAUGAAUCUCAUCCAUGAGCCUCUGUGUUUGGUCCUUGUCCAAACAUCUGAGAAGACCUAAUCUUGCAUCUCUCUUGUAGAGUCCAUCUCCGCUUAGGUAGAAUUUCAUAGAAAGUCGAUGGAUUCGCUUUCUUUCAGUUUGGCUCGCAUCAGUGGGUGUAGAUCCAUCUUGUAAGUACUCCUUGAUGUGCUGAUACCAAGGGUUAUGGAUGGGAGGUAGCUUAUUCGAUACUUCUCCAAUAUAGUUCCCAUAGGCUGGGUGUGAGACCCUAAAUUUAUAAAUUUUGCAAAGUAUGCAAGUUGUUGUAUUAUAUUCGAUUGGUCGGGGAAUAUUCAUUUUAACAGGGAAUAUUCGUACGACGACACAAUCAUUGGUGGACCCCACAACGGAAUUAUUGUCGGAUUGAGAAAAUGACAAAAAUAUUUUUAUGAAAAUAACGGCGGAAGUUUUACCGUUAACUGUUGAAACACCCAGUGUUAAAAAUACAGUAAUACGCGUGGUUGCAUAGUAGCACCCAGUAUUGAUUAUUGAUGCUUACGUGAGAAGUCACUCAGUUUUAUUCAAUUAUUGCUACAGUAAUUGUUGCAUAGUAUCUCACGUUAUUUGAUUUAAUUAUUGUCGAUAUUUUAUAUAUUAUUAAAUCAAUAAUUGAGAUAACAAAGUUAUUAAUAUUAUAAUUUGCAAUAUUAACGAUGUCUAGAAGUUCUACCAAGGAGAGGUUUGGUCACCUAAUUGCGCGCCUUUAUAUAAAACAGAAUACUUUUAUAAAGUUAUUUGUUUUAUUAGACUAUAAAUAGAAUAUAUUAUAUUUUAUUAUGCAUAGUGUUGCAUAGUAUUUGUAUAGUAAAAUCUUUUUAUAUAAAACAGAAUACUUUUAUAAAGUUAUUCGUUUUAAUAUAUUAUAAAUAGAAUAUAUUAUAUUUAAUUUAAAAAAUUUUGUUUUAUUAGAAUAUUUUAUUAAUACUGCAUAGUAAAUCAAUAUGAACCGUCCGUUUAAAAGUAAAUCAAUCUGGACCGUUCAUGACUUAGUUACUAUUCAGUCCAUUCUCCUAUAAAUAGAAGGUCAUUCCUUUAUUAUUUCUUAUGAAUUCACUGAAACUCUAGAGAGUGAAACUCUAGAGAGAGAAACUAUAGAGAGAAAGAAUAAAAGUAUUCUGCUACUUCACUACUCCUAUAUCCAGUUUCUUCUAAGGUAAUGGAUAUUAUUUGUUGUACUCGUAAGGGGUAUUAUUUCUUUCUUAUUCAUGAAGAGAACUUCUGUUAUUCCAUUCUUUAUUAUUAUGUUGGAAUAACAUGUCUAUGCGAAGUACGGCAUACAUGGUGAAAUUCUUCUGUUAUUCCAUUCUUUAUCAUUCUGUUGGAAUAUCCUGUCGGUGCGUAUUACGUUUGACCUGUUUCCAUUAGUUAUUAUUUUGUUGGAAUAACUUGUUGUGCUGUCUAUCGCAUGCAUGGUGAUUUAUGUUGUUAUUCCAUUCUUUAUAAUUCUGUUGGAAUAUCCUGUCGGUGCGAAUUUUGCCUGACCUGGUUCCGUUCUUUAUUAUUCUAUCAGAAUAUCCUGUCUGUGCGUUUACGCAUGACCUGGUUCCAUUAUUUAUUAUUCUGUUGGGAAUAACCUGCCUAUGCGAAGUACCGCAUGCAUGGUGAAUUCUUCAGUUAUUCCAUUCUUUAUUUCUGUUGGGAAUAACCUGUCUAUGCAAAGUACCGCAUGCAUGGUGAAUUUUUCAGUUAUUCCAUUCUUUGUUAUUCUAUUGGAAUAACCUGUCUAUGUGGAUUACCACAUGCAUGGUGAAUGAUCCUUUGUAUUCAUUUCUUAUUAAAUUGUGGAAAUGAUCUGUCUACGUGGAUGACCGCAUGGCGGGUGAAAAUCCAUUUGCAGUUUCAUAUAUUCUAUUAUACUCAGUUAGUUAAAGUUUUGGCUUCUAUACUCCAUGAAAUUAGUAGAAUAUCCUGGAUAUUUGCGCUUCAUCCAGUAUCUUUUAAUGAAAAUAUUCUUCUGAGCAUUCUUGAAUUUUACUCUACAAAGAAGUAUCAUGUUGACAAUAUGGACGUUAUUGAGUUCAGGAUAAAUUAACUUAUAAAUCUUUAAAAUUUAUUCGUGAACUUGUUUUAUUGAAUUCUUAUAUCAUUGUCAUCAUCCUCAUGCUUAUAUUAUGUUGAAAGUCAUUUGUGGCAUGUAGUGCAUAGAUGGACUUGGUAUGAUUAUGACCAGGGAUUAUUCGGUAUAAUCAUGAUCGUAAUAUUAUAAAUGAUGUGGAAAAAGUCCUCAUUGGCCCGUAGUGCAUGGAUAAUUUGUGGUUGUGAUACUAAUGAAUAUCCUUGGCCGUAGUGCAGGGAAGAUGUGGAUUAUUUAUUGAGCUGAGUCUCAGUGAUAAAAGUGAUGAAAAACCUUUUAAAUCAUAGAAGAUAGUAGAUUUUAUUCUCUACUUGACUCUUUUAAUUGAUUGCUUGUUCUGCUACAGUUAAACUUGAUGUUUGUUAUAUUAUAUAAGUUUAACACUGAUGAAGGCUAACGAUAAUUUAUUCUGCAUUAUCUUAGUCAUAAUAUUUCUUACUAGGUUAGUUGAGCUCAUCCGUUUACUUUCAUUGUUCUCUUCAAGAAAUGAGAACGUAGCAGGAACUAGUCGGGGAACGGAGUGACGGUCCAAAUGAUAGCAUUAGUAGUCCUCACUAUUCUAUGAAAUAGUGUGUUAAUAAAUGUAUUGAGGACUUAUUUUGAGUUUGAAUACUGUCUAGAAGAUAAUAUUUGUAUUAAAACUCACAACUCAUGUUGUAUAUUUAAGAUUGUAUUUAUAUUAUGUACCAUGUUUUUGGUGACUCAGAAUAGGUGAUGUAUACCUAUUUUGGGGGCGUCACUGUUGGUAUCAAAGCUUAGGGAUAUGAUCCUUGGCUGAGAUGUGAGAUAAGAACUAGGAGGGGAGAGACGGGGAAUUCCUUCGCUAGUAUGACCUACCAAAGUUUACUUGUUAUUUAAUGGGUCAGUCAGAGUAUAGGGAUAAUAUGUGAUAUGUCAAUUAACCCUUGUUUUGUUAUAGUGUUUGAAAAUGGCAUCUGAAAAUGUUGAGAUCAGCAAUGAAGCACAUGAGACCGUUGAGUCACCAACGAUCAAUAAUCAGGAUAAUGUGCAUCAGGAAGGCGACAAUCCUCAUGUAAACAAUAACACCGAUCAGAUGAUGAAUGAUGGGAUGUUCAGAGGCUUUAUGCAAUUCAUGAAACAUCAGGUAAGAGAGACUCAUGUUCAAAAUAUAGGUGGAAAUAAUGGCAACCCACAGCUGGUCACUGCUAAGCAGUUCAAGGAGCUGGGACCGCUGGAGUUUUUGGGAAAGCCAGAACCACUUAAGGCGGAGACCUGGUUAAAGUAGAUCACCGAGAUAUUUGAUGUCUUGGGAUGCUCCGAGGAGCAAAAGGUUCCCUUCGCCACCUUUAUUUUGCGUGAAGAGGCAGAUUACUGGUGGGAAUCUGUAAAAUGUACCCAGCCUAACGCACUCAAGAUGUCUUGGGAGAAGUUUCAAGAAUUGUUCAACGAUAAGUACUUUUCUAAAAGUAUUUAUCACAUGAAGGAGGUGGAAUUCAUCAAGCUAGAGCAAAACAAUAUGACCGUGUCGCAGUACGAAGCUAAGUUUGCCGAGUUGUCCCUGUUUUCAUUCCAUUUGGUCGAUAAUGAGGAGCGAAUGACGCGAAUGUUUCUGCGAGGUUUGAAACCCAAAAUACGUCAAUACCUCAUUUCUCACAAACUUUGUUUAUAUUCAGAUAUUGUGAAUAGGGCUCAGUUAUUGGAGCACAAUAAUGAGUUAGCACAACCAAAAGGCAAUAACCAACAACACGAUAAUAAUCGUACCGGUGGCAACGACCAUCGGAACAAUGAUAACCAUCGUGGGGGAAAUUAUCAUGCCAAAAAUGGUAACCACUUCGGUGGUAAUCAUGGCCAAGAUAAUAGGAGUGGAAAUUUCAAGAAGAGAAGAUUUAACGAUGAUGGAAAGACGUCAGCACCAGCAUCUGUUGUUAAGGAAGGAGAAUGACCACCGGUCGUAUGUUUUAAAUGCGGACAGGAGGGACACAUUCGUCCAAAUUGUACGUAGCAAUCCAAAGCAUGUUUCAAUUAUGGAAGAGAAGGUCACCUAGCUCGAUUUUGUCAUGUAGUAAAGUCAAGUCCAGUUGGGAUAAUGAUGCCACGGAUGUCUCAGACAAGUCAAAGUCGGUAGUUUAAGUGAGAGCGUUUGUCGAGGAACCCGAACGAAGUUAUCAUAGGUAAGUUUAUCAUAAACAUUUACGAAGUCUAUACCUUAUUUGAUACCGGUUCUACCCAUUCUUUUAUCUCUCUUGAUUGCGCUCAACGUUUAAAUUUGACUCCGGAGAAAUUAGACUUUGACUUAUCGGUUGAAACUUCGUUAAGAGAAACCUUCGUUACCUCCACUGUUUAUAAAUCUUGUUUGAUUCAAAUCGACACUUUCACGUUACCUGUCAAUCUUAUCUCUUUGAAAAUACUUGUCUUUGAUGUGAUUUUAGGAAUCGAUUGGUUAACUACUCAUCAUGCAUUUCGUAAGGUUGUUAGCUUUCAUAUUCCUAACCAACCUGUUAUGCGAAUUCUAAAGUCAAUCAUUGUCAUAUCAAGCCAUAAGUAAAGAGCCCCGAUCCUUUCAUUGUUGACUUCCUUGUGUGUAAUGCACCGAAGCCAGACUUUCUAUAGGCGACGUUGUGAAUGACAAUGACAAGUUGAUAGGUAUCAAUGUGAUGUACUAUCCAAGUCUUGGACGAGAGUCACAGUUUUGAAUGAUAUUUCUAUUGUUAAUAAAUUUCCUGACGUAUUCUUGAAGACUUCUUAGCCUACCCCUAGAGCGUGAAAUCGAAUUUUGUAUUGACCCCAGUACAAAACCCAUUUCUUAAACCCUCAAAUAUUUUCUUCACCUUAAACGAACGUAUAAUGCGCCAAAGACGUUGGCUCGAGUUGUUGAAGAUUACGAUUGUACCAUUCAAUACCAUCGUGGGGAAGCGAACGUGGUAGCUGACGUGUUGAGUAGAAGAUCGUAUGUGUUUACGAGUGCGAUGUUGUUAACACAAAGACUCAUUUCGUAUAACUUACAAAUAAUGAAGAUAGAGUUAAAGACUCUAGGGACCCACGUGAAGAUAACGAAUAUACGAGUAGAAUCGACUUUAAUCGAUAAAGUUAAAGGCCGCUCAAGCUACACACCCGGAACUGAUGAAUGUGAAGAAAAAGGUUCAAGAAGGCGUUAUCUCAACCCUCGAUUUUAUUGGUCUAUUUGAAGUCCUCGAUGGAGUAGGAACUAUGGCUUUUACACUCGCUUUACCCCCAAGUAUGUCGCGUGUUCAUAACGUUUUUCACGUAACAAUGUUACGUAAAUAUGUGGACGACCCGGACCACAUUAUUGAAUUAAAACUAGACGAGAUAGCAGAAGAUUUAACGUAUGAGGAGAUACGUGUUAAAAUCUUAGAUAAGAAGGAUCGUAUUCAACACUCAAAGGUUAUACCUCAAGAGUUAGAAUCUGAAAUGAAGUCAAGGUAUCCUCAUCAUACCAGGUACAUACGUAAAUUUUGAGGGCGAAAUUCCAUAAGGAGGGGAGAUUGUGAGACCCCAAAUUUUACGAAUAAAGAUUUAAUUUUCUCGAAAUAUUUUUUUGAAUAUUAUGGUGUGGAUUUGAGAUAAUGUUAUAGUUGUGGAUAGUAUUUAUAAAUUUUGCAAAUUAUGCAAGCUGAUGUAUUAUAUUCGAUUGGUCGGGGAAUAUUCGUUUUAACAGGGAAUAUUCGUACGAUGGCACAAUCAUUGGUGGACCCCACAACGAAAUUAUUGUCGGAUUGAGAAAACGACAAAAAUAUUUUUAUGAAAAUAACGGCGGAAGUUUUACAGUUAAAUGUUGAAACACCCGGUGUUAAAAAUACAGUAAUACGCGUGGUUGCAUACUAGCACACAGUAUUGAUUAUUGAUGCUUACGUGAGAAGUCACUCAGUUUUGUUCAAUUAUUACUACAGUAAUUGUUGCAUAAUAUCUCACGUUAUUUGAUUUAAUUAUUGUCGAUAUUUUAUAUAUUAUUAAAUCAAUAAUUGAGAUAACAAAGUUAUUAAUAUUAUUAUUUGCAAUAUUAACGAUGUCUAGAAGUUCUGCCAAGGAGAGGUUUGGUCACCUAAUUGCGCGCCAAUAGGGAGAAAUCCUUAUUGGAAAGCCCCCUCUUUCCUGGGAACGACCUGGUCGAUUAAUAUUGUGAAUUAUAAUAAUGAUGAUAAAUGUUGUUAAAUAUAUUGAGGUGUCUUUUUAUGAAGUCACAGAAGUUUAUAUAUAUAUAUAUAAAUUAUGUUUUAUUAGUAUUAUUAAUGUAAUAAAAUAGAAAAGCUUUUUAUAUAAAACAGAAUACUUUUAUAAAGUUAUUUGUUUUAUUAGACUAUAAAUAGAAUAUAUUAUAUUCUAUUAUGCAUAGUGUUUUGCAUAGUAAAAUAUUUUUAUAUAAAACAGAAUACUUUUAUAAAGCUAUUUGUUUUAUUAGACUAUAAAUAGAAUAUCUUAUAUUUUAUUAUGCAUAGUGCCUGCAUAGUGUUUGCAUAGUAAAAUCUUUUUAUAUAAAACAGAAUAUAUAAAGUUAUUCGUUUUAUUAGAUUAUAAAUAGAAUAUAUUUUAUUUUAUUUAAAUGAUUUUGUUUUAUUAGAAUAUUUUAUUAAUACUGCAUAGUAAAUCAAUAUGGACCGUCCGUUUAAAAGUAAAUCAAUCUGGACCGUUCAUGAAUUAGUUACUAUUCAGUCCAUUCUCCUAUAAAUAGAAGCUCAUUCCUUCAUUAUUUCUUACGAAUUCACUGAAACUUUAGAGAGAGAAACUAUAGAGAAAAAAAAAAGUAUUCUGCUACUUCACUACUCCUAUAUCCAGUUUCUUCGAAGAUAAGGGAUAUUAUUUAUUGUACUCGUAAGGGGUAUUAUUUCUUUCGUAUUCAUGAAGAGAACUUCUGUUAUUCCAUUCUUUAUUAUUAUGUUGGAAUAACAUGUCUAUGCGAAGUACCGCAUACAUGGUGAAAUUCUUUUAGUAUUCCAUUCUUUAUCAUUCUGUUGGAAUAUCUUGUCGGUGCGUAUUACGCCUGACCUGGUUCCAUUAGUUAUUAUUCUGUUGGAAUAACCUGUCUGUGUGGCCUAUCGUAUGCAUGGUGAUUUCUGUUGUUAUUCCAUUCUUUAUUAUUCAGUUGGAAUAUCCUGUCGGUGCGAAUUUCGCCUGACCUGGUUCCGUUCUUUAUUAUUCUGUCGGAAUAUCCUGUCUGUGCGUUUACGCAUGACCUUGUUCCAUUAUUUAUUAUUCUGUUGGGAAUAACCUGUCUAUGUGAAGUACCACAUGCAUGGUGAAUUCUUCAGUAAUUCCAUUCUUUAUUAUUCUGUUGGGAAUAACCUGUCUAUGCGAAGUACCGCAUGCAUGGUGAAUUCUUUAGUUAUUCCAUUCUUUAUUAUUCUGUUGGAAUAACUUGUCUAUGUGGAUUACCACAUGCAUGGUGAAUGAUCCUUUGUAUUCAUUCCUUAUUAAAUUGUGGAAAUGAUCUGUCUACGUGGAUUACCGCAUGGCGGGCGAAAAUCCAUUUGCAGUUUCAUAUAUUCUAUUAUACUCAGUUGGUUAAAGUUUUGGCUUCUAUACUCCAUGAAAUUAGUAGAAUAUCCUGGAUAUUUGCGCUUCAUCCAGUAUCUUUUCAUGAAAAUAUUCUUCUGAGCAUGCUUGAAUUUUACUCCACAAAGCAGUAUCAUGUUGACAAUUUGGACAUUAUUGAAUUCAGGAUAAAUUAACUUAUAAAUCUUUAAAAUUUAUUCUUGAACUUGUUUUAUUGAAUUAUUAUGUCAUUGUCAUCAUCCUCAUGCUUAUAUUGUGAUGAAAGUCAUCUUUGGCUUACGUGCAUAGAUGGACUUGGUAUGAUUAUGACCAGGGAUUAUUCGGUAUAAUCAUGACCGUAAUGUUAUAAAUGAUGUGAAAAAAGUCCUCAUUGGCCCGUAGUGCAUUGAUGGACAGUUUUUGGUAUGAUUAUGGCUAUGGAUUCUCUUCGGCCAAGGGUGCGAAGAUGAAUUGUUUUAUGGCAUAAUCAUGACCAUUGAUGAAUACACGAAUAUCCUUGGCCCGUAGUGCAUGGAUAAUUUGUGGUUGCGAUACUAAUGAAUAUCCUUGGUCGUAGUGCAGGGAUGAUGUGGAUUAUUUAUUGAGCUGAGUCUCGGCGAUAAAAGUGAUGAAAAACCUUUUAAAUCAUAGAAGAUAGUAGAUUUUAUUCUCUACUUGACUCUUUUAAUGGAUUGCUUGUUCCGCUGCAAUUAAACUUGAUGUUUGUUACAUUGUAUCAGUUUAACACUGUUGAAGGCUAACGAUAAUUUAUUCUGCAUUAUCUUAUAUUAAUAUUUCUUAUUGGGCUAGUUUAGCUCACCCUUUUACUUUCAUUGUUCCUUCAGGAAAUGAGAACGUAGUAGGGACUAGUCGGGGAACGGAGUGACGGUCCAGAUGAUAGCAUUAGUAGUCAUUGAGGACUUAUUUUGAGUUUGAAUACUGUCUAGAAGACAAUAUUUGUAUUAAAACUCACAGCUUAUGUUGUAUAUUUAAGAUUGUAUUUGUAUUCUGUACCAUGUAUUUGGCGACUCAGAAUAGGUGAUGUAUACCUAUUUUGGGGGCGUCACACUGGGGCCUUUUGUAGGGCUAAUGUGAUGUUUGGCAUGUUUUCCUUGUCAGGUAUGUGAAUCAAGGAGGCCAAUGUUUCUAGCGCAUCCGCAAAAUCAUUCCUAUUACAAGGAAUGUUUAGAAAAGAGAUUUCUUCAAACUUCAAAGCCAUCUGUAAAACUUGCCAAUGGUAAGGCAGCAAAUUUAGUUCUUUGGUUUGAUAGAUUCCCGUGGAUUGUUUGAUUACCAACUCAGAAUCCCCAAAGAUAGUUAACCGCCUUAUACCCAUUGAAUGGGCAAGUUUUAGCCCCAUGAUACAGCCUUCAUACUCAUCUAUGUUGUUGGUGUUGACAAACUGCAAUUUGACGGUGAUGGGAUACUGCUCCCCCAUACCGGACACUAGAACUGCUCCAGCUCCAAAGCCUAUGUUAACAGCUCCAUCAAAAUACAUUUUCCACGUACGACAUGUAUCGUACUGAUGAUAUUGCUGAACUGCCAUUACCCCUUCAUUGGGGAAGCAUGUUUCCAAGGGUUUGAAGUCCCCUGCAGGUGUGGCAGCCAGUCAAUCCACAAUUCCUUGACCUCUGAUAGACUUUUACAUCAUGUAGACGAUUUCAAAUUGCUGUAGGAUCAACUGCCAUCUGGACAGCCGACAAUUUAACAUGGGUUUACUGAACACUUACUUGAGAGGAUCCACGCGGGGUAUAAGAUGGGUUGUGUGACCAUGGAGGUAAUGUUGUAACCUCAUGGAAGCCCAUGCUAAAGCACAAUAAGUUUUCUCAAUCAGAGUGUACUUGUGUUCACUGAUGCUGAAUCUUUUGUUGAGGUAAUAGAUAGCUCAUUCUUGGCCUCUAUCGUCUUUUUGUCCCAGCAUGCAUCCCAUGGCAUUGUCGUUGACUGAAAGGUACAUGAAUAGGGGAACACCAUCCUUGGGAGGUACCACCAUCCUUGGGAGGUACCAAAAUGGGAGCUUUAACUAGCUGCUCUUUGAUUGUAAGGAAGGCUUUUUUACACUCAUCGUUCCAUUUCAUGGAUGAGUUCUUCCUUAACAACUUGAAGAGGGGUUCACAGGUUGUUGUGAGUUAAAAGAUGAACCUGCUAAUGAAGUUGAUUCUUCCCACAGACCCCCGUAUUUCCUUCUCUGUCUAAGGAAUGGGCAUUUCAGUCAUGGCCUGGAUUUUGGUGGGAUCCAACUCAAUCCCUUUGUGGAUGAAUAGAAAUCCUAGCAACUUGCCUAAUUUAACGCCAAAGGCGCAUUUGGCUGGAUUUAACUUCAAGUUGUACUUACACAACCUGUUGAAGAGCUUUCUGAGAUGGUCUAGGUGGUCUUCCUCCCUUCGGGACUUGACAAUGAUGUCAUCCACGUAGAUCUCUAUCUCUUUGUGCAUUAAAUCGUGGAAAAGAGCCAUCAUAGCUCGUUAAUAGUUUGCUCCGACAUUAAUGAGGUCGAAGGACAACCGUCUAUAGCAGAAGGUUCCCCAAGGCGUGAUGAAAGCAGUUUUCUCACGAUCCUCCUCAGCGACCAUAAUUUGAUGGUACCCCGCAAAGCCAUUAGCGAAGGAGUACAUGCCGUAUUGAGCAGUAUUGUCAAUAAGAAUGUGGAUAAAGGGCACGAGAAAGCUAUCUUUAAGGCAAGAUUUGUUCAAAUCCCGGUAAUCCACACAAACUUGCACCUUUCCUCCUGGUUUAGGCACGGGAACUAUGUUGGAUAUCCAUUCAGGAUAUGUAGACACCAUGAUGAUACCAGCUUGAAAAAAUUGUUUCACAAUUUCUUCUUUCACCUUUAAAGUCCACUCGGGUUUCAAUCGCCUGAGCUUCUAGCUGACUGGCUUAAAUCCCUCUUUAAUGGGAAGGCGAUGAAGGACAAUGUCAGUGGACAAACCCACCAUGUCUUCGUGAGACCAUGCAAACACAUCCUGGAAUUGGGUUAAUAGUGCAACCAUGGCAUUCCUUUGGUUUGGAGUAAGGUCUGAACCAAUCUGGAUCAUCCUAGGGCUUUCUAAGGUUUUGAGAUUGAAAGAAAUGGUUUGAUCAAGGUUGGGUUUAGGUUUGUCUUCGACCCAUUCUUUGAUCUCCGGAGGUAUCUCAAUGUCCUCUUGUAUUUCCAUCAAGUCUGAGUCCAACUUUUCAUCAAAGUUACAAUCCUUGUGGAGAAAAGGCAUCUUACCAACAAGUACAGGCACAUCUAAAUUCAGAGUCCUGAAACAAAAUGUGCUUUCACUUAAUAUAUGAAACUGUUUAAUCAUACAAAAUGUGAGCAUAUACUGGCAAAAUAACUGCUAAUACUGUACAAAAAGGUAAUCAGUUAAUAUUAUCUACAGGGCAAAGGGGCUUUUUACCCGUUUUACCCUUGUUGACCAAUGCAUGGAGUGCUACUCCAAUUGUCAAGGGCAAAGUUAUGAUGGACCGCAGUGAAGGAGGGGCUGUCAUCGUCCUCCUUUUCUCGAAUAAUGACCAUAACAUCUGGAAAAUCAUCAUCUGGGGUGUAUCUAUUGGUAUGUUCAUCAUGGACAAUGAUGCGUAUGCCUGACAUCAUUAGAGCGAUGUCUUGUUUAUAUUUCUGUUCUUUCUCUUCCACUUCAUGAUCAAGAAUCAGCACUUCUUUUGCUUUAACCGGUACUAGUUUGGGAAAUAACAUAGCCAUAACAUGGGAUGGAACCUUUACCGGAGACUGUAUAGGCUCAGGAGUUGCAGGUGGAGAUAAUCGUCGUGUGGCAGAAGCUUGAGGAAUCCGCUUGUACUUAUGAGUAUUCCUAUGACUGGAACUGGCAGAAUAUCUUAGUCCGGCUGUCCCGGUUUGACUGGACAUUUGAAUUGGGUGCUUAAUACCCUGAUGAUUUUUACCCAGCCCUUGUCCAGGCUAAUGACCCAAUGAUAUCAUUUCUUGUGUAGCUGCCAUCACUUCGGCAGAAAUCUUGGUUACGGGAAGUGGCGCUCCAAUAGGAUGGUAUUGCGUGUUGCUCACUUCCAAAGUAUAAAACUGGUCAGCUCAACUUCUGAAUUGAAGCUGAUGAGUGGUAUGUCUCCUUAUUUAGGACAUUCCGGCUUAGCGUUGACAGUUACUAAGCUAUUGUUGACAAUGUAUUUAAGUUAUUGAUGAAGUGUAGAAGGGAUGAAUCUAGCCAUGUGGAUCCAUGGUCUCCCCAAUAGCAGGUUGUAUCUUGAAUCUAUCUUCAGGACAUGAAAAGAUACGUAAAAUUUAUGGGGGCCAAUCUCAAUUGGCAACUCAAUCUCUCUGACAGAAUUUUUUCGGGAUCUAUCAAAAGCUUUGAUAACCGUAUGACUACUUCGGAUCCGUUUGAGAUUGACGUUCAUCUUCACCAAAGUGGCAUAAGGAUAGAUAUUCAGAGACGAACCUUUGUCUAUCAAAACUCCAGCUAACAUAUACCAGAGGAUAAAACUGCAAUGUGCAAUGGCUUGCAAUGUCCGGUCCCUUCGGGUGGUGUGUCAUCAUUAGUGAAAGAUAUCACAUUGUUGUUAAAAAUGUGAUCAACCAAAUGUUGAAAUUUUUCCACAUCCACUGAUUUUGGCAAGUAGUCUUCUUCCAAAACCUUUAGUAAGAUCUUCCUCUGAUCCUCGGAAGAGAAAACCAAGUCUAGUAUUGAGAUUUGAUGUGGACCUUCUCUUAAGCUUAAAACCACCUUGGCUUCAUUAUGGCCCAUAGUGCGGAGGAAUUUCUCAAUCUUCUCUAUGGGAAUCUUCCCCUUUGCUUUUAUGGUAGGCUUCAUCACCCUCUUAGGAAGAUACAGUGGAUUUUCCUUCGACACUAUAGCAGUAGUAUGAGACGUGGAUCCUUCAGCUUCUCCAUAAUUCCAUGGGACUUUUUGUAAGCUGAUAACAGGAUACUGUGGUCUGAAUGGUAAGCAAAUUGGCUCUGGUGCAGCCACUUUCAAAGGAUUUUCACUACCUUUGAGUUGAAUUGCUUGUAUGGGAAAUGGCCCGACAGUCUCAUCAGUCUCAGAGGAUAUAACUGCUACUAGCCCCUUCCACUUAGUAGGACAGGUAUUUCCACUCUCGAGUAGCACAGUGUCAUCGUCUGCCAAUUGAAGGACACCGCUGUCAAUUAGAUUCUGAAUAAGGUGGCGGAGUGCCCAACAUUCUUCUGUGUUGUGACCGUGAGAAUGUGAAUGAUAUUGACAUACUCCAUCAGAGUUGAACCGUCUUGAACAGGGAUUAAUUGGAGGUAGAAGGGAGGUGAUUCUUCUUUCAUUAAUUAGCAUCUGAAAUAUUUCCUCCAUAGGUUGGCCCAGGUAUGUAAAUUCCCUUCUAUUGGCAAAAUCCCGACGGGCUUUAGCACUUUCUCUCUUCGCAACCUUGUCCUCCAGUGCUUCACUUUCUGAAGGUGAUGAUGGAGAAUUCAUAAUAGAAGGAAGGAGACAGGCAUGCUCCUGGCUGACUAACUGGCAUGUGACUUGAUCCUGAUGGAUCAUCAGUUCUGCCAAUUGUUCAACUUGCUUAGAAAGAGCUUUCAUCUUUUGUUCCACAGCAAAUUGGAACUUUGCGUAAUCCCAUCUAUCAACAUCGUCUUUGAUGGUCUGGGAUGAUUUAUCAUUAAAAUUGGAACUUUGUCCACUGCUCCAACUAAUCAUAUUGACCUCUUCUUCUUUGUGUUGAGGAAGAGGGUUGUCUUGCAUAUGAGGUUGAUCUGGUUUGGUAAGCACGAUUUCACCGUUGUCUAUUAAAUCUUGGAUCUUGUGUUCCAAGGCCCAACAAUCUUGAGUAUCAUGUCCAGGUGCCCCGAAAUGAUAAGCACACUUCCGAGUAGCAUUGAAACCCCUCCCAUUAGGGUUGGCUGGUGGAAGAAGAUGUGUGAUUUUCUUCUGAGUAGUCAGAAGAGUAAGAAUAUUCUCGAGCGAGUCUCCUAAGGGUGUGAACGUUUGAGGGCAUUUUACUUCUCCACCUUUAUGUUUGGUUUGUAAUAUACAAUAGCGCAAUCAAAUUGCACAAAAUAAGCGGAAGCAUGGAAAAUCAGAGUUUUAAAAUUUUACAAACCAUAUACCCGGAUCAUCAUUUAUGCACACUUCUUAAUUAAACAAAAAGAUAAAGAACAAGAAUCAUACCCUUGAAGAUCCGAGAUUCCUCAGGUACAAGUUCACCUCCAAUCCUUUUCGCGUUCAACUUGAAUCCACCGGUUUGGUUCAUUCCUUUGAUCAAUGUUAACCACCCAUGUAAUACCCGAGAAUUUCCCGUAUUAUUAAAUGAAUAUAUUAUUGGAAAUAAAAUUUCCGUGAAUAUAAGUGUUAUUAUUUUGAGAGUUGGAUAAUUCAAUUGAUUUGUAUUAGAUCAAUGUGUAUUACGAUGUGUGAAGUGACAAUGGGAUUUGUGAAAUGCCUUGUGUGGCAUAAUGUGAAACGAAGAAAUCCGUUAAGCAAAUUAAAACGAGUAUCUAGAAAAUUAAUAGUGUUGAUCAUGUGAUUUCAUGUGUGUAAUCAAUACACUCGUAGACUUGUAAUAUUACUCUUGUGGACAUUAAUUCAUGUCGUGCAAGACGAGUAUGAUAAUAGGGGUUGACACUGACUUAAGCUAAACUAGUCAGGGCACGGCGCAGCUGAGCCCGUCCCAGCAGUACAAACUGGCGCAGCUGCGCUAGUGGUCAGUUGGAGAAAAAUUAAUUCUUCUACCUUGGAAAAUUAAAUGAACAAUUAUGUGGCGUGUGUGACAUUAAUAAACCAUGAAAUAAAGUGCACAAUUAAGUAAUAUUAAUUGUUAAUUGUUAUAUUAAUUAAUUGUUAAUGGUUGUGGUAGAAUAUUAAAUUCUUAGUAAUUAACUAAUAAUGUACGAUAACUAUUAUUUGUAAUAUAUUAUAAAGAUGAAUAAUGAUUAUGGAAAUCCAUAAAUACAUUAAUCAACGAUGAUGGGAUUAAUUAAUAUUGAUGUUAAUUAAUCAAGGAAGUGAAUAAAUUAUUUAUAAGUAAGUUAGUAAUAUAAUAAUAGUAUAUUGACAGUUAUAUGCAUAUGAGCAAUAAUAGAAACAUAUUAUAUAGUGUGGUGUGACUAUAUAUUAAGAUCUAUGAAACUAUAUUAUAUUAAGUGGUGAUUAAUCAAGGGAAGGAAUAAAUUUAUUUAUUUAACAUAAAUAAAUAAGUUAUUAAUAUAAUAAGGUUAUAAUAUGGUUAUAUGAGUGGUAGAGAUAACUAUGGUACUACCCGGAUAAUAAUAUCUGACUGCAUUAUUUUAUUGCGUAUAUUUAAUGUACAUGGACUAUAUGAUGUGAAUGUAUAAUUUAUCCCUAAAAUUCCUAAUAUGGUAACAAUUGUACAUUAAGAUUUCAUUGUGGAAAAUUAAGUAGACCAAACCAAGCCUAGAUAUCACGAAUGCUGGGAUUUUCUCUCUUGUCCCAUAAUAAGUGUCACCAAGUACAAUGAACAGUAACUUGAAGCUAUAUUAUGUAAACUUUCUAGCUGCUAAAUCAUAGGAGAUCAUUGCUAAGCUAAGUGACUGGUAAGGGUUGUUAAACUACUCUUCAUGAACCUAUGUGUCUUGCCAUUGCACCAUGGGCUCUAAAAUUGUGUAAAGCCAAUGACUAGUCCAUGCUUUCUCUAUAAAUUAAGCUUGAGUUCAGAUUUUUGUGUUGCUAAGAGUUGUCUAAGUGAAGCAUUCAAGUGGAUGAGCAACUGUAGAAGCUUAUUCAGUGUGUGGGAAGUCCAAUUUAAGCUUAAGAAGGUAUAAUUUUUAUCAAUGUUCUUGAGAUGGGUUUGUUUGAUUCUUGAAAUUUCUUGAAUUCAUUUGUUAAUUGAUAUGAGUAAACAUGUUAUAAGGUGUUUAGGAAGUUUACUAGCAUGUAUGAACACUAUAGGAAUGAUUUGGGACAUGUUUGAUGUCAAGGAUAUCAAGUUGGCCAAGACUCUGCAAAACAGAGUCUGAUUCUGCACCUGAAUCUGGCACGGCGCAGCUGCGCCAUUAUUGAACUAAGGCGCAGCACAGCUGCGCCAGUUACUGAAUUCAGUUGGAACUUCUGUUUUGAAAUCUGCUAUGUGUUGAUCGACCAUUAUGGCUUAAACUAGGAUGAAAGCAUGUUUAAGGUGUAUGCAUAAGUAUAUGAAUCUAAGUUGGGCAUGUUUUAAUAAAAUUUCAUGAUUAAUGAAGACAUAUGGUUUAAAUGGAGAUUUGGACUUUAAGUUUUGAAAACAAACUAUAUUAGAGAUCAUGUUCUGCAAAUUUUGAACCUAGUAAGCUAUACAUAACUGAUUUUACACUUAGAUAAGCAUGCUAGAAUGUACGUAGUCCCUUUGUUCUACCUUAUUAAGCCUUGUGUUAGAAAUAUUUUCACGAAAAAGCUUAGCCUAGUGAGCUAAAAUGCAUGACCACUACAUGAUGUAUAUUCUAACUUUGCAAGCAUGUUGGUAUGGUUUAGAAAUGCAUGAAUAAACCUUUAGAUUGUGUUUAUAUGAUUAGUAAGCAAGAAUGAACAUGUUGAACCUACUAGUGACCUUUGAACAUGAAUAUUGACAAACUAUCUUGAAAGAUAGAAUCUGACCUUUAUAAGCAUGUUGGUGAUACUCUUAGACUCACUCAUGUAGUAUAACCAUAGAUAUACCAUGCUUAUGUAUCACAUUUCAAAUAAAACAUGAACAAAGCCUAUUUUCAACUAAAGUGGUGUUAGUUUCACAUAUGCGUUAUGAAUACUCACAAGCAUGUUUAAUAUGAGUUUUGUAAUUAACUUGUGUGUUUGAAGAGCAAGAAUGAUAGACUUUGUAGUUUUAUGACCUUGAAUGGCCUCAAAUGGUUGAAAUGAUCAAUUUAGAAAUAUGUUAUAAAAGGGAACCUAGAUUUACUUGAGAAGCAUGAAAAGACCCUUAACAUGGCAAGUAUAUCAUGUACGAAUGUUUUGAGCAAGCCGAACAGAAACCACAAGGCAGCAACUAAGUCUAGGCUUGGCCAUAGGACGACACAGCUGUGCCGGUCCUAGGCUUAGCCAUAGCGCAGCUGCGCCAGUCUGGAAUCUUGUGUUCUGCAUUCUGUUUUUAACUGAUGUUAAAGCAUGCCUAUAGGAUUACUUUUAACUUAUCUUACACGACCAAUAUGCUAUGAAAUAUGUUACGAAACAUGCUAUGUGAUAGAGACAAAUGUUGAUCAAUACUUCCAAAUGUUGAGUCCGAAGAAUGUCUUCAAGAAAUUAGGCAAUCAAGUCGUCGUGGUAUUUGUGAUGACUUACAAACUGAUUUUGUACCAUAUGUGCAUACUUGAAUCGUGUCAAGCUUGUUUAAAGACUGUGUUAGCUAAUGAAUAUCUUGAUCAUAUAAUACACUAUAAAUAGGAUUCGAAAGUGUUGAGUUAUUAACGUGGAUAAAUUACGCUUAAGGCAAGUUCCCUAUACUUACUCUAAUUAUUAUUGAGCGAGUUUCCUUGAACUUCACUCUUGAUUGUGCAAGUUUCUUGAACCCUACUUUUAAACUUAUCUUGUGAAUGUAAGUUAUCCCGCUUAUUCGUUCAAUUGAACUAGUAUGCUUAAAUUCUUGUGAAAGUUAUUAUUCAUGUUAAACUUAAUAUUGUUCUUGAAUUUUGUGUAAGAGUCGAUGCCAUCUGAUUCGGCUAGAAUAUAUGCAUGCUUAUAAAAGUUGUCCAAACCAAUUGAUUGGUGCAAAAAUCUUGAAAACUGAGUUGGACAACCCUUUUGGUAAGGGGAGUGUAUGUCGUUGGAAACCCCAACACAUGAAUGAAUAUUAUUGUGGUGUUAUGCAUAACGUAAAGUAUUGUAGACUGAUCAUCUAUAGUACUUGAUAUUUUUGGGUUAUCAGUUUAAUAUUGGUAACUCUAGUGGAGGUUCCAUAGUCCUUAGUGACUGCUCAGUAUAAAUUGUUUAUCCAGUUGGAUACUUUGUUAGUCAUUGAAUUCAUAUAUAUCUGUUGAUUUAUAUUGAAUUUUCGUUCUUAUUCCAACAAUUGUUGAUAUUCCUUAUCCAUGAUGUUAUUCUGACACUUUGAAAUACCCUAGAAAUGGCACGUCGAUAUUUCAAACCUUGUGAUAUUAUAUCCUAUACCCUUGUUGUAUAUUACUUGCUGGGUAAUUUGUGCUCAUCCUUGCUUAUUAUAAACCUUUAAGUUAAGGAGGAACAGGGAGGUGUCUCUGGUACAGACAAGGGCAAGAGCAAGGAUACCGACUAGCUUGUCCCUUUUAUAUUUAAGAUUAUUAUGUUGUAUUAAGACUAUGUUUAAACUUAAGUAGGAUUAUGUAAUAGGUCUUUAUUCGAUACUAUUAUGUAAUCUAUUAAGUAUUGUAGGUUGCGAGACUUGGGGGAAUAAUUAUAAUAAAUCAUUGUAUAUUAUUUUAAAUUAGAUUUUCCGUUGUGAAUGUGUUAUUUUAGUUAUUAUGGUAUUACUUUGAGCACGUGACAAACCGAAUUCGAUUGACCAAGUGGAGGUCCGAAUUUGGGGGCGUCACAGGUUGGUAUCAAAGCUAUAGUUAUAAACCUUAGGAAUGAGAGUCCUUAGAUUAUAACUUAAGAAAACCUAGAAGUUAGGAAGGAGAUAAAACUCAUGUAGAGUUUUCCUUGAGAGACUUAGUGUGUUAUGAAAUGUACCUUCAUUCUAUAUAAUGAACUUAUGUUUAUUUAACAUUUUAAUAGAUUUGUUGUUUGUGUUGUCUUAUGUUGGUGAUUGUAGGAUGACUGACAUGAAGGACCUAGCCGAGUAAUAGAGGAGGAGCCGCGUGAUAUCCAUGUAGUCUAUGAAGCGCCAUUGAUAGCGGAGCCUAUUUCAGUAGUGGCCCCUUUUGAUGAUGAUGAUGAGGAAGAGGUGGAGUCUGAUACGGAGGAGAAGCCUUUGGAGGAGGAGCCCGAGCCUAUGAUGGACUCCGAUGAGGCUACUUUUGAGGAUCGGAUGUUAGGAGAUUAUGAAGAACAGAUCUUAGAGUUAGGAUGUAGAGUGGAGGAGCUAGAGGCUGAGGCUAGGGAGAGGGAGUCUGCAUUCCAGAAGUUGAGGGAUGAGGACCAUCAGAGGCAACUAGUGAUGCAAGAGAUGGAGGUGGAAAUCGCUUACCGUAAGGAGGCAGGGAUCCAGAUGGGAGCUUUGUUUCACCGAGCAGUGACGAGGAAUGUUGAGGUGGCAGGAAAGCUAGAGGAAUUAGAGAAGAAGGUUUUGAGUGAGAGGGCGGAGAAGGAGGCUCUCCGAACUCAAUUAGAGAUAGAGGUAAUGGAUAGGAUUCACUUCGAGGAGAAGUGGGAGGAAGCCAAUGAUAGGGCAGAUGAUCUAGAAGAUGAGGUGCGAUGCAAGAGGAAGAAGAUCAACAAGUUGGGCUAUGCUCUACGCACGGCCAUGGAGAGAUUGUUCGAUGGGGUAAAUCACUUCCUAGCUGAGCAAGGACAGACCCGGCAUACCAUAAGUCGGGAUAUGGUGGUACACAUCACACAGAAGGAAUAUCAUAGCGCUAUUGAGAGUGGGAUGUUAGAUUGAGUCUAGAGGGAAAAAGCUCAGUAGUGUAGUAUUUUUAUUUAUGUGUUAUUAAUAUGUUGUUGUAAUCUCAAUCUUUUGUGUAAGAUGUGAGAUAGUGGUAGACCCCCAAAUUUUUGAAAAGUGUUAGAGGGGUAGUAAGUUAGUAUGUCCUCGUCUUUUGUGAUAAUAGGGGAUAUGUGAUAUCAUUUAUAGCAUUAUGCUAGAAAAGAGCAUGCGAUGUAACCAUUUGGCAUAUGAAUAUAAAUGAUAUUAAUUCAGAAACGUGUUAUAAACCUGUAGUUCUUUUCUAUUGAGAAAUGUCUAAGUAUUAUAAUUAGAUAAUAAAAUGAAAAUUUUGUGAUGCAGAAAAUGCCGCCCAGACGUAGAAUAACUAUCCCAGAAGAGUCAGUUAAUGAUGAGAGAGGUCCUGUAGAUACAAUACAGAGACUGGUAGAUUUAUUGGGAAACGAACCUGUACCACCCGUUUCCCAAGCUAUCCCAGUAAAAACCUUCAAAGAUUUUAAGAGCGUAGGACCCCCGGAGUUCACGGGAACCACUGACCCGAUAGUUGCGCAAACCUAGAUCAAGGAGAUCGAGAAGGCCUUCACUAUAGCUCGCGUGGGUGAAGACCAGAAGAUUGUAUUUUCCACAUACAUGAUGAGGGGCGAAGAGAACUAUUGGUGGGAAACUAAUCAAUAGAGAGCAGGGGAAGGAACGAUAACAUGGGAGAGGUUUUCUACGUUGUUCUUCAAGACCUAUUUCCCGAAGAGUAUGAAGAAUAGGAUGGAAGUAAAAUUCCUAGAGUUAAAACAAGGUGAUAUGACGGUGGCGCAAUACGCAGCUAAGUUCAAUGAACUACCGCGAUUUGCAGAGCACCAAUUUAUGGAUGAGGAGAGGAAGGCGAGAUGUUUUGAGCAAGGGUUGAAGCCGUGGUUGUAUAAUAAGGUAUCAGUCUUCCAGAUUGAUUCCUUUACAACGUUGUUGGAGAAGGCAAUCAUUGCAGAAGGUGGCAGUGAGGCCUUAAGUCUAUAUCAUAAGGAGAAGAAGAACAAGAAUGGUGGUAGUGAGCAUCGUGGAGGGAGCAAGAACGGAGGAAGUAACUCCGAAAAAAGGAAAUGGGAAAAUAACAACAAUAGAAACAAUAACCAAGGUGGGAGUCACCAGGGAAACUUCAAGAAGAGGACCGAAGCUUGCAACAAAUGUAGAAGAAGUCAUCAGGGAGAAUGAUGGAAGAGGAAAAGCACUUGCUAUAAUUGCGGCCAAAAGGGUCACAUAUCGCCAAAUUUCCCAAAACCGAAGAAGAUCAGAGGAUGUUUUACUUGUGGAUCAACAGAGCACCAGAUAAAGGAUUGCCCGAAGAAAGGAAGCGGUGGAGCUGGCGGAAGUCAGGGAGGAGGAAGUAAGUUGAUGAUUGGUGGACCUGCACAACCCAACCGAUCGACCGCUCGAACCUUUAACAUGACCAUCCAAGAUGCCGUAGCUGCAAAGGACGUGGUGUCAGGUAUAAUCCAAAUCAAUAAUAUAAAUGCUUAUAUAUUAUUUGAUUCGGGUGCCACGUGUUCGUUUGUAUCUGAAGAAUUUGCUAAUAAUGUAAAAUCCCAAAUUUUACGAAUAAAGAUUUAAUUUUCUCAAAAUAUUUUUUUCAAAAUUAUGGUGUGGAUUUGAGAUAAUGUUAUAGUUGUGGGUAAUAUUUAUACAUUUUAAAAAGUAUGCAAGUUGUUGUAUAAUAUUCGAUUGGUCGGGGAAUAUUCUUUUUAUCAGAGAAUAUUCGUACGACGACACAAUCAUUGGUGGACCCCGUAACGGAAUUAUUAUCGGAUUGAGAAAACGACAAAAAUAUUUUAUGAAAAUAACGGCGGAAGUUUUACCGUUAACUGUUGAAACACCCGGUGUUAAAAGUACAGUAAUACGCGUGGUUGCAUAGUAGCACACGAUAUUGAUUAUUGAUGCUUACGUGAGAAGUCACUCAGUUUUGUUCAAUUAUUGCUAUAGUAAUUGUUGCAUAGUAUCUCACGUUAUUUGAUUCAAUUAUUGUCGAUAUUUUAUAUAUUAUUAAAUCAAUAAUUGAGAUAAAAAAAAGUUAUUAAUAUUAUUAUUUGCAAUAUUAACAAUGUCUAGAAGUUCUGCCAAGGAGAGGUUUGGUCACCUAAUUGCGCGCCAAUAGGGAGAAAUCCUUAUUGAAAAGCCCCCUCUUUUCUAGGAAUAACCUGAUCGAUUAAUAUUGUGAAUUAUAAUAAAUGUGAUAAGUUUUGUUUUAUUAUUAUUAUAAACGUAAUAAAACAAAUUUUUUUUAUAUAAAACAGAAUACUUUUAUAAAGUUAUUCGUUUUAUUAGACUAUAAAUAGAAUAUAUAAUAUUCUACUAUGCAUAGUGUUUGCAUAGUGCCUGCAUAGUAUUUGAAUAGUAAAAUCUUUUUAUAUAAAAUAGAAUACUUUUAUAAAGUUAUUCGUUUUAUUAGACUAUAAAUAGAAUAUAUAAUAUUCUAUUAUGCAUAGUAUUUGCAUAGUACCUGCAUUGUGCUUGCAUAGUAAAAUCUUUUAAUAUAAAACAGACUUUUAUAAAGUUAUUUGUUUUAUUAGAGUAUAAAUAGAAUAUAUUAUAUUUUAUUUAAAAGAUUUUGUUUUAUUAGAAUAUUUUAUUAAUACUGCAUAGUAAAUUAAUAUGGACCGUUCGUUUAAAAGUAAAUCAAUCUGGACCGUUCAUGAAUUAGUUACUAUUCAGUCCAUUCUCCUAUAAAUAGAAGCUCUUUCCUUCAUUAUUUCUUACGAAUUCACUGAAACUCUAGAGAGAGAAACUAUAGAGAGAAAAAAGAAAAGUAUUCUGAUACUUCACUACUCCUAUAUCCAGUUUCUUCUAAGGUAAGGGAUAUUAUUUGUUGUACCCGUAAGGGGUAUUAUUCUUUCGUAUUCAUGAAGAGAAUUAUUUUCUUUCAAUACUCGUAAGAGGUAUUAUUCUGUCGUAUUCAUGAAGAGAGUUAUUUUCUUUCAAUACUCGUAAGGGUUGUUAUUCCAUUCUUUAUUAUUAUGUUGGAAUAACUUGUCUAUGCGAAGUACCGCAUACAUGGUGAAAUUCUUCUGUUAUUCCAUUCUUUAUUAUUCUGUUGGACUAACCUGUCUGUGCGGAUUACGCAUGACCUGGUUCAAUUCUUUAUUAUUCUGUUGGAAUAACAUGUUUUUGCGGUCUAUCGCAUGCAUGGUGAUUUCUUUUGUUAUUCCAUUCUUUAUUAUUCUGUUGGAAUAAUUUGUCUAUGUGGAUUAUCACAUGCAUGGUGAAUGAUCCUUUGUAUUCAUUCCUUAUUAAAUUGUGGAAAUGAUCUGUCUAAGUGGAUUACCGCAUGGCGGACGAAAAUCCAUUAGCAGUUUUAUAUAUUCUCUUAUACUCAGUUGGUUAAAGCUUUGACUUCUAUACUCCAUGAAAUUAGUGUAAUAUCCUUGAUAUUUGCGCUUCAUCCAUUAUCUUUUCAUGGAAAUAUUCUUCUGAGCAUUCUUGAAUUUUACUCCACAAAGAAGUAUCAUGUUGACAAUUUAGACGUUAUUGGUUUCGGGAUAAAUUAAUUCUUGAACAUGGUUUAUUGAAUUCCUAUAUCAUUGUCAUCAUCCUCAUGUUUAUAUUAUGUUGAAAGUCAUCUAUGACCUGUAGUGCAUAGAUGGACUUGGUAUGAUUAUGACCAGGGAUUAAUCGGUAUAAUCAUGACCGUAAUGUUACAAAUGAUGUGGUAAAAGUCCUCAUUGGCCCGUAGUGCAUUGAUGGACAGUUGCUGACAUGAUCAUGACAAUUGAUGAAUACACAAUAUCCUUGGACCGUAGUGCAUGGAUAAUUUGUGGUUGUGAUACUAAUGAAUAUCCUUGGCCGUAGUGCAGGGAUGAUGUGGUUUAUUUAUUAAGCUGAGUCUCAGCAAUAAAACUGAUGAAAAACCUUUUAAAUCAUAGAUGAUUGUAGAUUUAUUCUCUACUUGACUCUUUUAAUGGAUUGCUUGUUCCGCUGCAGUUAAACUUGAUGUUUGUUAUAUUGUAUCAGUUUAACACUGUUGAAGGCUAACGAUAAUUCAUUCUGCAUUAUCUUAGUCAUAAUAUUUCUUACUGGGCUAGUUGAGCUCACCCUUUACUUUCAUUGUUCUCUUCAGGAAAUGAGAACGUAAUAGGGACUAGUCGGGGAACGGAGUGACGGUCCAAAUGAUAGCAUUAGUAGUCCUCACUAUUCUAUGAAAUAGUGUGUUAAUAACUGUAUUGAGGACUUAUUUUGAGUUUGAAUACUGUCUAGAAGACAAUAUUUGUAUUAAAACUCACAGCUCAUGUUGUAUAUUUAAGAUUGUAUUUUUAUUCUGUACCAUGUAUUUGGCGACCCAGAAUAGGUGAUGUAUACCUAUUUUGGGGGCGUCACAGUUGGUAUCAAAGCUUAGGGAUAUGAUCCCUGGCUGAGAUUUGAGAUAAGAACUAGGAGGGGAGAGACGGGGAAUUCUUUCGCUAGUAUGACCUACUUAAGUUUAUUUGAUAUUUAAUUGGUCGGUCAGAGUAUGGGGAUAAUAUGUGAUAUGUUAACUAACCCUUGUUUUGUGGCAGUAUUUGAAAAUGACAUUCGAGAAUGUUGAGAAUAUCAAUGGAGCACAGGAGACCGUUGAGUCUCCACAGAUCAAUAAUCAGGAUAAUGUGCAGGAGGAAGGUGACAAUCCUCAUGCAAAUAACAACACUGACCAAAUGAUGAAUGAUGGAAUGUUCAGAGGCUUUAUGCAAUUCAUGUAACAUCAGGCAAGAGCGGCUCCUGUCCAAAAUACAGGUGGAAACACUGGCAACUCUCGGACGGUCAUCGCUAAGCAGUUCAAGGAACUGGGACCACCAGAGUUUUUUGGAGAGCCAAAACCACUUACGGCGGAGACAUGGAUAAAGCAGAUCUGCAAGAUAUUUGAUAUCCUGGGAUGCUCCUAGGAGCAAAAGGUUCCCUUUUCCACCUUCAUGUUGCAAGCAGAGGCAAAUUACUGGUGGGAAUCUGUAAAGCGUACUCAACCUGCCGCACUGAAGAUGACUUGUGAGAAGUUCCAAGAACCGUUCAACGACAAGGACUUUCCCAAAAGUAUUUGUCGCAUGAAAGAGGUAGAGUUCAUUAAACUGGAGCAAAACAACAUGACUGUGUCGCAGUACGAAGCCAAGUUUACCGAGUUAUCCCGAUUUGCAUCUCAUUUGGUUGAUAAUGAGGAGAGAAUGACACGAAUGUUUCUAAGAGGUUUAAAACCCGAGAUACGUCAAUAUCUUAUCUCUCAUAAAAUGUGUUUGUAUUCAAAUGUUGUUAAUAGGGCUCAGUUAUUGGAGCGCGAUAAUGAGACAACCCAACCAAAAGAGAUCAGCCGGCAAAAUGAUAAUACCAGUGAUAACAGUCAUCGAAGCAGUGACAAUAAGCGUGGAGGGAAUCAACAUGCCAGAAAUUGUAACCAAAACAAUAAGAAUGGACAUUUCAAGAAGAGGAGAUUCAACAAUGAUGGAAAAACGUCAGCAUCAGCACCCGUUGUUAAGGAAGGAGAACGACCAGCUAUCAUAUGUUUCAAAUGCGGACAGGAGGGACACAUCCGUCCAAACUGUACGCAGCAAUCCAAAGCGUGUUUCAAUUGCGGAAGAGAAGGUCACCUAGCUCGAUUUUUUCCUGUAGCAAAAUCAAGUCCAGCUGGGACGGUGGCACCAAUGGCGGAUACGGACAAAACAAAGUCGGUGAUUUCUGGGAUAACAUUUUUUGUGACUUCCCAAAAUACGAGUAACCCGAACAAAGUUAGCAUAGGUUAGUUAAUUAUAAAUUCUUGCGAAGUCUAUACCUUAUUAGAUAUCGGUUCUACCCAUUCUUUUAUCUCUCUUGAUUGCGCUCAACGUUUAAAUUUGACUCCGGAGAAAUUAGACUUUGACUUAUCGGUUGAAACUUCGUUAAGAGAAACCUUCGUUACCUCCACUGUUUAUAAAUCUUGUUUGAUUCAAAUCGACACUUUCACGUUACCUGUCAAUCUUAUCUCUUUGAAAAUACCUGUCUUUGAUGUGAUUUUAGGAAUCGAUUGGUUAACUACUCAUCAAGUUUUUCGUAAGGUUGUUAGCUUUCAUAUUCCUAACCAACCUGUUAUGCGAAUUCAAGCAACCAAACUACUAAAGUCAAUCAUUGCCAUAUCAAGCCAUAAGUAAAGAGCCCCGGUCCUUUCGUUGUUGACUUCCUUGUGUGGAAUGCACCUAAGCCAGACUUUCCGUAGGGGACGUUGUGAAUAAUGGUGGCAAGUUGAUAGAUAUCAAUGUGACGUGCUAUCCAAGUCUUGGAUGAGGGUCACAGUUUUGAAUGAUAUUUCUAUUGUUAAUAAAUUUCCUGACGUAUUCUUGAAGACUUCUUAGCUUACCCCUAGAGCGUGAAAUCGAAUUUUGUAUUGACCCUAGUACAAAACCCAUUUCUUAAACCCUUAAAUAUUUCUUCAACCAAAACGAACGUAUAAUGCACCAAAGAUGUCGGCUUGAGCUGUUGAAGAUUAUGAUCAUACCAUCCAACACCAUCCUGAAAAAGCAAAUGUGGUAGCUGACGCAUUGAGUAGAAGAUCAUAUGCGAGUAUGAGUGCGAUAUUGUCAACGCAAAGGCCCAUUUUGUGUGACUUGCAAAGGAUGGAGAUAGAGUUAAAGACUCCAGGGACCCAUAUGAUGAUGGCGAAUAUACGAGUAGAAUCGAAAAGACGCUCAAGCUACACACCCGAAUUUGAUGACUGUGAAGAAGAAGGUUCAAGAGGGCGUUAUUCUAGAAGCAAGAAUCGACGAAGAGAGGAAAUCUCAACCUUCGAUUUAAUUGGCCCAUUUGAAAUCUUCGAUCGAGUAGGAACUAUGGCUUAUAGACUCGUUUUACCACCAAGUAUGUCGCGUGUUCAUAAUGUUUUUAACGUAUCGAUGUUACGUAAUUAUGUGGACGACCCGAACUACAUUAUUAAUUUAGAACUGGACGAGAUAGCGGAAGAUUUAACAUAUGAAGAUGUACCUGUUAAAAUCUUGAAAUAUAUUUUACACUCAAAGGUUAUACCUCAAGAGUUAGAAUCUGACGAAGUGUCCUCAUUUGUUCGGCAUACCAGGUACGUACGUAAAUUUUGAAGGCAAAAUUUCAUAAGGAGGGGAGAUUGUAAAAUCCCAAAUUUUACAAAUAAAGAUUUAAUUUUCUCAAAAUAUUUUUUUCAAAGUUAUGGUGUGGAUUUGAGAUAAUGUUAUAGUUGUGGGUAAUAUUUAUACAUUUUGAAAAGUAUGCAAGUUGUUGUAUAAUAUUCAAUUGGUCGGGGAAUAUUCUUUUUGUUGGGGAAUAUCCGUACGACGGCACAAUUAUUGUUGGACCCCGCAACGGAAUUAUUGUUGGAUUGAGAAAACGACAAAAAUAUUUUAUGAAAAUAACGGCGGAAGUUUUACCGUUAACUGUUGAAAUACCCGGUAUUAAAAGUAUAGUAAUACGCGUGGUUGCAUAGUAGCACACGGUAUUGAUUAUUGAUGUUUACGUGAGAAGUCACUCAGUUUUGUUCUAUUAUUGCUAUAGUAAUUAUUUCAUAGUAUCUCACGUUAUUUGAUUUAAUUAUUGUCGAUAUUUUAUAUAUUAUUAAAUCAAUAAUUGAGAUAACAAAGUUAUUAAUAUUAUUAUUUGCAAUAUUAACGAUGUCUAGAAGUUCUGCCAAGGAGUGGUUUGGUCACCAAUUGCGCGCCAAUAGGGAGAAAUCCUUAUUGGAAAGCCCCCUCUUUCCUGGGCACAACCUGGUCGAUUAAUAUUGUGAAUUAUAAUAAAGGUGAUAAGUUUUGUUUUAUUAUUAUUAUAAAUGUAAUAAAACAGAAAACUUUUUAUAUAAAACAGAAUACUUUUAUAAAGUUAUUCGUUUUAUUAGAUUAUAAAUAGAAUAUAUUAUAUUUUAUUUAAAAGAUUUUGUUUUAUUAGAAUAUUUUAUAGUAAACCAAUCUGGACCGUCCGUUUAAAAGUAAAUCAAUCUGGACCGUUCAGGAAUUAGUUACUAUUCAGUCCAUUCUCCUAUAAAUAGAAGCUCAUUCCUUCAUUAUUUCUUACGAAUUCACUGAAACUCUAGAGAGAGAAACUAUAGAGAGAAAGAAGAAAAGUAUUCUGCUACUUCACUACUCCUAUAUCCAGUUUCUUCUAAGGUAAGGGAUAUUAUUUGUUGUACCCGUAAGGAGUAUUAUUCUUUCGUAUUCAUAAAAAGAAUUAUUUUCUUUCAAUACUCGUAAGAGUUGUUAUUCCAUUCUUUAUUAUUAUGUUGAAAUAACUUGUCAAAAUUCUUCUGUUAUUCCAUUCAUUAUUAUUCUAUUGGAAUAACCUGUCUGUGCGGUCUAUCGCAUGCCUGGUGAAUUCUGUUAUUAUUCCAUUCUUUAUUAUUCUGUUGGAACAUCCUAUCUGUGCGGAUUACGCAUGACUUGGUUCCAUUCUUUAUUAUUCUGUUGGAACAUCUUGUCUGUGCGGAUUACGCAUGACCUAGUUCCAUUCUUUAUUAUUCUGUUGGAACAUCGUGUCUGUGCGAUUUAUGCAUGACCUGGUUCCGUUCUUUAUUAUUCUGUUGGAACAUCAUGUCUGUGCGUUUACGCAUGACCUGGUUUCAUUCUUUAUUAUUCUGUUAGAACAUCCUGUCUGUGUGGUUUACGCAUGACCUGAUUUCAUUCUGUUGGAACAUCCUGUCUGUGCGUUUACGCAUGACCUGCUUCUGUUCUUUAUUAUUCUGUUGGAACAUCCUGUCUGUGCGGAUUACGCAUGACCUAGUUCUAUUCUUUAUUAUUCUGUUGGAAUAACCUGUAUGUGCGGUCUAUCGCAUGCAUUCUUUAUUAUUCUGUUAUUCCAUUCUUUAUUAUUCUGUUGGAAUAACCUGUCUAUGUGGAUUAUCACAUGCAUGGUGAAUGAUCUUUUGUAUUCAUUCCUUAUUAAAUUAUGGAAAUUAUUUGUCUAAGUGGAUUACCGCAUGGCGGACGAAAAUCCAUUAGCUAUUUUAUAUAUUCUCUUAUACUCAGUUGGUUAAAGCUUUGACUUCUAUACUCCAUGAAAUUAGUGUAAUAUCCUUGAUAUUUGCGCUUCAUCCAUUAUCUUUUCAUGGAAAUAUUCUUCUGAGCAUUCUUGAAUUUUACUCCACAAAGAAGUAUCAUGUUUACAAUUUGGACGUUAUUGGUUCCGAGAUAAAUUAAUUCUUGAACUUGGUUUAUUGAAUUCUUAUAUCAUUGUCAUCAUCCUCAUGUUUAUAUUAUGUUAAAAGUCAUCUAUGACCUGUAGUGCAUAGAUGAACUUGGUAUGAUUAUGACCAGAGAUUAAUCGGUAUAAUCAUGACCGUAAUGUUACAAAUGAUGUGGUAAAAGUCCUCAUUGGCCCGUAGUGCAUUAAUGGACAGUUGCUGACAUGAUCAUGACAAUUGAUGAAUACACAAAUAUCCUUGGCCCGUAGUGCAUGGAUAAUUUGUGGUUGUGAUACUAAUGAAUAUCCUUGGUCGUAGUGCAGGGAUGAUGUGGUUUAUUUAUUAAGCUGAGUCUCAGCAAUAAAACUGAUGAAAAAUCUUUUAAAUCAUAGAUGAUAGUAGAUUUUAUUCUCUACUUGACUCUUUUAAUGGAUUGCUUGUUCCGCUGCAGUUAAACUUGAUGUUUGUUAUAUUGUAUCAGUUUAACACUAUUGAAGGCUAACGAUAAUUUAUUCUGCAUUAUCUUAGUCAUAAUAUUUCUUACAGGGCUAGUUGAGCUCACCCUUUUACUUUCAUUGUUCUCUUCAGGAAAUGAGAACGUAGCAGGGACUAGUCGGGGAACGGAGUGACGGUCCAAAUGAUAGCAUUAGUAGUCCUCACUAUUCUAUGAAAUAGUGUGAUAAUAAAUGUAUUGAGGACUUAUUUUGAGUUUGAAUACUGUCUAGAAGACAAUAUUUGUAUUAAAACUCACAGCUCAUGUUGUAUAUUUAAGAUUGUAUUUGUAUUCUGUACCAUGUAUUUGGCGACUCAGAAUAGGUGAUGUAUACCUAUUUUGGGGGCAUCACAAAUAAACUUAGUACACCCCGAGAACGAUUAGAAGAUCCUUAAAACAUAGAAGUUGCGAAUAAGGAAAUAAUCCCUGUAGAAUACGUCUAUCGAAAUUAUCGCGCAAACAUUAGAGAACAUGAACUGAGCGUCGACCUGAUUCCUAUUAGAUUAGGGGAAUUCGACGUAAUACUGAGGAUGGAUUUAUUAUAUAACCAUGCAGCAAUAAUUAACUGUCAGAACAAAUGUGUGAACCUUCAGACUCCGCUUAAGUCUAAGUUAGUGUUUUAGUGUAGCUCAUCGCUUAAGCAAUCGUGUUGCGUUACGAUGAUGCAGGUCAGGAAAUUGUUAAAGAAAGGAUGUAUAGGUUAUUUAGCUUACAUCAUGGAUACUCGAAAAAAGGGAUUAGAGAUUAAAGAUAUACCCAUAGUGAGUGAAUUUCAGGAUGUGUUUCCGGACGAUCUGCCUGGCCUUCCACCAGACAGAGAAAUCGAAUUCGUAAUAGACUUAGCACUGGGAAUGACACCAAUUUCAAAAGCUUCAUAUCUUAUGGCACCAGUAGAAAUGAAGGAAUUGAUGAUACAAAUUCAAGAGUUAUUGGAUAAGGGUUACAUUUGACCGAGUGUGUCUCCUUGGGGAGCACCAGUGUUAUUCGUUAAGAAAAAUGACGGAUCGAUGAGGCUCUGUAUCGAUUAUCAAGAAUUGAACAGAGUAACGAUCAAGAACAGAUAUCCAUUACCAAGGAUAGACGACUUAUUUGAUCAACUGAAGGGAGCGAAAUGUUUCUCGAAGAUCAACCUACGGACAGGAUAUCAUCAACUGAAGGUGCAGGAUGAAGAUAUACCAAACACUGCGUUUAGAACCCGUUAUGGACCUUACGAGUUUUUGGUAAUGUCAUUUGGUUUAACUAAUUCUCUGGUCAUGGACUUGAUGAAUCGAGUUUUCAAGCCAUACUUCGAUAAAUUCAUAGUAGUUUUCAUCGACGACAUUUUGAUCUACUCGAAGACGGAGGAAGAACACGCCGAACAUCUAAGGAUUGUUUUGGAGGCACUACGAAAGGAGGAGAUGUAUGCGAAGUUUUCUAAGUGCGAAUUUUGGAUGAAGAAGGUGCAAUUCUUAGGCCAUGUGGUGGAUGAGAAUGGAAUCUCAGUAGACCCCAAAAAGGUCAAAAUGGUAAGUAAUUGGAAACAACAGAGAACUCUGAUGGAGGGGAGAAGUUUCUUAGGGUUAGCUGGGUACUAUCAAAGAUUUAUCCAGUAUUUUUCUAAGAUAGCGACCCCGUUAACUAAUUUGACAAGGAAGAUGGUGAAAUUUGUAUGGAACGACAAAUGCGAAGAGAGUUUUUAAGAGUUGAAGAAGAGAUUAAGCGAGGCGCCUGUAUUAUCAUUACUAGAUGAUAUGGUAGGAUUUGUGGUGUAUAGUGAUGCAUCGCAUUGAGGACUGGGCUAUGUGCUAAUGCAACACAGUAAAGUCAUUACGUAUGCAUCACGACAGUUAAAGGAUUACAAAAAUGAUACCCUACUCAUGAUCCAGAGUUAGCGGCCAUAGUUUUUGUGUUAAAGAUAUGGAGACAUUAUUUGUACGGAGAAAAAUGUGAGAUAUACACGGACCACAAAAGUCUGAAAUAUAUCUUCACGCAGAAGGACUUGAAUAUGCGUCAAAGGAGGUGGUUAGAAUUAAUCAAAGAUUAUGAUUGUGAUAUUCUUUAUCACCCGGGGAAGGCAAACGUAGUUGUCGACGCUCUGACCAGGAAGGGAAGGGAGAAAUUGUUUCAACUGACAACUCAGGAAGAGUUAAUAAGAGAUAUGGAGAAGUUGGAAAUAGAGGUGAAGGGACCCGAGAGGUCUGAAGAGAAGUUAUUAAUUUGUAAUGGAAGCUUGUCCGAUAUUGUUGGAUAGAGUAAAGGAAGCACAUGAGAAAGAUGGAGAAUGUAAGAAAAUCAGGAAAAGGAUCACGGAAAAUGAGGUAGAAAAAUUUCGGAUAGAUAAAGAUGGUAUCUUAAGAUUCGAAGGGAGAGUGUGGGUACCGGAAGUGGCUGAGUUAAGAGAGGAGAUUUUGCACGAGGCACACAAUACGACAUAUUCCGUUCAUCCGGGAGGCACAAAGAUGUAUCGGGACUUGAAGCAACAUUUUUGGUGGCCAAAUCUGAAACGAGAAAUUGAGGAGUACGUUAGUAGAUGUCUUACAUGUCAACGUGUAAAAGCAAAGCAUCAAUGGCUGAGUGGUUUACUAAAACCGUUGGAAAUACCAGAGUGGAAAUGGGAGCAUAUCACGAUGGAUUUCGUGGUAGGACUUCCAGUCACACAGAAAGGUUUGGAUGCCAUUUGGGUUAUCUUGGAUCGACUUACGAAGACCUCACAUUUUCUACCGAUCAAGAUCCGCUACAGUUUGAAUUAAUUAGCGAGUCUAUAUGUAAAGGAAAUUUUUUCACGACAUGGAGUAUCGGUGUCGAUUGUUUCUAACCGAGACCCGCAUUUCACGUCAAAAUUCUGGAAAAGCUUGCAAGAGAGGAUGGGAACACAGUUACGGUUAAGUACUGCUUAUCAUCCUCAGACAGACGGACAAAGUGAGCGAACAAUACAAACGCUAGAGGACAUGCUUAGGACUUACGUGAUGGACUUCAAGGGAAAUUGGGACGACCACCUACCCUUAGUCGAAUUUGCAUAUAAUAAUAGUUACCAUGCGAGUAUCGGCAUGCCACCGUAUGAAGCUCUUUACAAAAGGAAGUGCAGAAUGCCAUUAUGUUGGGACGAAGUCGGAGAACGAUGAAUACUCAGACCAGAGUUAGUACAACAAACCGCAGACGUGGUUGUAGUAAUAAGAGCCAGAUUAGUAGCAGCUCAAGAUCGCCAGAAGAAGUACGUAGACUUGCAUCGGCAAGACCGAGACUUUGAAGUUGGCAGUUUUAUAUUCUUAAAAGUAUCUCCAUGGAAGGGAAAGAUCUAUUUCGGAAAGAAAGGAAAACUGAGUUCAAGAUUCAUAGGACCGUUCGAGAUACUAAAGCGAGUGGGCGAAGUAGCAUAUAAAGUUGCAUUACCACCUAAGUUGGAGCACAUCCAUAACGUGUUUCACAUAUCCGUGUUGUGUCCGUACAAGCCCGACUACAAACACGUGAUUUCUUACGAACCCAUUCAAGUGGAGAAGAACUUAGCAUACGAAGAAAUUCUUGUCCAAAUUCUUGAUAGGAAAGAGCAAACCUUAAGGAAUAAAGUUAUUUCUUCUGUAAAAGUGCUUUGGCAUAACCACGAUGUCGAGGAGUCAAUGUAGGAGCUAGAAGAUAGGAUGAUGAAGGAUUACCCCCAUCUAUUUGUGUAACCUUGUAGCAAUUCUGGGACGAAAUUUUUAUAAGGGGGGAGGAUGUAAUACCCGAGAAUUUCCCGUAUUAUUAAAUGAAUAUAUUAAUGGAAAUAAAAUUUUUGGGAAUAUAAGUGUUAUUAUUUUAAGAGUCGGUUAAUUCAAUUGAUUCGUAUUAGAUCAAUGUGUAUUACGAUGUGUGAAGUGACAAUAGGAUUUCUGAAAUGCCUUGUGUGGCAUAAUGUGAAACAAAGAAAUCCGUUAAGCAAAUUAAAAUGAGAAUCUAGAAAAUUAAUAGUGUUGAUCAUGUGAUUUCAUGUGUGUAAUCAAUACGCUCGUAGACUUGUAAUAUUACUCUUGUGGAUAUUAAUUCAUGUCGUGUAAGACGAGUAUGACAAUAGGGGUUGACACUGGCUUAAGCUAAACCAGUCUUGGCACUGUCAGGGCAUGGCGCAGCUGCGCCGUCCCAACAGUAAACUGGCGCAGCUGCGCCAGUGGUCAGUUGGAGAAAAAAUAAUUCUUCUACCUUGGAAAAUUAAAUGAACAAUUAUGUGGCAUGUGUGACAUUAAUAAACUAUGAAAUAAAGUGCGCAAUUAAGUAAUAUUAAUUGUUAAUUGUUAUAUUAAUUAUUUGUUAAUGGUUGUGGUAGAAUAUUGAAUUCUUAGUAAUUAACUAAUAAUGUGUGAUUACUAUUAUUUGUAAUAUAUUAUAAAGAUGAAUAAUGAUUAUGAAAAUCCAUAAAUACAUUAGUCAACGAUGAUGAGAUUAAUUAAUAUUGAUGUUAAUUAAUCAAGGAAGUGAAUAAAUUAUUUAUAAGUAAGUUAGUAAUAUAAUAAUAUUAUAUUGACAGUUAUAUGCAUAUGAGCAAUAAUAGAACCAUAUUAUAUAGUGUGGUGUGACUAUAUAUUAAGAUCUAUGAAACUAUAUUAUAUUAAGUGGUGAUUAAUCAAAGGAAGGAAUAAAUUUCUUUAUUUAACAUAAAUAAAUAAGUUAUUAAUAUAAUAAGGUUAUAAUAUGGUUAUAUGAGUGGUAGAGAUAACUAUGGUACUACCCGGAUAAUAAUAUCUGACUGCAUUAUUUUAUUGCGUAUAUUUAAUGUACAUGGACUAUAUGAUGUGAAUGUAUAAUUUAUCCCUAAAAUUCCUAAUAUGGUAACAAUUGUACAUUAAGAUUUCAUUGUGGAAAAUUAAGUAGACCAAACCAAGCCUAGAUAUCACGAAUGCUGGGAUUUUCUCUCUUGUCCCAUAAUAAGUGUCACCAAGUACAAUGAACAGUAACUUGAAGCUAUAUUAUGUAAACUUUCUAGCUGCUAAAUCAUAGGAGAUCAUUGCUAAGCUAAGUAACUGGUAAGGGUUGUUAAACUACUCUUCAUGAACCUAUGUGUCUUGCCAUUGCACCAUGGGCUCUAAAAUUGUGUAAAGCCAAUGACUAGUCCAUGUUUUCUCUAUAAAUUAAGCUUGAGUUCAGAUUUUUGUGUUGCUAAGAGUUGUCUAAGUGAAGCAUUCAAGUGGCUGAGCAACUGUAGAAGCUUAUUCAGUGUGUGUGAAGUCCAAUUUAAGCUUAAGAAGGUAUAAUUUUUAUCAAUGUUCUUGAGAUGGGUUUGUUUGAUUCUUGAAAUUUCUUGAAUUCAUUUGUUAAUUGAUAUGAGUAAACAUGUUAUAAGGUGUUUAGGAAGUUUACUAGCAUGUAUGAACACUAUAGGAAUGAUUUGGGACAUGUUUGAUGUCAAGGAUAUCAAGUUGGCCAAGACUCUGCAAAACAGAGUUUGCUUCUGCACCUGAAUCUGGCACGGCGCAGCUGCGCCAUUAUUGAACUAAGGCGCAGUGCAGCUGCGCUACUUACUGAACUCAGUUGGAACUUCUGUUUUGAAAUCUGUUAUGUGUUGAUCGACCAUUAUGGCUUAAACUAGCAUGAAAGAAUGUUUAAGGUGUAUAUAUAAGUAUAUGAAUCUAAGUUGGACAUGUUUUAAUAGACUUUCAUGAUUAAUGAAGACAUAUGGUUUAAAUGGAGAUUUGGACUUUAAGUUUUGAAAACAAACUAUGUUAGAGAUCAUGUUCUGCAAAUUUUGAACCUAGUAAGCUAUACAUAACUGAUUUUACACUUAGAUGAGAAUGUACGUAGUCCCUUUGUUCAUAACUACCUUAUUAAGCCUUGUGUUAGAAAUGUUUUCAAGAAAAAGCUUAGCCUAGUGAGCUAAAAUGCAUGACCACUAUAUGAUGUAUAUUCUAACUUUGCAAGCAUGUUGGUAUGGUUUAGAAAUACAUGAAUAAACCUUUAUAUUGUGUUUAUAUGAUUAGUAAGCAAGAAUGAACAUGUUGAUCCUACUAAUGACCUUUGAACAUGAAUAUUGACAAACUAUCUUUAAAGAUAGAAUCUGACCUUUAUAAGCAUGUUGGUGAUACUCUUAGACUCACUCAUGUAGUAUAACCAUAGAUAUACCAUGCUUGUGUAUCACAUUUCAAAUAAAGCAUGAACGAAGCCUAUUUUCAACUAAAGUGGUGUUAGUUUCACAUAUGCGUUAUGAAUACUCACAAACAUGUCUAAUAUGAGUUUUGUAACUAACUUGUGUGUUUGAAGAGCAAGCAUGAUAGACUUUGUAGUUUCAUGACCUUGAAUGGCCUCAAAUGGUUGAAAUGAUCAAUUUAGAAAUAUGUUAUAAAAAGGAACCUAGAUUUACUUAAGAAGCAUGAAAAGACCCUUAACAUGGCAAGUAUAUCAUGUAUGAUUGUUUUGAGCAAGCCAAAUAGAAACCACAAGGCAGCAGCUAAGUCUUGGCUUGGCCAGAGGACGGCGCAGCUGCGCCGGUCCUAGGCUUAGCCAUGGGGCAGCUGCGCCAGUCUGGAAUCUUGAGUUCUGCAUUCUGUUUUGAACUGAUAUUGAAGCAUGCCUAUAGGAUUACUUUAACUUAUCUUACAUGACCAAUAUGCUAUGAAAUAUGUUAAGAAGCAUGCUAUGUGAUAGAGACAAAUGUUGAUCAUAACUUCCAAAUGUUGAGUCCAAAGAAUGUCUUCAAGAAAUUGGGCAAUCAAGCCGUUGUGGUAUUUGUGAUGACUUAUAAACUAAUUUUGUACCAUAUGUGUAUACUUGAAUCAUGUCAAGCUUGUUUAAAGACUGUGUUAGCAAAUGAAUAUCUUGAUCAUAUAAUACGCUAUAAAUAGGAUUCGAAAGUGUUGAGUUAUUAACGUGGAUAAACUACGCUUAAGGCAAGUUCCCUAAACUUACUCUAAUUAUUAUUGAGCGAGUUUCCUUGAACUUCACCCUUGUUUGUGCAAGUUUCUUGAACCCUACUUUUAAACUUAUCUUGUGAAUGUAAGUUAUCCCGCUUAUUCGUUCAAUCGAACUAGUAUGCUUAAAUUCUUGUGAAAGUUAUUAUUCAUGUUGAACUUAAUAUUGUUCUUGAAUAUUGUGAAAGAGUCGAUGCCAUUUGAUUCGGCUAGACUAUAUGCAUGCUUAUAAAAGUUGUCCAAACCAAUUGAUUGGUGCAAAAAUCUUGAAAACUUAGUUGGACAACCCUUUUUGUAAGGGGAGUGUAUGUCGUUGGAAACCCCAACACAUGAAUGAAUAUUAUUGUGGUGUUAUGCAUAACGUAAAGUAUUGUAGACUGAUCAUCUAUAGUACUUGAUAUUUUUGGGUUAUCAAUUUAAUAUUGGUAACUCUAGUGGAGGUUCAAUAGUCCUUAGUGACUGCUCAGUAUAAAUUGUUUAUCCAGUUGGAUACAUUGUUAGUCAUUGAAUUCAUAUAUAUCUGUUGAUUUAUAUUGAAUUGUCGUUCUUAUUCCAAGAAUUAUUGAUAUUCCUUAUCCAUGAUGUUAUUCUAACACUUUGAACUAUCCUAGAAAUGGCACUUCGAUAUUUCAAACCUUGUGAUAUUAUAUCUUAUACCCUUGUUGUAUAUUACUUGCUGGGCAAUUUGUGCUCAUCCUUGCUUAUUUAAAACCUUUCAGUUAAGGAGGAACAUGGAGGUGUCUCUAGUACAGACAAGGUCAAGGGCAAGGCUACUGACUAGCUUGUCCCUUUUAUGUUUAAGAUUAUUAUGUUGUAUUAAGACUAUGUUUAAACUUAAGUAGGAUUAUGUAAUAGGUCUUUAUUCGAUACUAUUAUGUAAUCUAUUAAGUAUUGUAGGUUGCGAGACUUGGGGGAAUAAUUAUAAUAAAUCAUUGUAUAUUAUUCUAAAUUAGAUUUUCCAUUGUGAAUUUGUUAUUUUAGUUAUUAUGGUAUUACUUUGAGCACAUGAUGAACCGAAUUCAAUUGACCAAGUGGAGGUCCGAAUUUGGGGGCGUCACAACCCAAGUGUUUGGCCUCUAGAGGUGAUCCACCAAGGAAGAAGAAAGAUUCAAGAAGAUGGGUGUUUUGCAAAACCCUAGUUUUUCUAUCUCUCAUAGAAAAGGAGCGUACUCUCCAACAAUUGGAAUCACGUAUAUUGAUAUCUGAUAUUAGACUCCUCUUAUAAAGAUAUCAGUUAACCCUUCUAAUCUAAUUAGAAAAUAGGAUAUUAUUUAAUUAAUUAAAUUCCUUUAAUUAAUUAAGCUCCCUAAUCUUAUUAGGGAUAAUUAAUUAAACUCUUUUAAUUAAUUUAACAUCCUAAUCUUAUUAGGAAUGUAUGAGAGUACUUUUAUUAAUUAAUUCCCAAACUCUUUUAGGAAUUAAAUAAUAAUAAUAGUAAUAAUAAUAAGACUCCUCUUAUUAAUUUAAAUUUAAUAUUUCUAAAAUAUUAAAUAAUAAAUAUUAAGCUAUUUAUUUAUUCUAUCACCAUAGAUUAAAUUAAAUAUACUUAACUUUUUAUUACGAUUAUGCCAUUAAUUUCUUAAAUAAUUAUUCUUCCUUUUAUGGUGUGACCCUUAAGGUUCUCCAUAUUAAACCGAUUGUGAAUAAAUCAAUUAGAACAAUUCUAAUUUUAUUUAAAUAAAUAAAUUAAAUAAUUAAUUUAUUUAAAUAAAUAAUAUUUAUUCUACAAUAGGGAUAAGCCUCCCUAGCGAUCAACGACUUUCCAGAUAAUAUAGAUUUCAACAUUAAUCAUAAAAGAACCUUUGAGUAAAUAGUUACCGUACAAUUCAAUCCUUCCGCUAUACAAUAUCCCAAUUAAAUAUAAGACAUGGAAUUACUGUCAAGUCUUAUUUUAUUUAAUUAUAUGUAUUUCUAUUCUUAAAUGCACAACUCCAAAUAAUGCAAAUUAGAAACUCCUUUCUAAUUUCUUUCUGCCUUGGCCAAGGACCACUGGGUUGCCAUUUAUCGAAUCACAUAGGACAUUUCUCUUCUUUUACCAGAAGCGGUAGAUUCUUUAUUGAUCAUACAUUAUCUCCAUGUACAACUUAUUAUACCCAAGCAUAUCCUUUGAUAUACCCUAAGGGUCUUAAGGAAUAAGUUAAAGUAUAACUCAUCAUACACAAGAUACUAUGAUGAUCUCAAGUCCAAGGAUCACUUGUACUAAUAUCACUACAGGAAUUCUUAUUGACAAGCAAGUAAAACUCCAUUAGGUAUUCCUUAACGAUCCACGUUCAGUGAACUUAUUCUCUAAUAAGCACCUACAUACUUGCUUUAGUGUCUCCACACAAAUGAUCAUGAGAUCAAUCAUCCUCAUCCAAUGAGCAAGCAAUGUAUGUACCAAUCUAUUCGGAUUCACUAAUCCCCAAUUUAGUAAUCCAACGAUUGGGAACUAUUUUAGUUUUAAGCUUUCUAAGAAUUUAGAUCUCAUUAGAAUGAUCAUCAUCAUUAUUCUAAAAGCAUUGCUUAAAACUAUGGGUUUAUCACAUAUUAUAAAACAACAUCAUGUAGAUAAUUAAAAGCCUUUAAUAAAUUCAUACUUUUUAUUAAUAAAUGAAUAAGAUUGUUACAAAGUAUAUGCUUUAUCAUCAAACAUGAUUGGCUUGUGUGCAUACUACUUUUAAUCUCCCACUUGCACUAAAGCCAAUCGCCAUGGUAUCUCAUACCCUUCUUGUCUAAGUGACGAUUAUCCUGCUGUUGGAUAAGCUUAAUUUAGUUAAUGUAUAAGUAAUGCUAUUCUUGAGACUCCACUAUCUCUAUAGUGAUUUCCCAUCUUUCAAUGAUUUCUAUAAUCAAAUGAAUGUGCCACAACACAUGUUUAGAUCCAAGAUGAGACUUAGGAACUAUUCCUAGUUCUGUAAUGAACUUUUCAUCCAAACAAUCAACUUGUAGCUUCAUUUAUAGCUAUACACUUUGUCUUUAUCACUAAACUAGCAACUCUUUGCUGUUUGGAACCUUUUCAAUUCACUGCACCACCGUUCAAGGUAACGCUUUACCUUAAAGUGUAUUUUCUGUCGUCUUGGUCUGUCUGAUAAAACUCGAGUCUGUUAAGCCCUCUAGUUUUAAUUCAGACCCACCAUGUAUAUGAUCACAUCAUUAGUGUCGGUUAAGUACUUUAAGAUGUUUUUCACUGACUCAUAGUGAACUUCUCCAGAAUAUGACUGAUCAACAUCAGGUCUCAUAUAUUUCAUUAUAUACAUGAUUUUCACUCAUGCGAUCUCUCUUUUCAGGAGUCUAUGGGGACUAUUAAGAGAGAUACACUCCAUGGCUCAUCAACAUGAGACAUCUCUUGGAGUUUUCCAUGAUAAAAAACUUUAGCAUCAAAUGAAUAUACGUUCCUUGGGUUAAGUCGAGCAUCCUCUUAAAUCUAUCUAUAUAGAUUUGUAUCCCCAAUUAAGAUACUCUUCCUAAAUCAUUCAUGAAGGAAUAUUUAGAAUAAUUUAUCUUUACUAAUUGUAGCAUUGGUAUGUUAUUCCUUAUCUGUAAUAUAUCAACAUAUAAUACUAGAAAUGUCACGACGCUCCCACUGACCCUUUUGUACCCACUAAGUUCAUUCUUGUUUAUGAUAAAAUCAAACCUUUUUGAUUGUCUCAUCAAAAUGAAUGUUCCAUAUUUGAGAAGCUUGCUUCAAUUCAUUUCUCUAAGUGUCUACAACUCUUACCUUAUCGUAUGUAACUGGAUCAUCAUCUUCUAUGAUGUGUACCUCAUCAUCAUCAUCAUUUAUGAUGAAUCUAUACCUCCUAGGUAUCUUCGGUACUAUUCCAGAUUUACGAUUCGGUUGUGGUACAAUAGGUCUAUCUACAGGUUCCUCUUAUUUGACUUACAGUGUUUUGUGGUUCUUGAACUCUUCAAGAUCUAUUAUUCUCCCACUAGCCCCUUCAAUGAUAAACAUCUUUAUCUUAGAAGGUAGCAUGUUUCGCAACAAACACCUUUUGCUAAUUAGGAUUAUAGAAUAUAUACCCUAAACUUAAUUUAGGAUGUCCCACACAUCUAUACUUGACAAAUCUUAUCUCAAGCGUAUCCUUUGAAACCUUUUCACAUAAGUUGGACAAUCCCUUAUCUUAACAUACUUAAGAUUAGGAAUCCUCCUUGUCCAUAACUCUUAUAGAGUCUUGGGGCCAAAUUUUGAGGUUACCUUUUCAUAGAUAUGCAGCCAUUUCUAGGACAUGAUCCUAGAGGGAUACAGGAAUGUCGCUAAAAUCAUUAUGGACCGUACCAUGUCCAACAAGGUAUGAUUUUUCCUUUCAGACACAUCUAUCAAUUAUUAUGUAUCAGGAGGCGUCCAUUAUGAGAAAACCAUUUGAGAUGAUUUAGAAACUCAUUGCACAAGUAUUUAUUCCUUGAUCUAAUCAAAGAAUCUUAAUACUUUGCUAAUUUGUUUCACUUCUGAAUUCUUUGAAACUUUCAAAUAAUUCAUACUUGUAUUUCAUCAAAUACACACAUUCAACUCUUUAAAUGAUCAUCUCCUUUUCUUAUACUAGUUUUUUUAAUUUGAAAAAUAAUUUUUACGUAAGUCAAGUACACAAAAUCCAUUAAGUAAUAUUUCAGUUUUAUACAAAACAUUAUUAUUAUAAAUAGAACAACAAUUGUUCCUAAAUAUAAUACCAAAGUGUCAGGAAUAAGCAUGUGAAUGAUAUUCCUAUUUACAUAUGAUUUGAUUAUGAUAUAUACAUAUGAAUGAAUAUGCAAGUAUGCUUGCAUUAAGAAAAUUUGUAAAGUCCUUUGAUAGAUAAUAGAAACAUAUGUACAAGGACUUAGAAUGAAUUGAUCAAAUGUGUUAGUCCUUAAAAAGAAAUGAUAUACAAGGACUAUAAAUAUAGUAAGAUCAAGCAUGUUAGGUUGAUCUUAUAAUGUAAUAGAUAGGCUUGUCUGAUCGUUGAGCACUGCACCAGAAAUCGUAGUCUGCCAAGAGAGUCAAGGAAAACUCGAGAGCUAUCAAGGCAGAAUCGUAGUCUGCAAGAUAGUAGAUCUCGGAGUUCGUAGACUUCCAGGAGAGACGAGGAAGGAUCAUAGUGUGUCGAGGAGAACUUCCUCAGGUCCGUAGUCUGCUGAGGAAGUCAUGUUCAUAAUCGUAGAGACAACCUGCCUAUGAGCCGACCGAGCAUCUGCCAAAGCCAGUCAAGAAUCGUAGACUACACUCGCAGUCGUAAAGUCUAUUAAUGUCAAAGCCAAUUCAAGAAUCGUAGACUGCACUCAGAAUCGUAGAGUCUACUGAUCGUAUCAAAGGCAGAGAUCGUAGUCGAGCAAGAUCAGAUGAAGACAACAAGCACAACAAUAGAAAUCGUAGUAUCAAGAUCUGAUCUCAAAGUCGUAGUGUCUGCACAGCCGAAGCUGAAUUGUAGAGUGCAGAGAUAAGAUCUUAACAGAUGUGCUCACAAGGCCACAGUAGAAUCGUAGAGCAAACACGAUUCUCAACAAUUGAGCACUCCCAGAAUAUCCAAAGGAAUGAAGCCUCUGGUUGAAGCACUGCACUGGAGAAGGAAGAAGUGUUCCACAUUGAAGAUCUAAUGAUCACUCUUCAAGAUCGUAGUGUUAACUCCACAAGUCAAGAAGCGACAAUCAACAAGACACUACGAUCAAGUCUAAGAAGUUGUGCAUCAGAAUCGUAGAGCUCGAACAAAUAGAGAUUAAGGCAUUGGCAAUGGCUCAAUCUGAAGAUUAAUAUUCGGACAAAAGCUCAUUGAGAGCAUCGAUGCAAGGACAACCUCUGAUUGAGAAAUCAGAAGGGUGAAAUAAAUUUGACUACCUGCUCGAGACAAGAAAGUGACAAUUCUGAUAAGGUAGGUGAAACAGUAGACUGCAGUGUCGGAAAGUCAAAAAAAGGUGUUAUGUCACAUCUGCAGUCUGCACCAAAUAACUCGAGAUCUGUGAGGCAAUUUGAAUAGCUUUUAACGACUACUUUCAAAUGGGAAGAUUGGGAAGGAGUAUAAAUCAACAGAGCUUCAAAGAUCAAGUGUUGCUGAUGAUUGUGAAGUUGCAGAAUCAUUGAGUUGGUGAAUGCUAUUGUUAACUCUACGAGUUCCACCAAAGAUCAAUAGUACAAGUUGCAGUGACAGUGAGACUACCGAGGUGGAAGUGAAGCAGCUUUGAAGAAGGACUCAUACAGAUCAAAGCUUCACUCAACAAAGAUGAGAAUGCCACUAAAGAUGGCAGCUAAGCUGAGAGCCGAGAAGGCCAAAAAGAUAGUAUUCAGGAAAGUGGUUGAGUACAAAAAAGAUCAAGAGAGCCACUCUAUAGAUCACCAUGAACCUAAAGUUGAAACUGAACAAGUACAGAACCAUGUCUACAAAACAUUCAAGAAGGGUUCAGGGAUUACUAAGUGCCAGAAGAAGUCUACCAAAAGCUCAGGGACUUAGCAAAUCCAGAUGGUGAUGGUGCACAGCUGACAUCAGAUGAAGAUGAGCUGAAAAGAGUAAAGAUCAGCUGCACCAAAGAAGAUGUGGUCCAUACUCAAAGCAGAAUGCAAAGAGGACCACACCAAGCUGCUAAGUACAAAAGAUGUUCAGAGCUUAAUGACAUCUUAGCAGCUCAGCGUCAACAACAUCAACAACUAUAACAACAAGAAGCCAGGGCCUGAGGGGUCCUUGUCCAGAGGGACUAAAUGGAGAUUCCAAGCCUGCUGGGCUUGAAGAGUUCCUAGGGAACUAGAGAAGUUCCAAGGCUGUUGGCCUUGAAGAUUUCUUAGUGAACUAAAGUCCCAAGGCUGCUGGCCUUGAAGGAAUCUUAGUGAUUCAGGGUGCUGCCCUUCCUUAGUGGAAAUCCUAUUAGUUGAAAGCAGAAGAGUGGAUUAGGAGCUUGAGUCUCUGAACCACUUAAAACCCCUUGUGUCUUUUAAUUUAUGUCAUUUACAUUAUGUACCUUAACUGCUAUAACUGCGAUGUAUGUGCAAACUGCUUACUACUAAGUUAACUCUACGAACAAUGUAUGACUGACUAUUAAUAUAUCAAUGAAGGGGAUCUUUUACUUAUUCCGCUGUGCUUGAAAAGAUUCUCAUGUUUGUCAUCUACUACUUAAUGAGCAAUACAACUUAAAAGAGAAAAAGUAUUUUGUAAAUCAAAGGAUCUAUUCAACCCCCCCCCCCCUUCUAGAUCUAUAUUGUGCCUACUAGGAACUAACAAUUGGUAUCAGACCAGGUUCUCAUGCUAUAUUCAAAAGCUAAUCGCUUUGAGUCUGAUCCUAGGCACAAAAAUUGUUCUAAACUUAGUUUAGUAGUACGUCACUUGUGAUAUGCAGAUGAGCUCACACGUUGGAAAUUUUGUGUACAGGUAAAUGUGCAUAUACACCUGAAGCUGCUCAGAUUGGUCCAUGUUCUUGAUUGCCAUAUCAACAAGACCAAUCCUUGCUCGCGGUCAAUCUUGUAGUCUAGAGACCAGGCUAGAAAGCUCAAGAGACAUCAACAGAAAAGAUUCAAACAUCCACCAGCCUGAAAAGAUGAAAAGGCCAUAUAUGCUAAGUAAUGCUUAUCCAGAGAAGAAAGAAGAACAUCUCAAACAUGUGUCUGGCCAACCUGCAGCUGGAUGUAAACCUUGUGAACUCAAGGAUGUCAAAGAAUUAGAAAUGUAGACACUCUCUUAGCUUGUAUCUUCAAGACCACGACUAAUUGACUGAAGAUCAACUGGAGCAACUAGCUGUCAGGAGCAAAUGAGAAAUUAUGCACAUCAAUGCCUAAUCUCAGUAUGUCAAAUUUAAAUGACUGUUAAAGAACUAACAGUAGAAAGGUGUGGUUCCUCCCUAGUAUAACUAUGUACAUCAUGUUGCACCUCCUUAUGAACUAUAAUAGUAUUCUUUCAAGGAAUCAUAAUCUACCUAAAAAGGUGAAGAGAGAAAGUACACUGAGGGUGGAAACUCAAAUGCCUAUAAACCUUCUCUCCAUCCAAGUUUUAGGUUGAAGAUGACAUCGUGAAAGAAAUCUGAAAUGAGUCAUAAGAGCAUCACAGGUUAAAUUAAUUUUAUGUGAAGUAAUCUUUGAUGAUGGGGUAGUAUGUAUGUAUAACCUAUGUUCUAAGUGUUUAAUAACACAUAGAGUAUCAUCAGUUCUACAAGAGUAUCUUAAAGAUUCGUAGAAACUGAUCACCUCCAUGAAUCAACCAGAUACAAAUAAAUCGUAGAGUUGAUUAUCACUCUGAACAUUUAAACCCUGCGAACAUAACCUAGCAAAUGAUGAAACCAUAAAAGAAAAAGAGUGUUUUAUUAAAAUAGCAAAUCUUACACACACUCACCAUCAUACAUCUGAAAAUGCAUUAUCUAAAUUAGUUACAUGCAUGAAUAUGACUAUUGGUUAUCAAUAUGAUGAUUAUCCAAAUAUAUGAGGAAUAGGGGUUUAGAAAACUAACCUAGCAGGACCCAUUUAAUCAUGGGUACCAAAAAUAGAAAUUUAUAACCUGCAUGUGACGCCCCCAAAAUAGGUAUACAUCACCUAUUUUGAGUCGUCAAUAACAUGGUACAGAAACAACUACAACUUUAUUAAUACAACAUAAAAACUGUGAGUUUAAAUACAAAUAUUGCCAUCUAGACAAUAUUCACACCCAAAUAAGCCCUCAUUACAAUUAUUGGUACAUUAUUUUACAAAAAUGGUGAGGACUACUAAACAACUUUCUAGAACCUUCAUUCCAUACCCCGACUAGUACUCGCUACAUUCUCGCCUCCUGAGAAGAAAAAUGGAAUAAAAAGGAAAAGUGUGAGCUCAACUAGCCCAGUAAAGAAUAUUAUGACUAAGAUAAUAUAGAACAAAUUAUCGUUAGUCUUCAACAGGGAAAAAUCUGAUAAAAUAUAAUAGACAAUAAGUUUCUGAUCAAUAUUCACAGCGGAAAUAAUAAUUCAUAGAUAAGUUACAUAGAGAAUGAAAUCUACUAUAAUCUAUGAAUUUAAAAGUCCAUCAUCAUUAUUUUAUCCCUAUAACAUCAAUCAAUAUACAUCUUGAAUCAAAUAUUCAUCUUUGCACUACAGGCCAAAGAUAUUCAUCAGUUGGUCAUGUUCAUCUCAACACCUGUUCAUCUUUGCACUACGGGCCAAAGAUAUUUAUAAGAAAAUCAACCAUCUUUGCACUACAGGCCAAAUAUAUUCAGUAACACCAUCAUUUAGGACUGAGGAUGAUGAAAAAUAUUUUAAAGAAAAUGAAUCCAGUGAAACAAAAAAACAAAUAUUAAGGAUUCGUACUUUAAAUAAUUCGAGUUCAAAAAUACUUCAUAAAUAAUCAUAGUGAAGUAAAAUUCAAGAAUGAUCAAAAUAUGGAUACAAUCAAAGCUAGUUUCCAUAAUAGAUAUUUUGGACAAAAAACAAAAAUUUAAUUUUUUUAUGAAUAGUGUCGUAUUCGUGAAUAGUGCCAUAUACGUGAAUAGUGCUGUAUACGUGAAUAGUAACCCUAACACUAAAAAACAAGAAUUUCACAAGAAAAAUCUUACCAAUAUUCCGGCAUAAUGAUAUUAGAAGAAAUAAUAUCAUUUUUAAAAAAAAUAAUAUCCCUUACCAACACUCAAAGUAUCAAAAUACUAACAAGAAUACGCUCGAUAAUAUAGAGAGAGAAAACUUCAGUUUCUGGUGUGAUUUUCAAUUCUAACCUAAGCACCCUAUUUAUAGGAAAAUGCUUAGAACACCAAAGCAGAAAAUUUAAUAAAAUAAUAAUAUUUUCUAAAAUUUUUCCUACGCACACCAAGAAGAUUGAAUUUAGCAUGCUUAACAUUCAUGUGGGGCCCACCCAAGUGUAAAAAAACAUUUUUCAUAAAAUAAUUAUUUUAAACUCCAAAAAUCAAUCAUUCUGGAACUUCAGAAUUUCAAUAAUUCAUAAUAAAUUGCCCUUUUAUCAUAAAAAUUCGAACCUUACAUCCUUUCUAUAGGAAAUUCCAUUCUCUACAACUUUGCAGAAGAAAGUUUUUCCAAACUCCAAACAGAAAUUGACCGAAAUCCACAAACGGACGAUUUUACAAGCUAUAAUCAAAUUUCAAUCAAUAAAUGGGCCCACAGACAUGUUUAACAUGUUUUAAACAACUUUUGCAACAAAAAUACUAUUCCUCCUCAUAUAUUCAUAUAUCCCACAUUCAUUGUAAAAAUAUCACCAUUAUUAUAUUAUUAAAAUAUAAUAAUAUAUUUAAAUAAAUUAUUUUAUCAGAAAAGAUAAAAUAUCAAUUUUUCAACAAUUGUCACUUUAAAAUUUUCUCCAUCUAUAUCCACAUAAAAUGAAUAUUUUCCUUAUCAUAUAAAUCAAUAAUUAAUUAUUCACAAAUAAUAUUAUAGAAUUACAAUACUGGCAACCAGGCCGUUCCUAGGAAAGAGGGGCUUUCCAAUAAGGAUUUCUCCUUACUGGCGCACAAUUAGGUGACCAAACCUCUCCUUAGACAUAACUUUCUAGACAUUGCCAAUAAUGUUAUCUAAUAAUAUUAUUCAAAUAAUAUGAAUUAUUGAUCUGAUAAUGAAAAUACUGUGUAGUGACAAUUAUUGAAACAACAAUAAAAUAUCAACACAACAAUUAUUGAAUCAAUAAAAUAUUAAACAGUAAUUACUGUAAUAAUUAUUGAGUAGUGCCUUCUUACGUAAGAAUCAAUAAUUGGUGCAAUCCCGUGUGCUAUUGUGUUUUAACCACCGGGUACUUUAACAGUAUUAACGGUAACAACUAAGCCGUUAUUUAUAACAACUUAUAAUUAUUGUUUUCUUCAUUCAAUCGCUUUUCGUUAUUGGGCCCACACAAGGAUGCGCCGUCGUACGAAUAUUCCCCGACAGUAAGAAUAUUCCACGACCAAACGAAUAUUCCCCGACAACAAUAAAUAUUUUAUAACCACUUGCUUAUUUGAAAUAUUUGCGCAAUUUACCCAUAACUAACCACAUUAAUCAAAUCAACCCUUACUAUUUCAAAAUAAUAAAUAGAGGAAAUUCAAUUUUAUUUAUAAUAAGUUGGGGUCUUACAACCUCCCCUCCUUAUGAAAUUUCGUCCUCGAAAUUGACGUGCAUACCUAGUGUUUCGAAAAGGUGAGGAUACCUCGCUUUCAUUUCCGUUUCCAACUCCCAGGUCAUUACCUUAAUAGCAUGGUUCCUCCACAAAACUUUAACUUGUGGUAUAACCUUUGUUCGUAGGACAUGCUCCUUCCUAUCCAAGAUCUUGACAGGUACCUCUUCGUACGUUAAGUCUUCGGCUAUCUCAUCUGGUUCUAACUCAAUAAGGUGGUUCGGGUCUUUCACAUAUUUACGAAGCACAGAUAUGUGAAACACAUUAUGAACACGAGACAUACUUGGAGGUAACGCGAGUCUAUAGGCUAUAUUUCCUACUCGGUCAAGAAUCUGAAAUGGACCAAUAAAUCGUAGAUUGAGCUUUCCUCUCUUCCCGAAUCUUGUAACUCCCUUCCAUGGAGAUACACACAAUAAUACAUGAUCCUCA